Molecule: long non-coding RNA, 159274 nt
Filed under: Coffea arabica (coffee)
Lineage: Eukaryota; Viridiplantae; Streptophyta; Magnoliopsida; Gentianales; Rubiaceae
Description: long non-coding RNA (CARA_LNC002173)
Source: RNAcentral
CAUCACCAAGGCAAUGAUGUUUGCCCAUACCUGGCACUACCAAGAUUGAGAACCUCAAUCAGAAUAUAGGAGCUUUGUCUGUAAAACUGUCGCAGAAGAUAUGGCGGAACUUGAAUCUAUUGCUUCUGCAGGAGUCAAGGGUGAGAGAUACGGACCUGAAAUCAGCAAUGGCAAAAUUCUGAAACUCCACCCAUUGUCAACCUGGAAGAGGACAUGAAGACAUAGCUUUGUUGUGGCAAUAAUUCCUUCUAGCUAUUUGCCUGAUGGUGGAUUUCACUAUAUUAAGAGUUGAGUGAUAUGUAUUUGUCCCUAUAAAUUUCGUCAUACUAUUGUCUCCAGGGUUAAGGCAAGUAAAGUUAUAAGAAGAAUGGAGUUUUCUUCAGAAAGGUUGUAAUGAAUAAAGAUCUGGUCAUGUAAAAGCAGAACAUAAUUUUCCUUGCAGUUGAAUGCAUUAAAGGUUAUGUAUUGUACUUUUGAAUGCUAAAGUGGUCCAUUUUUUAUGUGUUACUGCUACGAGAGUUAUAGAUUGUUGGACAUCAUUUUUUGGUUGGAAUGUUUACAUCAAACGUCUCCAAGGACAUGUCAUUCUAAAGUUUAAACUACAUCAUACCACAAAAUGCAGAAAAAGGUCUAAAGUAUGGGAUGUUUGUAAAUUUUCACGGGAGGCUUUGUUGGGUAAAUUGUAAAGGACUAGCAAAUAUUGUAACAAGAAUUGGCUUCAAAUCGUGAUAGAAAUCACUUUCCUUUAGGCUUUAUUUGUCCGGUAUAAAGUGCAAUAACCUUAGACAAAUAUCCUUUAAGAUAAGAUGAAGUUUUGUUUGUCUUAAACUCUUGCACAAAGCAAGACAAACCCUUUGUGAACUAAGGAGUGCUUUUGAGAGAGUAAGGAUAGUAGGAAAGUGAUUUUCUGCAGCAAACUACUCUCUACUUGACCUCUUUAUAUAGGAAGAUUGUUUGGGAAACAAAAGAUCUCAUUAAACACUUGUAUGAAUAGAUUCAAAGUAUUGUGUACACAUUCAUGCACUUUAAUUCAUGCAUCUCAUGAUCAUUUAGAUCAAAACAUGAAUCUAUCCUUUCAUUCAAUAAUUCUCAUAUACAUGAAUACAUUCAUAAAUGAAUGUACUUUUAGAACAUUCACAAUACUAUACAUGUACCAAAAAUUAAUGAAUACAUUAAUUACAUGUAUGUACAUCAUACAAAUUUUGAAAAGUUUCCAACAAUCCCCGCCAUUUUCAAAAUUUAGAAAAUGGAUUUCUAAAAGGUCACCAAGUAAUCUGACACUCAUAUGCAUAAAUAAUGGUGUCUUUCGAUUGAACCACUAUCUUAGUGAAGGUUCUUUGAAAUCAAUCCUUCAAGAUGGUAGACAAGCUUUGAACCACUUGGACAUUGGACCAACCUCAUAAACACAUCACACACUGAGCAAUGCACAACCAUAAGUUCUUCAACGAUACAUUUUACGGCCUUGUAUCACUAUCCUUUCUGAAUGUUUACAAAGUAAAGUCCUUAAUUUGUGGUUUGCCGAAAAAAACAUUCAUAUAGGCGACAUCUUAGUGCCCCGCCAUAGAUAGCACUUUUAAGAUUCGUUAAGAGUCCAAUGACUCAUCCUUACAUUUGCACUGGCGAGAAUAACAUGCACUAUUCAACAUUGGGAUGUCUAAACUUCACAUAGUGCACCAACCACUAGAAUGGUGUACUUUCACUCAUUGAAUUCAAGACUAGACGUUGUAUCUAGCGUUGAAUUGAGGUUCCACCAUUAGUGAUCAAAAUUUUGGACUUUAAACCAUCCCCUUGAUGUCUUUGACACCAAAUUUCUUGAUAAUCCUUUUGUCAAAGGAUCACUUAAAUUUUCAUUUGAUCUCACAAAGUCAAUUGAUAUGACUCCAUUUGUAAUCAAAUCUUUGACAUAACUAUGUCUCAAACCGAUAUGUCUUGAUUUACCAUUAUACACUUGACUAUAUGCUUUAGCAAGUGUAGCUGCACUAUCACAAUGGAUUGAGAUAGGCGACAAAGGUGUUGGCCACAAUGGUAUAUCAUAAAGUAAAUUACGUAGCCAUUCAGCUUCUUUACAGGCCGAAGCAAGUGCUACAAACUCUGCUGCCAUUGUUGAAUCGGUGAUACAAGUCUGUUUCUUAGAACCCCAAGAAAUUGCACCUCCACCAAGCAUAAAGAUCCAACCACUUGUCGACGAGUGAUCAUCUUUAUUGGUGAUCCAACUAGCAUCUGAAAAUCCUUCUAAAACUGAAGGAUAACCGGUAUAACAUAUACCAUAGUCUUAGUGGCCUUUAAAUACUUUAAAAUUUUGGUUACACCUUGCCAAUGUAACCUACUAGGGUUGCUUGUAUAUCUGCUCAAUAUACCAACUGCAUAUGCAAUAUCAGGUUAGUACAAGUCAUUGCAUACAUUAAAUACCCUAUAACCUUGGCAUAUUCCAUUUGAGAUUUUGAUCCCCCUCAUUUUUCACAAAAUUUAUUUUGAAUCCAAUGGUGUUGAGGCUGGAAUACAAUCACUUUGAUUGAAUUUGUUAAGAAUCUUUUCAAUAUAAUGUGUUUGAGACAACAUUAUAUUGUUAUCAUGUUUGAAGAUUCUCAUACCAAGAAUGACAUCUGCCUCACCCAUGUUUUCAUGUCAAAUUUGCUUGAAAGCAAAGUUUUUGUGACUUCAACUUGUUCCAAGUCAGUCCCAAAAAUCAACAUGUCAUCAACAUAUAAACAAAUUAUGACACCUUUGCCAUAUCAAACUUGCUAUAAAUACAUUUAUCAGAUUCAUUUAUUUUGAACCACUAGCAAGAAUAACUUGGUCAAAUUUCUGAUGCCAUUGCUUCGGUACUUGUUUUAGUCCAUAUAAAACUUUACAAGUUUACACACCUUAUGCUCUUGACCAGUAUCACAAACCCUUCGGGUUGCUCCAUAUAUAUUCUUCAUCCAAAUCACCAUUCAAGAAUGCUGUUUUAACAUCCAUUUGGUGAAUGACUAGAUUUUGGAUAGAAGCUAUAGCAAGUAGCACUCUAAUUGUAGCAAUUCUAGCUACUGGUGAAUAUGUGUCAAAAUAGUCCACACCAUACUUUUGUGUAACCUUUGGCAACCAACCUGGCCUUGAACUUAUCAAUAGUUCCGUCGAUCUUCAUUUUCUUCUUAAGAUCCACUUACAACCAAUUGGUUUUGAACCAGGUGGUAAGUCUACUAAUUUCAGGUUUUAUUACCCAUGAUUGAGUCCAUCUCAUCAUUAAUAGCUUCCUUCCAAAAGGGAGCAUCUUGUGAGUUCAUUGCUUCUUCAUAGGUCUUGGGAUCAGCUCAAUAUUGAAGCAAUAUGAGAUUUGGUUGCUCACUGUAUCUCUAGUUCUUCAACUAGAUACAUAUAAAAGUCCGAACCGAAGUCUUUUGAUUUCUAGCUCUUUUGCUCCUUCUCAAUUCAAUGGUUUCAUUUUCACCAUCUUUUGUCAAUUCACUUGAUUUUGGAAUAACAUCUUUUAUAGAGGUGAACCUAUUCUCUUCAAAAAUAGCAUCUCUAGACUCAAUUAUGGUAUUAACCGAAAUUGAAUCAUUAGGUUCAAUUACCAUGAACCUAUAUGCUUUGCUAUUUUGUGCAUAUCUAAAAUAUACACUCCACACCUCUUUCUCCCAAUUUCCUUUUUUGAGGUUCUGGGAGUUUUACAAUAGCUCUACAACCCCAAACUUUCAAAUAGUUUAGGUUGGACUUCCUUUUAUUCCAAAAUUCAUAAGGGGUUAUAGAACUUCUUUUAUUAGAACUCUAUUUAGGAUAUGACAAGCCGUUAACAAGGCUUCACCCAAAAUCCUUGACUUAAACCAGAUUUUGACAAAAGUGCAUUAACCAUUUCUGUCAAUACACGAUUUUUCCUUUCGGCUACACCAUUUUUUGUGGUGUGUAAGGAGCAGUCACCUCAUGUUUUAUCCCAACAGACUCAAAAUAGGUAAUAUCAUAAUAUUCCCCACCUCUAUCUGUUCUUAGACAUUUGAUAAAGGAUUCACAAUGAAGUUCAACUUCUGAUUUGUAUGCCUUAAAUUUUUGCAAAGUUCACUUUUGAGUGUAACAAGAAAACAUGACAGUAUCUACUAUAAUCAUCAAUAAAAGUCACAAAGUACUUUUUACCACCCAAAAUAGGAGUACCAUGCAAAUCACGUACAUCACUAUGAAUCAAAUCAAGAUUUUAGAUGAUCUUUCAACUUUAGAAACGAAUUUCUUGUGAUUUUCGUUAGCAUGCAUGUUUUGUAUUUUCCUUCAAUUUUACAAUAUGGCAGCAAAUCAAGUCUCAUCAUUUCAUGCAUUCUUUUGUAAUUAACAUGACCAAUCCUAUUAUGCCACAAUUUAAAAGAAGACUCAACCAAACGCAGAAAUAAUAUCACUCUUAUUAUUUCUAAUAGCAGUACAUUCAACUUAAACAUCCCAUGCAAAGAUAACCCUUGCCUACAAACAUACCACCUUUAGACAAAAUAAAUUUGUCAGACUCAAAUAUAAGUCUAAAGCCAAAUUUAUUUAACAGCUCAGCCGACACCAAGUUCUUCCUAACUUCCGGUACAUAAAACACAUUUGUCAAGGUUACAACAUUUUCGAAGUAAAUUUUAAUUCUAUUUCUCCAAUGUCUUGAACCGGAAUUGUAGCAGAAUUUUUCAUGUAAACAACGGUGCUUUCAUCCACCGGUUUCAUGGACUUGAAGAACGUUCUAUUGUUGCACACGUGUCGCGUAGCUCCAGAAUCAACCCACCAAGCAAAAUUAUCUUCAAUCAUAUUGAUUUCAGAUAUCAUUGCUACAAGAUUUUGCUUGUGGUUUGGGAAGACUCUUGCUUCUUCUUCUUGUUUUGAAGAAUCUUGCAAUCGGACUUGUAGUGUCCCUCUUUCUUGCAAUAGAAGUAUUGUCCCUUCUUUCUUUUCUUGGAUUGAUUCUUGGGUUGUUGGCCCUUCUUACUUCCUUGAGACUUUUCAGUUUGCCUCUCUUCAAUCACAUGCACUUUUGAAGUAGAAUCUUUGUUCUCUUCAAGGAUUUGACUAUCCUUCUUUUCUUGCAUGCGAAUUUCCUCUUCUACUCGAAGAGAUUUAGCAAAAUCUCAAGAGAGAUAUCAUCUUUUUUGUUUGAGGUCUCUUUUGAAAUCUUUCCAAGAAAGUGGUAACUUAUCUAUUAUAGAGCAAACAAUAAUGGCUUCAUCAUGUGUAGAUUGUGUUGUGUGAGUGAUUAAGAAGCCUUUCAAUCUCACUAAAUUGCUCCAAAACUUAUUAUCUACCAUUUUAUAAUUAUUAAAAGACGAGACAAGAAACUUCUUACUUGUAGCAUCUUCUUGCAUGUACUUGGACUCCAAUCGAUCCCAAAGUUCCUUGGCAGUAGUAAUUGAAUGGUAGACAUCGAACAGGUUGUCACUCAUGGUAUUGAGGAUGUGACCACGGCAUAUUUCAUCGUCGUUCUCCCAUUUCUGACGGUUUCAGAUGUGUUCAAGAGUUUCUUCAUCGGGAUUGAUCAAUGAUUUUGGUGUGAUCAAAACAUAGACCACUUUGAGUGCAGUGAGAAGGAAAUGAACACGUUUUUGCCAACGAACGAAAUUUCCUCCAUCAAACCGCGUGAGCUUGACAAUAUUGGAUGCCAAAUCUUUCAAGGUACCAUCCAUUGUAGAGUAUAAAUAAAGCCUAAAAUUGUUGGGUAAAUUGUAAAGGACUAGCAAAUAUUGUAACAAGAAUUGGCUUCAAAUCGUGAUAGAAAUCACUUUCCUUUAGGCUUUAUUUGUCCGGUAUAACGUGCAAUUACCUUAGACAAAUAUCCUUUAGGAUAAGAUGAAGUUUUGUUUGUUUUAAACUCUUGCACAAAGCAAGACAAACCCUUUGUGAACUAAGAGUGCUUUUGAGAGAGUAAGGAUAGUAGGAAAGUGAUUUUCUACAGCAAACCACUCUCUACUUGACCUCUUUAUAUAGGAAGAUUGUUUGGGAAACAAAAGAUCUCAUUAAACACUUGUAUGAAUAGAUUCAACGUAUUGUGUACACAUUCAUGCACUUUAAUUCAUGCAUCUCAUGAUCAUUUAGAUCAAAACAUGAAUCUAUCCUUUCAUUCAAUAAUUCCCAUAUACAUGAAUACAUUCAUAAAUGAAUGUACUUUUAGGAACAUUCACAAUACUAUACAUGUACCAAAAAUUAAUGAAUAUACAUUAAUUACAUGUAUGUACAUCAUACAAAUUUUGAAAAGUUUCCAACAGGCUUGUGAUAGCAAAAACUUCAGGAGGCUUCUGAAAUUAUCCCUUAAACUAAACUAAAGGAGGUAAGAUUUUAAGCAGAUCUCGGUAAGUUAAAAGGUUAAAACUUUACAUACAAAUAAAUGGUCAAAUUCACUUUAAAUUUGUGGUGUCAUCUUCCACCUUAAACUUUUGUACUAUCCAAGUUCGUUUUAAUUCCUUUGGGAAAAUCAAACAUCAAAUGCUUACCAUUUAUUGAAACAUUACAUCAUCCAUCCAAUUGAAACAAACUCCUACGGAGUUUUUUUUUUUUUUUUUGCUUUAUUUUGUUGUUAGAUAUGAAUUUAUUUCACAUUUGGUUGUCAGAUCUAAAUUUUUUUUUCAAAUUUUAAAUCUAUUUCAACAUAUCUCAUUAUCAUUAUUGAAACUUAAAACCGUUUAUUGGCAAAUCUGGUGAUUGCCAUAUGCACGGAAGGGAUGCACUUUUAAAAUUCUUUAUAUAUAUUUUUUUAGAUUUGUUUGUAAUUUUCAAAUCUAUUGUAUCUGUUAAAUUAUGAUCUGUAAUUUUUAAUGGAUGUUUGGCCUGCCAUUAGGGGAGUUAUGCAAAUCAAAUCAUGUUAGAUGAUUUCCAAAAAAAACUUAAUCGUCAAUUACUCUUUCCCAUUUUAUUUGUCCACUUUUCAAUUGUCAAUAACUCUUUUAAGAAACUUUGUAAUACAAAAAUCAACUGAAACCAGUAGAAUAUUACUUUGUAAUAUUUUUUUUGACAAAAAAAAGUAGAAUAUACAAUUAAUAGCAGUAUUCAUAUUAUGUUUUUGUAUAUUACUUGUACAUCUAAUUAGUCCCAUUUGGAGAAAAAAAAGGAUGAAGACAAAGACAAAAACACAUAAUAGUCACAAAAAACACAGAUCUAGCUCAAAAUAUGGCAGUGACCAAUUGUUCUGCAAAAUUAUUAGGAUAAGCAGUUGACAGAUUCUAUAAUCGCUUUUGGUCAAAUAUUAUUUAAAUUAGCUGGAUGGUCAAAUAUUACUUUUAAUUUUAAUCAUUUAAAUUACCAGUUACUAUCAUCAUUGGAAGAAGCACAUUGAGGGUCUGUUUGGAUUGUGAAUUAUUAGAGAUAUUUUUACUGUAGCACUUUUUAUGAUGUGAUGUAUGUGAGAUAAAAAGGUAAUUGGAAAGGUAAAAAGGUGUAUUGGAAAUUGUAAUAAUGAUGUAAGCAAAUAAAUUUUGAGAAAUAAAGCCCAAUCCAAACAAAGCCUGAAGGAAUGAUACUCUAAGAUGACUACAGAAAUUUUCUAGCUGGUUAUACAACAUAUUAAUAGUUGAAUGUUGACCUCACCAGCCAUCCCUCAUUCCUUGUCGCAUCCUUUUUAUGAAUUGGAUUCAUCUAUUUGGUGUUCUAAAAUCACAUUUAAAAGUUUUUUUUUUUUUGCGAAAGUGUUAUUAUUCAGGAUGUGUAUGAUAAUUUAAAAUUUUAAUAGUGGACCUAAAAAUAAAACUUGUAAAUUUUACAUAUGAGCCUACCUACUUUUAAAAUAGAGGGAAAAAAACAUCACAUAACUUCAAGUCCAAGAUUGUAUGCAGUUUGUCCAAUAAAUAGAUAUUCAUAAUUCAUAAUUUCAUAUACACAUGUUAACUAGAGAUGUCAAUCACAACCCAAUUAUAUUGAUCCGUUCAAAACCGUUCACUAAUAACCCAUCCAAAUUCACUCAUUAAAAUUUAAAUGGGUCUAAGUGAGUACCUAAUUAAAUCCAUUUAAUUGGUGGAUAGUUGAUUGAUUUGACUCACCCAUUUAUAACCAUUUAAAAAAAUAUAUUUUUAAACUCAAUUUUUACUAAGUGUUAAGAAGAUAAAUUUGAAUUUCCUACAAAUCUAAUAACAAUAAAAUAUCAUUUUUCUUGUUAAACGACAUGCAAAAAAUUUUAAAAAAAAUAGAAUUUCAAAUCAGUGUAAAUGGGUAAUUAAGUAUUUUCAUAUCCAUUUAUUAAAUAGAUAUAAAUGGAUUGAUUCAAUUAUAUCUAUUAUCCAAUUAAAAUUUGCUCAAACCUGUACAAGUCACUCAUUUUUAUGCUUCUAAUGUUAAUAUAUAUUCACAAGUGAAGAGUGCAGCAUUGACAAGGAAGAUAUACUUAUUUAUCCCAAUAUUAUAGUCAUUUUUUUCAUUACAAAAGUAUUGAUAAUUUCAUAAUUUCAUCAUCAGUGACAUAACAUUACAUGAAUUUCAACGAAGUAUGUAAUCAGUGACAUGACAUAACAUGUCAUCAUUAGUCUUCAGCGGUGAAUCUUAUCACGAGGCUUCUUUUCGAAGCUUUGAUUAUGGCAUACACUUCUGACAAAUGUCCCUUUUAGAAUAGGGAUAAUUUCUGUGACCAGGCUUUCUUUCAAAGCUUUGAUUAUGGCAUACACUUCUGACAAUGCCCCUUUUAGAAUAGGAUAAUUUCAGAAACCUCCCAGGGUUUGUAACAAUUCAUCGAACUUUUUGAAAUUUUUAAUAUUACACUUAUCUCCCUUUAUGAUAGACAAUAAUUAUAAUAACCUUCAUAAUUUUUUCAAAGACAAGCUAUUGAUAAAAAAGAUAAAAAAAAAUGAAAACAAUUCUUCUUGCUAAGCCUCAUAUUGGACUAAAUUGUUUCACCCAUAACCACUAAAUUGUAAUUUCUAUUACUCAGAAAAGAAGCAUUUUGGUAAUUGAGGGGCUUGGUUGUUUGAGUGGGAAAAGGGUAAGAAUUGUGAAUUUUAUGAUUGACGGUUUGGUAGACAACAUAUGGAAAAAACUUAUAGAGAGGUAAAAAUUAUAAAGAUAAGAAUUAUGAUGAUGGAUUUUGACAUCUAAAAUAUCGAGCUUGUUCGAAAAAAGGAAGAAAUGAUAAGAUCGAGUUUGAAAACUUGGGUAGAUGUAGAAAAUUAUGAGAUGAAAAAUAUUAGGACAUUGUCUAAGUAAUAAAACUCAUAGGUUUAUAGUAUACAAGUGUAUUCUUGAUUUUGAAAAAAUUUUAAUGACUAUUCAUAUUUUGAAAAUUAGAUAAGGGCAAUUUUGGACAUUCAUAUAUUUUUCUGGUCUUACAUCAUCAAGGUGAAACUCAAACCUAUGUUUUAGUAAAUGUAUGUGUAAUUUUCAAAAAGUGAGGAAAGCUGUCUGAAAUUAUCAGAAACCUCAGGGGUGAUUUAUGAAAUUAUCCCUAAUUUUUUUUUUGGUACAAAAAACUCCAAAAUAAUAUGUCCCACACUCUGUGCCACACUCUGUGCCACUUUUUAUUAUAUUGCUAUUUUUCCUACAUAAAUAACAUGUUUUAAUUCUUUUUUGCUUUCUUAAGAUCCAAUAACUAUUAAUUAAGUAAAAAAUAAAUACAACAACUUCAAAAAAGCAAUAUAUAAUAGAAAAUUAAAAAAUACAGCAGAAAAUUCAUAAAAAAUCUCAUUUUUAUAUAUUUUGAUUUUUUGACUUUGUUAAAUUUUGUGUAUUACUCAAUUAAUAGUUAUUGGAUCUUAAGGAAGCAAAAAAGAAUUAAAAUAUGAUGUUUAUGUAGGAGAAAUAGUAAUAUAAUAAAAAAUGGGACAGGCACAUGGUGUGGGACAAAAGGUCCGUUGCACCAAAAAAGUGGCAGUUCAAACUGGAACCAUCUCCUAUUUUCGCAAGUCCUCCCGCCGGCGGCCCUGGGUCAUCUAUAAAAGUAUAGACCAAGACAACACUAAUCCCUCAUCAGUCCACUCCAUACUUCUUCUUCAAGCCUCAGCAACGAAACAAUAAACUCUGCUCCACUCAACUCUUUCCUCUGUGUCUUGUGCUCUUGUCUGAAAAUGGGCGGCGUCAGAAGAAGUGAAAGUGCCAAGAAUCAAGCUGGGGUCGCAAGGUUUUGAAGUUUCAGCUCAAGGGCUGGGCUGCAUGGGCAUGUCAGCCUUCUACGGGCCGCCAAAGCCCGAGCCUGAUAUGAUCAAACUCAUCCACCAUGCUAUUUGCAGAGGAAUCACCCAUCUUGACACCUCCGAUAUCUAUGGACCUCACACCAACGAAAUACUCAUUGGCAAGGUACCAUAUUUGCAAAUUUUCUGCUGUUGUCUGCUAUGCGUAAACUCUUGUAAUUUUAAUUUCUAAAAGAGCAUAUUUUUAAAUAUUUUAUUUAGGUAAAUUAUACUUAAUCCCUUGCACUUCAAAAUUUGUCUCCCUUUGUGCCCCCUUAAUUUUGUUUGUCAGCACUUAAACUCCACUUGUUUAAAUUGUAAGUAUUAUUAGUCAAAUAUGACAUUGUUCUUCUUCAUUUUUUCAUGUUACUGCCUUUUCAGUUUGUCCUCCUUUAUAAAUAUGGGAUGAAUUACUUUGAUUUUGAUUUUGGUGCAAUUUUGUAUAAAAUGAUUUUUGCUAUGAAGUUAUUGAUUUAUUAUGAGCUAUGCGUUGUAUAUUUACACAAAUUCUGCUAGUUAAACAUUCACUUGAGCAGGCCUUCCAAACAUGAGCAAUAUAAUUCUCUAUGGGUGCAUUUGGUAAAAUUGACGAUUGAAAAUUGAAAUCUAAUUUAAAGUCUGAAUCCAUAAAAUUAUUAAUUUGUUAAGUACUAAAUUUGAUACGUUUGAGUGCAUGUCAUGUCAAGUGAUCACAGAAUAACUCAUCACUUAUUUUUUAAAGCAAGUUUUGCUUAAGAAAUUCAGUGCCAUUUAAUUAAUUUAGAUAUUCAAUGUUUAAUUAUCAAACAUAUAUGAAUAUAUUAACAUCUGAAUCUAUUAAUUUUAAGUGCUGAAUUGGGUUAUCAAACAUGACCUAUAAUUAUUAGGUAACCAAGCAGACAACAUGUUUAGUGUAUAAUAGUAAUUAACUUUCAAUUUGUGUCGUUAUUCUUUGGUAAAGAACUCUUAGAAUUAUUAAUAAUAAAUUUCUCAUACACGGGAAUCAAAAUAAUUGAAGUUUUAUCUCUACCAUUGAGAUAUGUUGCCAUCUAAAAGAAAGGAAAGGGAAGGAAACAUGGGGGAAAAUAGGGAAAGGGCAAAGUGAUGAUAAAUAAAAUUGGAAGUAGCAAAAUGAGACAAAUGAAUUAUUGCAAGGGGUUAAGUGUAAAUUAUGUUUAUUUUAUGAGACCAUUUAGGCAGAAAGACUGGACCCUUUUAACGCGCCAAUCAAAAGUUCCAAUUGCUGAAAAUAACAUAAAAACUUGACUUUGUUUGGUUUGGCGUUUUUGGAGGUGGUUCAUGAAAAUUUUAUUGUAGUUUUUUUUUUCAUCUUGAAAAAUAUACUUUUUUCAUCAAUUUAUGGAAAGUUUACAAUUUCUCUGAUAACAGAUGGUAAAAUUUACUUUUUACGAGCACUGAAGUUUUAAAGAUUAUGAAAAGAGAAUUGUAUGAAGGAAUAGAAGGGAAAAGAAGGGUAAGAAAAUGGAUGGAUUGUGUUUGGAUUGAUUUUGGAGGGGCAAGGAGAGGAAACGGAGAGAAAAGGAAAUGGAUGGAUUGUGUUUUGCUCAGACAUCAUUUCCAUACAAAAGUAGAUAGAAACAGAGGGAAAGAAAAUCUUGUUGAUGAUUUUCUAGUAAAAUGCCUCGAGCACCCAAAUUUUACAUAAACUUGCCAUUUGUGAAACCUGCUUUAGAUAUGAAUUGUGGGAUGCAACAGCAGGCUAGGAAUGUUUGACGAAGCAACUUGUGUAGAUAUUUUAUCGUUAAGUAAAGAGAAAAACUAUUCCUUUCAUGUCUGUCGUUCUACCAAACAGCAUAUUAGGUUUUCUUUCUUUCCCAUUCAUAUCUAAUCCAAAUAAGACAAAUGAGAACUAUUUUCUCUACUCUCUUUCCUUUCUUUUUCACUAGCAUGUUUUAUUUAUUUAUUUAUCCUUUCCUUUGAUCCAAAUGGUUCCUAAAAGGCCACUAAUUAUUCUACAUUGACCAGUUCCCUAUUUUUGUAUUAAUUUGCAUGUGCACGAUUCUGUGUAUGUUCAUGUUGUGCAUCAAAUCUUGUGAAUGACAAAGCUAGAGUGUAAAUUUAAGUUGAAGAAAUAUAAAACAAAAAAGAAAAUGGAUUGGCUCCUUUAAGAGUAUCAGACUUCUAAACCCCAAGGAUUACAUAAUUUUCAUAUCCUUUGCGAUACAAAGAAGUGGCAUAGCCUUAACAAUGAAGUGUUGGAAAAACUCCAGAAGGAAUGUGCCCAUCCAUGAAAUCCCAAAUCGGCUUGCUGUACCAUGCAGUAAUGUGUAUGUCCUUGAUGAUUAACAUAAUGAAAUCAUGGUUCUAGGCCUUGAAGGAAGGAAUAAGAGCGAAAGUGGAGCUAGCAACAAAAUUUGCAAUCAGUUAUCAGGAUGAGAAGUUUGAUGUACGUGGUGAUCCAGCCUAUGUGAGGGCUUGUUGUGAAGCGAGUUUGAAGCGGCUUGAUGUGGACUGCAUUGAUCUCUAUUAUCAACAUCGCAUUGAUACACGUGUGCCCAUUGAAGUCACGGUUUGCUCGUCUUGCCUUUCUUGUUUUUUAGCUCCACCUCAUUCUUGAUGAAACAAAAGUUUGAUCAACUCCAAAUUUUGAAUAAUUCAGUUUCAUGUCCGUUUCAAUUCUUCAAAAGUUGCACAGAAAAGUUAGUCAACCUUAUGGUCUCGGCUAAUCUGCAGUAUGGUAUAGCUGAUUUUGCACAAGGCAUCCUGAAAAGUGAAAACAAUGAAUAUGUCUUAUAUUAGCUUUGGCUGUCCUGCUGAGGGAUAUACAGGUGGAAAUCAUGCUAUACAUUGUACAGCUUUCCUUUAGAACCAAGAAACCCGAGCAUUCUCUUUCAAUUGAGAUAGGCUAUCUGGUUGAGUAAUGAUCUGCUAUUUACUUACCUUGUCAACCAUUUUCAGUUGGUGCCUAAAGCACUGCAGAUAGACAUUUAUUAUUGAUAUCUAAAAAACAUGGUACUCAUUUUGUCCAGAGCACAGCUUUUUGUCUAAUUGUCAAAGCCAGCUGCAACUGCCCCAUUGACCUCUCCAGACAAUUCAAAGAUUUCAGCAGCUUGCUUACAUUCAGCUUUUAUGAAACAAUUUCUGUCUUCUUUUUCUCAUGUAAUCAGCAAAGAAUUGUCUUGGUUUCCCUGAGUAUUAGAUAGAAACUUUCUUGCAGUUUAAUCACUCAAAAUACAAGCAAGUAUAAGGAAAUCAAGCAAAAUUGGCAACUGAUAAUUGGUAUGUACGGCCAUUAUUAUAUAUAGAAGUCAACAAUGCCAUGUAAUCAUAUUGGAGGAGCAUUAUGUUGGCAUGGUCCAGUAGAACUAAGUCCUCCGGUGGGCUGUACAUAGAGAACUAUCACUGGAUGCUGAUUGCCAUUUUCAUCAAUUAGUGAUUUCAGUUUGAUGUAUACUUUGUCCACGACAUCGUUGAACUAGUGCAACUUUUACUUUUUGCACGUAAUAUUUCGAUUAUCUGCCUAAGUGUUGAAUGUAAUAAAUCAGCUUAGCAUCUUCUUGUCCAUUGAAAUUCUCUAGAUAGGAGAGCUCAAGAAACUGGUUGAAGAGGGUAAAAUAAAGUAUAUAGGUCUGUCUGAGGCCUCAGCUUCAACAAUUCGAAGAGCACAUGCUGUUCAUCCAAUAACAGCUGUACAGUUGGAGUGGUCAUUGUGACCAGAGAUGUCGAGGAAGAGAUUAUUCCCACUUGCAGGUAGUGCAUAUAUUCUGCUGCAUUUUCUACAUGGUCUAGAAGAAAUAUUAAGUUCUCAAUUCAGUUUUUGGUAUAAUCUUUCAGAGAGCUUGGCAUAGGGAUUGUUGCAUACAGUCCACUUGGACGAGGUUUCUUCUCAUCAGGUCCAAAGCUGAUUGAGAAUUUGGCUGAAGGUGACUACCGAAAGGUUUGUGCAUAUCGAAAAAGAUGGAGUUUUUGAGUAUACAUUGUUUAUAGUUCGAAUAAGUUUCUCACUCAUCUAUUUUUACCACAUUCAGUGGCAAUCAUGCUUGAUAUCAAAAGAGGAAGAAACUAUGUCACUUUUUAAGUAAAAGUCUCUUUACGGUUUUGAAGGGAAAAGGACCUUAGACUUCAAUUUCAUCAUUUAAUCUCAGGCACAGAACUUAUGCUGUCCUGUGAAACUAUCAUUUUUCCUUUACCAUUAAUCCUAAAACUGAGUUUCAUUGGUCAGAAAUAUACUUCAUAGUAGUACCUCCUCUAGCGUUCAUCGUAGUACCUCCAUCGUUCAAACAAACAAAAAUUAGUUGAUUUGUAUUUUAAGUUUCCUCUUUGAUGGGAAAUGUAUCUCAGAACUUAACUCCAACGGUUGAUGCUUCCUCCGUGGAGUAUUCAGUCGAACUUGAUGCAUUGUUCUUUCCCCUGAACUUGUGCCCUUCAAACAGUAUUUCUGAUCAUCUUGAAGUAAUUAGUACCGUCUGUUCAUUACUCCCUCCCGAUUUCUUGCAUUAUAGCUUCCUCUUUAAUGGGAAAUGUAUCUCAGGAUCUACAUUCUACAAUUGAGGUUUCUUAGAGUACUCAGUCCACCUUACUGGAUUGUUCCUUCCCCUGAACUUUGUACACCUUAAACAAUACUAUCGAUCAUUUUGAAGUUAUUCAUAUUGUCUUCAUUUGUAGAUGACACAUGCUUUGCUCCCUUUUGAAUUUCUGGCAUUACAGUUGCUUAAAUUUUGAAAUUCAUACAAUGUAGGAUAUGCCAAGGUUUCAAGCAGAGAAUUUGGAGCAGAACAAGAACUUGUAUGAGCGGGUCAAUGCCAUUGCUUCAAGAAGGGUUGUACUCCAUCACAGCUAGCAUUGGCCUGGGUCCAUCACCAAGGCAAUGAUGUUUGCCCCAUACCUGGCACUACCAAGAUUGAGAACCUCAAUCAGAAUAUAGGAGCUUUGUCUGUAAAACUGUCAGCAGAGGAAAUGGCGGAACUUGAAUCUUUUGCUUCUGCGGGAGUCAAGGGUGAUAGGUAUGGGCCUGGCCUUGGUACUUGGCAAACUUCUGAAACUCCACCUUUGUCAACCUGGAAGAGAACAUGAAGACAUACUUUGUUAUUGCAAUAAUUCCUUCUAGCUAUGUGCCUGAUGGUGGAUUCCACUAUAUUAAGAGUUGAGUGAUAUGUAUUUGUUCCAAUAAAGUUUGACAUACUAUUGUCUCUAGGGUUAAGGCAAGUAAAGUUAUAAGAAGAAUGGAGUUUCUUCAGAGGUUGUAAUGAAUAAAUAUCUGGUCAUGUAAAAGCAGAAUAUAAUUUUCCUUGCAGUUGAAUGCAUUAAAGGUUAUAUAUUGUACUUUUGAAUGCUAUAGUGGUCCAUUUUUUAUGUGCUACUGCUACGAGAGUUAUAGAUUGUCGAACAGCAUUCAAUUCAGGACUUAUUAAACAUAAGCAUAUAAACAUUUUAUGCUCGGAAUAUUUACAUCAAAAGAAACUCCAAGGUCACAUCAUUGUAAAGUGUAAACUACAUCAUAUUAACAAAAAGCAAAAAAAAAAAAAAAAAGGUCUAAAUGAGGAAAAAAAUGUACUAUAGAAGUAGUCAACAAUGUCAUGUAAUCAUUUGAUCCUAAAAUUGAGAUUAAAAUUUAGUUGAUUUGUAUUUUGAGUUUCAUCUUUGAUGGGAAAUGUAUCUCAGAACUCAACUCCAAUAGUUGAUGUUUCCUACUUGGAGUACUCAGUCCACCUUGAUGCAUUGAUCUUUCCCCUGAACUUGUGCCCGUCAAACAAUAUUUCUGAUCAUCUUGAAGUAAUUAGUACCAUCUGUUCAUUACUCCCUUUUGAUUUCUUGCAUUAUAGUUUCCUCUUUAAUGGGAAAUGUAUGUCAAGAUCUACCUUCUACAAUUGAGAUUUCUUAGAGUACUCAGUCCACCUUACUAGAUUGUUCUUUUCCGUGAACUUUGUUCACUUCAAACAUUACUAUGAUCAUCUUGAAGUUAUUCGUAUUGUUGUCUUUUGUAGACGACACAUGCUUUACUAAUUACUGCACUUUGAAUUUCUGCAUUGCAGUUGCUUAAAUUUUGAAAUUCAUACAAUUUAGAAUAUGCCAAGGUUUCAAGUAGAGAAUUUGGAGCACAACAAGAAGUUGUAUGAGCGGGGUCAAUGCCAUUGCUUCAAGGAAGAGUUGUACUCCAUCACAGCAAGCGUUGGCCUGGGUCCAUACCAAGGCAAUGAUGUUUGUCCCAUAACUAGCACUACCAAGAUUGGAAACCUCAAUCAGAAUAUAGGAGCUUUGUCUGUAAAACUGUCAGCAGAAGAUAUGGCUGAACUUGAAUCUAUUGCAUCAGCUAGAGUCAAGGGUGAUAGAUAUGAUCCUGGCCGUAUCAAGGGCAGAGGUUAUGGGAUCUGAUUAUGGGCAACUGAUUAUGGAAUCUAUUCUAUCAUAAUUGCAAAGAUUAUGACUGAAAUUAUGGGAUCUGCUCUAUCAUGUAUAUUAGCUGUAUAUUAGCAUAUGUGUCAUUAAUAUAUCAGAUAGGUAGAUAUAUUCUUACAUAGAAUAGAAUGUACAGAGUUUCUAUUUAAUGGAAAAGAUGCACAAAAGACAGCAUUCAGUCUUUGAUCUAGAAAAUUGUCAUGGUAUCAGAGCUGGUUAUUUGAAUUUCUGUGUCUUUCAAAAUUUGCUGAGUUGUUAUUCUUCUUGGGUUGAUUAUUUUGAUCAAUCAUUUGGUUUCAAGAUAUCAUUUUGGGUCAAUCAUAUUGUGGUUGGCAGCCUUUCUUGUAAUUCAGAUCUUUGUUUUUUUGAAAGUAUGUCUGUGGCAAACUCUUUGGGAAAAACACAUACGGAAUCUUUGUCUAUCAAGUUCAUUGGGAAAAAUUAUGCAGCAUGGGAUUUAGAAUGUUUCUAAAGGCAAAGAGCUUUGGAGUCAUAUUGAUGGGUCUUCUACAGAACCUAGAGAUGGAAAAGAAUUUAGUCAAUGGGAGGCAAAGGAUGCUAGAAUUAUUUCUUGGAUUCUAGCAUCUAUUGAAGCUCAUAUGGUGAAUAAUUUACACUCCUUUAAUACAGCAAAGGAGAUGUAGGAUCAUUUGAAGCGUGUAUAUCAUCAAGAUAAUACAGCAAGAAGAUUUCAACUUGAAUUGGAAAUUAGUAACUACGGCCAAGAUAACCUCUCUAUUAAGCAGUAUUAUUCUGGAUUUUUUAAUUUAUGGAGCGAAUACUCUGGUAUAAUCUAUUCUAAGGUACCAAGCGAAGCCUUAGCUGGUAUUCAAGCAGUUCAUGAAGUUAGUAAGCGUGACCAGUUUCUAAUGAAACUAAAGCUUGAAUUUGAAGCGGUCAGAGCUGGAUUGUUAAAUAGAAAUCCAAUUCCUUCUUUAGAUGUAUGUCUUGGUGACUUGUUGCAAGAAGAACUGAGAAUGGCUACACAAACUAUCAUAGGUGCAUCGAAGGAGAUAUCCGAAGUUGUCAAUAUUGCCUAUGCUGCUCAAGGGAGGAAUCGCGAAAAGGGACAAGUACAGUGCUUAAAAGCAGUCUGUUUGCCAGACACAUGGUGAGCCACAUUUAAAAAUUGGUUUCUAUCAUAAAGCCUAUCAUGUCCGGACAGAAGAUGGACUGUUUUUUAAAUUUUUUAUGAAAGCAAGUGAAAAGUGUUGCAACUCAGGACUUGGAUGGUAAUUCUAAAAUUUAUUAGUGCACCUACCUUUUAACUUUUGGUGUGCUUUUAAGGUAUCAAAUGGGGGAAAAAAAACCAACACCAUAUAACUUCAAAUGCAAGAUGGUACGAAAUUUGUAUCCAUUGACAUGUAAAAAGUGCACCGUUCAUCACAAAGAUAUUUAUCCUAAUAUUUAGAUUCAUUUUUUCAAAAAUUUCAACUUUGCAUGCAAACAUGUAAUCAAUAUGCAUAAAUAGAUAGCAUUAGAUGAAUUUAAACAAGUAGCCUUCAAAUUUAAAAUAUAUUGAUUUCAUAAAGGUGCAUUCGCAAUUUAGAAAAGGACUUUUCAAAUGGCAAAUCUAGAGAGCAAUAAAUACUCCUACUUUAUUUUGAUUUCAAAUCUUAUUUUGACUUGUCAAAAAAGUGAAACACGAAACCAAUAAUGGUCGAUACAAGGCUAAUUACUCAGAAUAUCGAUGUAAAAAUAUUGGACAUAUAUGAUUUUGACAAUGGGCAUGUAUAAAACUAUUGCUGUAAGGUUGUGUCAGCCCGGCAGCAAAAGAGGGUUUUUUUUAAAGCCUGCCAUUGCCACCGAGCUGACACGGCUCGGCAGCAAUAGUUUAAUUUUUUUUAAACGCUGCCGGGCCUUGUCAGCCAGAUAGAACAAAAAAAAAAAAUUUUUUUUAAACACAGCCGGCAGCGGGCAACAUUUGCAAAAAACUUUAAAAAGCUGGCUGCCGGGCUACGACAGUUCAAAAGAUUUUGCUAUCCGCCUACAACACCAGGUGAUAAAGAUAAGGGCAAAGGCGUACCGGGCAUUGAUAUGAUCAUUUCCGGUGCAUGUUUUAAAAUUUCAAAUAUUUGAAUAUGGGGAUUUAGCGUUAUUUUAAUCUUUUAUUAUUAUAAUGCUUGUCGUUAUUUUUAAAUUUCACAAUUUCAGCAUGUCAUGUUGCAUUUUUCCUUCUUUUUUUUUUUGCCUAUUUUGUUUUUAUAUUGCACAAUAACUUUAUAUUUAUAAAAUUAUAUUGUACAUUAAAAAUUACAUAAUAAUUUUAACAAACAAUUUUCCGGUACAAUUUGAAAACUGCAUCUUAUUGUAAAAUGAAAGAGAUUUUUUGUUUAAAAAAACCUUUUUUUAGUUUUUUACCUAUCGGAGUAAUUAUUAAUUUUACAAAUCUGUUUUCAUCUUUUUCUUACGUUCCAACUUUGAAACGUAAUUUAAUUAACUUAAAAGACUGUCGGGUUUAGUAUGUCAGGUAUCACACUUGUUGUAAUUAAAAAAAAUUUUCUUCUUAUUUUUUCAUUUUUUUGUUUUUAUAUUGCAAAAUAAAUUUAUACAUUUUUUCGAUUUUUCUAUACAAUUUAUAACAAAAAAAAAUAAUAUCAAAUAUUAUACAUUGUAAUUUUAACAAUUAUUUUGCAACGGUUUAAAAAACCUUUUUUAGUUUAACAUCCUAUAUAUUUUACGAAAAUGAUUUGAAUAUUUUUUAAUCAUUUAAAGAAAAGAUAGAUUUCUACAAUUACUAUUUUUUAAAUUUUAAUCCUUAAGAUAAAGAUUUUUGCGGGAAAGAUGAAGAUUUAAAGAAACAAUAAAGAGGCAAAGAAAAUAAAAGAGAAAAAUAGGAGAGGUAAUUUUGUCCAAUGGAGGAUAUAAUGAGACAGAAAAAUUCCGAUGAGGAUAAAGUAAAAAAAGAGAUAUAUUUUAAGGACAUUAAUUGUGAUUAACCCUAUUUCUUAUGCUCAAUUUGUAACUGGUCCAAAGCAUCAAAAGUAGCGUCCGCCUCCCAGGUGAUGAAUUCAUGGUCUUGAAUGUCCAAUAACCUAAGAAGAGUAAAAAGAUCACUUUAAAGUUGCUCCACACCCUACAAAUGCUUCUGAUACUAACUUUCUCGUCAUAUUAACAAAUGCUCCGCACCUUAAUGCUUCAGCACCCGUAAAAAACGUGUUUUUGCAACUGGUCCAAGAGUUGAACCCUUCGCUCAGAGUUACUUCUGGAUGUUGAAAAAAAACAUUUCGAUCACUUGAAUCUAACCUCCGCGUCUAAUCAAGCCAGAAGGCCAGCUUUUUUUUCACUGACCCUUCACGUGAACCUUCUGAGAACUUAUCUCAAGGGAAACUUUUAGUGGUUCAGUAGAAUUUUUUUUAAUCCUCUUACAUGUUUCAUUCGUAUCUCUCUACUUCAUGUCCGUGCAUUGUUGAAUUCUGAAGUGCAGGUCUUCUUUCGCCCGUAUUGUUAACCUUCUUUUUCAUGUUCAUUGAAGCACAGCAUUCUUUUUUUUUGAAAUUUUUUUUAAAAUUGGACUAGCUGCUGGACUGAGCUUUUUAAAGUUUUUUGCAGAUGUGCGUCAGCCCGGCAGCCAGCGAAUUAAGAAAAAAAAAAUUUUUUUGAGGCCGGCAGCGUUUAAAAAAAAAAAACUAUUGCUACCGGGCAAGCUUUAAAAAAAAAAAAAAAACCCUAACAGCAAUAUUUUUAUACAUGCCCAUUGUCAGAACCAUAUAUGUCCAAUUUUUUUUUCAUCGAUAUUCUGAGUAAUUAGCUGAGAUAGAGAGGAGUAUUAGAAAUUUGUUUUCUAGAUUCUUUGGUCUCCCAAUUUUUUCAACGGUCAACUCCGAUCAUUAUUAUCACAGUCAUGUGAUUGUAGGUCUACCACGCUUCAUAGUCCACAACGUGGAUUGGCACCACAAAGGAUGGUUUCAAAACACCAUUUUAGUCUAGUAAGGAUUGUGUAUAUAACACAAGUCUUUUUAGGUUUUCCCUCCCCUGUAAUCUAAAAUAAAAUAAAUAGGUUAUACAAUUGUUAUAGUCUUCAGAAAAAAAGGAUAGGUCCCACCCUAUUAUUAUUAUUUUUCUUUUAUAAUCAACAACGCCUAUUCUACACCUAUUUCAACUUCUAUUCUAGGGGAACGGGAGUUCAACUGAAAAAUUAAUGGUGAUUGAACCACGAACGGACCAAAAACUUUCAAGAUAAAAUUUGAUCUAAAAAUAAAUAAUAAUAUAUUAACUUAUUAUUUAAUGCGAUACAUAUUCAAAUAUAUUAAAUUUAAUAAUUUAAUAAAUUUUAAAUUUUACAUUUUAAAUUUUAAUUUUCAACCUUCAAUGUUGCCGUACUUACAACAACAACUUCUAGAUGGUCAACACUUAGAGUCGUAGCCCUUGCUUUUGGCAUACCCUAGUCCCUAUUUCUGUUGUUAUCAAUGAGGAAGCAAAUGUCUGCUAUUAAUUACACGAGACAUCAGUAGGUUUGUUUGGAUUGGAGGUUAUUUGAAAUAUUUUUUGAGAUAAUUAAUGUAGUACUUUUUGUGAUGUAAUGUAUAUAAGAUAAAAUUGUGAUUGGAAAUUGUGUGGAUGCAAAACAAAAUUUUGAAAUUUUUUUUUGAAAACCUUAAUAUUAUUGGCUGCACUACAAAUCAGUCAAAACUCAAGAGAUGAUAUUAAUUGAAACAAGUGGGCAAAUUGAACGAGGAUGCGUAAUUGACAUGGAAGUCUUGGUAGACUUGGAGGUAGGCUUGUCAACGGAUUGGGUCUGGGUCGGAAUUCAUUAUUCUGGACCCGGAUCCGACAUACUAUAUUGGACUCGGAUUCGACCCAUUUAUUCGACGGGCCUUCUACUCUAUAUUCUGAAUCCGGAUCCGACGGGUCUCGGAUUCGGGUCGAGUCUACCCGAAAAAAUCUAUCAAAACUUACAAAUUCUAAUAAAAAUGAGAAAAAAAUAUAUUUGUAAACCAAUUUUUAACUAAUAAAAAAAAUCAAAUAAGAAAAAAAAUCAAAUUGACUUUACUCAAAUACAUCACCCUAAUCAAAUUAUAUUGAUAAAUAUAUAUAUAUUUAAAUUGUUAAUCCAUUUAUAUCCGAAUCCGGGUCUAAUACGGGUCGAAAUAUUAUAUUCCGUAUUCGACCCGUUUUUUGUUUGAUAAAACGGAUCCGGAUCCGGGGUCCGAGUAAUGGAAUUAAAUCCCUACUCGUACCCACAAUAAUUUGACGGAUUCGAUCCGGAUCCGGAUCUAGACUCGAACUGUUGACAGGCCUACUUGGAGGGAUCAACAUUUGAAUCUGACUUGGAUGAGGUAAGCACAAAGGUAAGCAUUUUCCAUUUUUAUUUUGGUUUUCAUUUCUUGUAUACUUUAAAACGUUUUUCAUUCUACCUCACUCACAUAUAAUAUAUAAUGAAAUGUAAAUUUUUUAUGAAAACAUAUAAAAUAUAUAAAAUGAAAAAUAAAUUUUUAUAAAAACAUAUGUUUAUAUUUUUCUUUGUAUAAUGAAAAUUUAUAAUUCAUUCUACCAAUAUAUACGCAUAUAUAUAUAUAUAUAUAUAUGUAUAAUGAAAAAUAAAUUUCUUCUUCAUCUUUAGGGCUGCACCUACAAACAACAAAACUCAGCUCCACUCAACUCUUUCCUUCAUGUUUUUUAUAAAAAACAUAUAUAUAUAUAUAUAUAUAUAUAUAUAUAUAUAUAUAUAUAUAUAUAUAUAUUAAGUUACACUAAUUGUUUUAUCUCUUAAUAAUUUUUAUUUUUUUUACUAAUAUUACCUCAUGAGAGGCAAAAAGGGUAUAAAUGGAACAAAAUUAUUAUCUCAUUUUCCAAAAGAAUUUUUUAAUGGUACUUUUUCUAACAUGGGUUGAAGCUACUAUCAAAAUCUAGUUUAGGGAAAGUUAGUGCUAUUUUUUAAAUUUUAGGGUAGAUGAGUACAACUGUUAGAAACCUCAAAAAGGGAUGGUUUCUGCAAUUAUCCCUAAAAGCAUAGACCAAGACUACACUAAACACUAAAAAUUUGACACCUAUUUCUUAUAACUAUACUAGAUAAUCUCAUAAUUAUAUAGAAAAAUAAAUCAAAAUUCAUUACACAAAAGCAUUUUUGGAUAUUUAUUUAAGAAUUUGAUCAAAUUAAUAUUAUUUUAAAGUUUUAUUACAAAAACUAUCAAAUUAAAGGAGGUAGGGGUAAUGUUUCAAACCUCACAGUGAAAUUGUUAGAAACCUCAAAGAGGUUCUUGAUAUUAUCCCUAAUUUUUUUGGGUACAAAAACCUCCAAAAAAGUGGCAGUUCAAACGGGGCCAACAUUCUCCUAUCAUCACAAGUCCUCCCGCUGACCCACUAGCCGCCGGCGGCCCUGGGUCAUCUAUUAAAGGCUUAAAGCAUAGACCAAGACUGCAGUAAUCCCUCAUAUACACAUGUUAACUAGAGGGGUCAAUCACAACCCAAUUAUAUUGAUCUGUUCAAACCCGUUCACUAAUAAUCCUUUCAAAUUCGCCCAUUAAAAUUUAAAUGGGUCUAAGUGAGUACCUAAUUAAACCCAUUUAAUUGAUGGAUAGUUGAUUGAUUCAACUCACCCAUUUAUACCCAUUUAAAAAUAAAUAUAUGACAGGGUGUCGAGCCUGUGCAAUAAUAAUUAUCUACUCAAGAAAAACACAAAUUCUGUAUAUAGCAGUGAGUAGAGUCGAAUCCACACGGACUGUAGAUAAUUCGUUUCUUUUAGAGUCCAAAGUAUGGGGGUUUUGGAGAAUAUAAAAUAACUAAUUAACUAACUAAUAAAACAACUAAUAGAAAUAAAUAGAAAUUAAUCAAUAACCAAUAUGACUCUAGCCAAAGGUGCAACUUUUCAGACACGGUCCAUUCAACUGAUCAUCGAUGCAAAGAUAAUUCAAUUACUCAUUACUAGAUUGGUUAUAAUUGUCAUACACGCGAUGAACAACCAGCCUUUUCUUAAUUUCUCGAUAGUUAAAGUACGACCGUUAACUAUUUCUCUAACCAAGUAAUAACCCUAGGUACGACCAUAGGAUUUAAUUACUCGAUUACAUUAAUAAUUAGAAAAACCCAACCCUAACCAACAAACACGCUACGAGGGUUUGUUUAAAUUAGAUCAUACGUUUCCCUAACAUGAAACCAAUCACGCUAGUCGCCACUGGUAUUAAUCAAUUGAACAAUUACGGAUUCAAUCAAUUAAUUUAGCAUUAGAUCAUUAAGUUAAUUUGAAUAUCGGGCCCUUGACAUUCAAAUAACAUAACAAACAUAAGCAAUUAAAUCAGGAAACGUAAAAAUACCAAUGAAUAAAAGAAAUAAAUAAAAUUAAUUCGAUCUCACAGAUAUUUGGAACCGCGCCUUCAAAUUGGCCUUCGACUAGAUGAAAGGUUUAGUUCAUCUACAUGGAGGAAACCCCAUGUGAAAUUGCAGAAGUAAUUAUUCUAAAACAAAGCUAUGUUUUCGUCCUCCAUUGAAGAAAACGGCAAAGCUAUAUAUAAAGUAAUGAAUACGAAGGAACUACCUAGAAGCAAAAACAAAACGAAGCUCUCCUAUUCUAAAACAAAAACUACUUGUCUAGUGGUCCCCGCCGAAUUUAGAUAAAAGGGUGCAAUCCGUCAGAUCAAGCUUUGCCGACUUUUUCUCCUCUUUGUUGCCUAUUGCUAGGCAAAGACUUCAGUGCCCAGACCAUUCCUAAUCAGUGAAAAGAAAAUGCACUCCCUCUGCCGCACUCUGUGGGCCAGGUUGUUGAAGCUCUUUGGAGUCUCCUAUGUGUGGAGCUGUUUUAUCCUUCAGAUGGUCUCGCUCUUUUUUUUCUUUUUAUUUUCUUUUGUGUACUUUUCUGCUCCAUUCCUGAAAUGAGAUCCAAAUACCAAAUAUAAAUAUAUAUUAACAAUUAAACAAUAUUUAGUAAGGACAGAGGGGAAAUUAAUAAUAAAAUAAUCAAUAAUUAACACCCUAUCAAUUCCCCCCACACCUAAAUCAUACUUGCCCUCAAGCAUGGGGACGACAAAUAACACCAAAAUUUGAAAAUGGGUAUUGCCCCAUCUACCCUAUUGUCAAGAUACCAAGGAAAACAUCUAUCAAGCAUCAGUGAUCAGGGUUCAAGAAACAUCACCCCAAUUAGCUUCUAAACCACAAACUCCUCCAAUUUAAGACAAACUAAUCUAAGAAAAAGGAAUGGUUGCUCACAUUUAUCAACAAAUGGUCCAACUAUUAACUAAAAUCUCGAUAUUAAGAUCACAAACCGGCAAGCUGACUUAUUCACAUACUAACACAAUCUUUACUUUACUUCUUUUUUUUUUUUUUUUGAAUAACAAAAGACUUAGUCUAUAGCCCUUAGAGCCUUUUGACGCGAACUCCAACAUUUGCCAGAUGGAGAAGCCCGGUUUCUCAGCUCCAAUCGCUACGGGACCACGCACUCAUAGUAACUACUACCUUUUGAGGCGAAAAUCGACACUUUAGGUCAAGAUCCCCGAUCACUCAGUAGUAACCACUAGCGGAGUACAGUCAACUCUUAUUUACAACCAUAUAGCACGAUAACUAAAAAUAACAGCAGGCAGCCUCAAAUUUCCAAACAUGGAGAACUAAAAUUAAUAACUGGACCAAUUCACAUGAAAAAUGCCAACAAUCAUUCCCUAUGCCUAGAAAAGUUAACCAAAAAUUAGAAAAGUCAAGCAAUUACUGAUAUUCACAUGAAAAGUCAAGCAGAAGUAAGCAAAAGAGCAACUGUACUUCCCUGAAAUCACGGGGGGCAUGGCGGGGCCACAGCAGUGGGUGAGGCCGGAAAUGGUUGAUUUGGGUUGGGGUAGGCUAAGGUCGAGAGGUUCCGGACCUAGAAGAGGACUUUGAUCUCACCAUCGUCGCUAACAGGUAACCCAAUCAACAGAAACAAAAUUGCCAACAGAUAGAGGAACAAGUAAAUCUAGAUCAAUAGAAAUCAAUAUCCUCAAGUGAAGUCAACAAUCAACCCAAUAAGCACAGGUAUCUUCCAAUUUAAAAGGGUAGUGCACAAUAAAUGGCCCACCAAAUUUGCAAUGUAAAGCCCUGAGCAAUUCAAUCAAUACCAGAAAAUCGCCCCAAACAAUGUAACAGUUAAACUCCAUGGGCCAUGGACGUCCAACCAAUUUCACUCGAACAAACUAUGAGCAGUGCGAGUGACGAAACAAAGCAACAAAUUUCAGCAAUUAGACACAAUUCCACUCAAAAUCUCAACAAAUAUCUCCAAUGGACAGUCUUACACAACUUAACCAACUGGAAUUAGCAAAUAUCCCCAAGAAACUGACAAAACAAGCAAUAGUAGUUCAAAAUUUGGACUACAACUAAAUCAAAAUGUUGUUUCAGUUUUCAAUCAGGUAGCCAACCAAGUAGAAUCAAUAAAUGUAGACAAAAUACCCCAACCAGUACCACUGGUGUAUUCCACAGAAAAGAAUUAAUUCAAAUGCCAAUCCAAACGACUGAGAAACCCUAACCAAGACCAAACCGUACCAGAAAUUAGAAGAAAUGAAAAUGGGAAUCAAUUGGCAAGCAACUCCCAAAUCAACCCCAAAGAACUCCCAAAUAAAUGAAUUAUCAGAGGUGCCUUCAAAAACCAAAUACCAAAAAUGCAUAAAAACUCCCAACCAAUUCAACGGGAAAAACAAAAUUAAGCAAAUCACCUCCUGUGUUUAUCCAUCAAGGAACAACCCAAAAGCACAAAUUCCAGUAACUGAGGAUUCAGGAAAAAUGCCAAAACAAGGGUAGAAAGUUAAUACCUCCACCUGUCAAUUUUGACAGGUAGUGAUGCGCGGCAAGGAGGUGGCGCACGAGGUGGUGGCGAGCUUUGGAAGAUGAGUUGGCGAUAGAGGCUGUCAGCUACGCGUGCGACUGUGCGCACAAUGGGAGGAGAGAGGCGCGGCGAGCUGGUGGACAGCAGCAGCGGCACGGGCUGGUGGCAGUGGCUGUGGAGCGUGGGCAGGCGGCGGUGCGCAGCUGGUCAACGAAGGAGGAGAUGGGCGGCGCUCGGGCUAAGGAGAGAGUGAUUUGGGGGCUGUGGCGGCGUGGGGUGGAGUUGCGGCGGCGGUCAAAGGCACUGGUGAGUGGAGGUGGCGGGAUGGAGCUUGGAACGGAGGAGCUCAGCGAGCUGUGGGUGGACGGCCGUGGGCAGGGGAGCAGCGGCGGCCUUUGGAGCUGCUGAAGGUGGUCCGUGAGGUGGAGCUUGGAGCUCGGAGGCGGCGGCGAUGGAAGCUAGUCAGCGGCGUGCGGCAAUGGAUGAGAAAGGGAGACUGGUGGCGUCGGGCUAAGGAGAGAGUAAGGGAGAUGAUGGCGGAUGAGCGAAAGAAAAGAAGGAAAGGGAUACAGGGCAGCGAGGAAGAAGAGGAAGAAAAGGGAAAGAAAGGAAAGAAAAAAGAGAAGAAAAAGGAAAAAGAAAAGAGAGAAAGAAAAAAAGAAAAUAAAAUGGUUUUGGGGUUUUUUUUCAAUAUUUUUUUUUCAAUUUUUUCCCUAAUUUAAAUUUUCAAAAUUUGAAUUUUUGAAGAAAAAAAGAAAGAAAAAUGCUCUUUGAAUUUUUGAAUUUUCUCAAUGUGAAAUUUUAAAUUUUUUUUUGGUUUUGGAUCGUCAAACACCGCGUGAGCACGCCAAGAUUACACUUCCUGGUCACAGUAGAGGAAAAUAUUAAGACGACUACCACCCAAAUGAGAAAUGACAAAAUGAAAGUAAUGAACAAUGAAAAACGAUAAAACUAAUAUUUGGGUUGCCUCCCAAAAAGCGCCUUUCUUUUAUGUCUUUGGCCAGACAUUGCCAUAUUUGUUUAGGGAGGAUAAAAUCUUGUACCUCGGUUUAAUGUUUCAUCCUCUAUAUAGUCCUGAUAACCCUCGUAAAUAGAGUAAUUCUUGAACACAUGAGCUACGGUCUUCCCUGGACUAGUAAAUGGUGCCAAACAAGUCAACAAUAAGUUGAAUUUUCCAUUCACUCCUCCAUCACUUGCAUUUAUUGGUUUAAGAUAUCUUGCCAUCGCCACUCUUAAUUUAUUUCUGUCAUGAAAUUCGAAAUUUUCUGAUAUAAUAAAAUCAAUUUCAUUAACAGGAAUUGAAGAAUAAGAGUUAGAAGAAUAUUGAUGAAGGAAUGCGAUGUCACCGCAUUUGAAGAUUGUUCACUGGUUUCAUUCACUUGAACGAGUUGAUACUGGGGCAUUAUUUCUUGCACUUCACCUUUUUUUUCAACUGCAUCUUUAGAUCCGUUUUCUUGAAACUCUUGCAGUUCCAUGUCAUUUGACGGGAUAACUGCACUCUCAUCCUCUUCAAGGUUGAUAUUGGUUUGUGAGGGCAAUUCUUCAAGGUGAGAAGCUAAUCGCUCUAUCCUGGAUGUCAAUUGAUUCAUUUGAUCCGCCGGAUCCCUAAUGCUCGCUUGUGUCUCCUGAUGAAAUCGAUAUGUAUUAGUAGCAAAUAAUUCAAUCAAUUCCUGAAGAGACAUACCUGACAUGGAUGAUGGCUGUUGAGAUUCUUGCUGUUGAAAAUCCAUUGGCCCGGUCGCAUAAUUAAAAUUGGAAUCAUCCCACCAUCCUUGAUCAUACCCGUUUGAAUAAGGAUCGUACCACGUUUGAAAUCGAGGUGAAAAAUCUCCAAAAGUAUCAAUUGGAGCACUUAGAUUAUCUUGAAAUGCGGGGCAUGUGUCGGUUGAGUAACCUGAGUCAAAAUAAGUUCCACAAUUUGCAACAGUCCAUUGACCAUUAGGAAAAACUCGAGUCUCAUAACCUCAUUCGGGAAUAAAGUCCAGUCUAUCAUCAAAAUAUGGAAUGUUAGCUACCAUAAACUAUAUAUAACAAAAAAGAGAAAAAAAAAAAACAAGAUGAACUAAAAAAAAACAAAUUAAUUAGGCACCAGUCCCCGGCAAUGGCGCCAAAAAUUGACAGGGUGUCGAGCCUGUGCAAUAAUAAUUACCUACUCAAGAAAAACAUAAAUUCUGUAUAUAGCGGUGAGCAGGGUCGAAUCCACAGGGAUUGGAGAUAAUUCGUUUCUUUUAGAGUCCAAAGUAUGGGGGGGGAGUUUUUUGGAGAAUAUAAAAUAACUAAUUAACUAACUAAUAAAACAACUAAUAGAAAUAAAUAGAAAUUAAUCAAUUACCAAUAUGACUCUAGUCAAAAGUGCAACUUUUCAGAUACGGUCCAUUCAACUGAUCAUCGAUGCAAAGAUAAUUCAAUUACUCAUUACUAGAUUGGUUAUAGUUGUCAUACACGUGAUGAACAACCAGCCUUUUCUUAAUUUCUCGAUAGUUAAGGUACGACCGUUAACUAUUUUUCUAACCAAGUAAUAACCCUAGGUACGACCAUAGGAUUUAAUUACUCGAUUGCGUUAAUAAUUAGAAAAGCCCAACUCUAACCAACAAACACGCUACGAGGGUUUGUUUAAGUUAGAUCAUACGUUUCCCUAACAUGAAACCAAUCACGCUAGUCGCCACUGGUAUUAAUCAAUUGAACAAUUACGGAUUCAAUCAAUUAAUUUAGAAUUAGAUCAUUAAGUUAAUUCGAAUAUCGGGCCCUUGACAUUCAAAUAACAUAACAAACAUAAGCAAUUAAAUCAGGAAACGUACAAAUACCAAUGAAUAAAAGAAAUAAAUAAAAUUAAUUCGAUCUCACAGAUAUUUGGAACCGCGUCUUCAAAUUGACUUUCGACUAGAUAAAAGGCUUAGUUCAUCUACAUGGAGGAAACUCCAUGCGAAAUUGUAUAAGUAAUUAUUCUAAACAAAGCUAUGUUUUCGUCCUCCAUAGAAGAAAACGGCAAAGCUAUAUAUAAAGUAAUGAAUACGAAGGAACUACCUAGAAGCAAAAACAAAACGAAGCUCUCCUAUUCUAAAACAAAAACUACUUGUCUAGUGGUCCCCGCCGAAUUUAGAUAAAAAGGUGCAAUCUGUCAGAUCAAGCUCUGCCGACUUUUUCUCCUCUUAGUUGCCUAUUGCUAGGCAAAGACUUCAGUGCCCAGACCAUUCCUAAUCAGUGGAAAGAAAAUGCACUCCCUCUGCUGCACUCUGUGGGCUAGGUUGUUGAAGCUCUUUGGAGUCUCCCAUGUGUGGAGCUGUUUUAUCCUUCAGAUGGUCUCCCUCUUUUUUUUCUUUUUAUUUUCUUUUGUAUACUUUUCUGCUCCAUUCCUGAAAUGAGAUUCAAAUACUAAAUAUAAAUAUAUAUUAACAAUUAAACAAUAUUUAGUAAGGAUAGAGAGAAAAUUAAUAAUAAAAUAAUCAAUAAUUAACACCCUAUCAAUAUACAUUUAAGCUCAAUUUUUACUAAGUGUUAAGAUGAUAAAUUUGAAUUUCCUAUGACUCUAAUAACAAUAAAAUAUCAUUUUUCUUGUCAAACAACAUGCAAAAAACAAAAAAAGGUAGAAUUUCAAAUUAAUCAUAAAUGGGUAAUUGAGUAUUCUCAUGUCUAUUUGUUAAAUUGAUAUAAAUGAAUUGAUUCAAUUAUAACUAUUACUCAACUAGAAUCCGCUCAAACCCGUUUAAGUUAAUCAUUUUGACACCCCUAAUGUUAAUAUAUAUUGACAAGUGAAAAGUGCAGCAUUUAUCACGAAGAUAUACUUAUUUAUUUUAAUAUUAAAGUCAUUUUUUCAUUACAAAAAUAUUGAUAAUUUCAUAAUUUCAUGGAAGUAUGUAACCAGUGACAUAACAUAGUCGCCAGUGGCGAAUCUUGUCACGAGCCUUCUUUUCAACGCUUUGAUUAUGGCAUACACCUUUAACAAUAUGCCCCCACGUUGUCUUUCGAUCACUUUUUUUUUUUUUUUUAACCUCACAUUCGUUCGUUAUGUAUGUAUAAUUUCUUUACAAAAAAGUGAAAAACUCCAAAAACGUGGCAGCUCAAACGGGGCCAACAAUCUACUAUGUUCGCCUGUUCUCCCCGGACCCACCAGCCGCGGCGGCCAUGGGUCAUCUAUAAAAGCAUAGAUCAAGACUACACUAAUCCCUCAUCAGUCCAAUCCAUCCAUACUUCUUCUUCAGGCCUCAGCUACUAAACAAUAAACUCUGCUCCACUCAAUUCUUUCCUCUGUUUCUUGUGGUUUUUGUCUGAAAAUGGCGGCAUCAGAAGAAGUGAAAGUGCCAAGAAUCAAGCUGGGGUCGCAAGGUUUUGAAGUUUCAGCUCAAGGGCUGGGCUGCAUGGGCAUGUCAGCCUUCUACGGGCCGCCAAAGCCCGAGCCUGAUAUGAUCAAACUCAUUCACCAUGCUAUUAGCAGAGGCAUCACCCAUCUUGACACCUCCGAUAUGUAUGGACCUCACACCAACGAAAUACUCAUUGGCAAGGUACCGUAUUUGCAAAUUUUCUGCUGUUGUGUGCUAUGCAUAAACUCUUGUACUUCUAAUUUCUAAAAGAGCAUAUUUGUAAGUAUUUUAUUUGGGUAUAUUAUAUUUAACCCCCUGCACUUGAAAUCUUUGUCUCCCUUUGUGCCCCUUAAUUUUGUUUGUCAGCACUUAAACUCCAUCUGUUUAAAUUAUAAGUAUUAUUAGUCAAAUAAGACAAUAAUAUUCUUCAUUUCUUCUUCUUCUUCUUCUUCUUCUUCAUUUUUCAGAUGUUUGUCCUCAAUUGUAAGAGAAGGUCGUAGGUCUAGCACAUACGUUGAGUAGCUGUAUCCGAUUAGAAGGAUUUAGAUCAUAAUGGAGUUGGUAAAAUAGUACUAUUUUCGUCUUUGAAGUUAAAAUUGUCAUCAAUUUAUGGAAAGUUUACUAUUUCUCUGAUAAGAGAUGGUAAAAUUUACUUUUUACGAGCACUAAAGUUUUAAAGAUUAUGAAAAGAGAAUUGUACGAAUGAAUAUAAGGGAAAAGAAAGGUAAGAAAUAUGGAUUGUGUUUGGAUUGAUUUUGGGAGGGGCAAGGAGAGGAAAGGGAAAGAAAAGGAAAUGGAUGGAUUGUGUUUUGCUCAGACAUCAUUUCCAUACAAAAGUAGACGGAAACAGAGGGAAAGAAAAUCUAGUUGAUGAUUUUCUUAUAAAAUGCCUCAAGCACCCAAAUUUUACAUAAACUUGAGUAACCAUGUGUUUCAUAUCUGUAGAACUUGCCAUUUGUGAAACCUGCUUUAGAUAUGAAUUGUGGGAUGCAACAGCAGGCUAGGAAUGUUUGACUAAGCAACUUAUGUAAAUAUUUUAUCGUUAAGUGAAGUUCCUCUUUUGCUGUUCAAAAAAAAAAAAAAAAAAGAGAGAGAAAAACCAUUCCUUUAAUGUCUGUCAUUCUACCAAACAGCAGAUUUAGGUUUUCUUUUUUCCCAUCCAUAUCUAAUCCAAAUAAGGCAAAUGAGAACUAUUUUCCACUACUCUCCUUUCCUUUCUUUUUCACUAGGAUUUUUAUUUAUUCUUUCCUUUGAUCCUAAUGGUUCCUAAAAGGGCACUAAUUAUUCUACAUUGAUCGUUCCCCAUAUUUGUAUUAAUGUGCAUGUUCACGAUUCUGUGUACGUUCAUGUUGUGCAUCAAAUCUUGUGACAAAGCUAGAUUGUAAAUUUAAGUUGAAGAAACAUAAAAGAAAAAAGAAAAUGGAUUGGCUCCUUUAAGAGUAUCAGACUUCUAAACCCCAAGGAUUACAUAAUUUUCAUAUCCUUUGCUAUACAAAGAAGUGGCAUAGCCUUAACAAUGAAGUGCUGGAAAAACUCCAGAAGGACUGUGCCAUCCAUGAAAUCACAAUUCCGCUUGCUAUACCAUGCAUUAAUGUGUAUGCCCUUGAUGAUUAAUAUAAUGAAAUCAUGGUUCUAGGCCUUGAAGGAAGGAAUAAGAGCGAAAGUGGAGCUAGCAACAAAAUUUGCAAUCAGUUAUCAGGAUGGGAAAUUUGAUGUACGUGGUGAUCCAGCCUAUGUGAGGGCUUGUUGUGAAGCGAGUUUGAAGCGGCUUGAUGUGGACUGCAUUGAUCUCUAUUAUCAACAUCGCAUCGAUACACGUGUGCCCAUUGAAGUCACGGUUUGCUCGUCUUGCCUUUCUUGUAUUUUAGCUCCACCUCAUUCUUGAUGAAACAAAAGUUUGAUCAACUCCAAAUUUCGAAUAAUUCAGUUUCAUGUGCGUUUCAAUUCUUCAAAAAUUGCACAGAAAAGUUAGUCAACCUUAUGGUCUAGGCUAAUCUGCAGUAUGCUAAAUCUUAUUUAGCACCAGGCACCCUGAAAAGUGAAAACAAUGAAAAUGUCUUAUAUUAGCUUGGCAGUCCUGCUGAGGGAUAUACAGGUGGAUAUCAUGCUAUACAUUGUACAGCUUUCCUUUAGAAGCAAGAGACCUGAGCAUUCUCUUUCAUUUGAGAUAGGCUAUCCAGUUGAGUAAUGAUAUGCUAUUUACUUACCUUGUCAUUCGUUUUCAGUCGGUGCCAAAAGCACUGCAGAUAGAAGUUUUUUAGUCGAUAUCUAAAAAACGUGGUACUCAUUUUGUUCAGAGUAUAGCUUUUUGUCUAAUUGUGAAAGCCAGCUGCGACUACCAUUGACCUCUCUAAGCAAUUCAAAGAUUGCAGCUGCUUGCUUACAUUCAGCUUUUAUGAAAACAAUUUCUGUCUUCUUUUUCUAAUAUAGUCAGCAAAGAAUUGUCUUGUUUUUCCUGAGUAUUAGGAAGAAACUUUCUUGCAGUUUAAUCACUCAAAAUACAGGCAAGUAUAAAGGAAAUCAAGGAAAUUGACAACUGAUAAUUGAUAUGUACAGCCAUUAUUAUAUCUAGAAAACGUGACUGCAAAAAGCGCCUCCCACUCGCGUUUUCUGAGUCGCGUUUCCUGCACAAAACUUGCAGAAAUGGAAACGCGACUGUGCAGGUAAACGCGACUUCAAGUCGCGUUUUUGAAUCUUGACCCCUUCCUGCACUUUAUCACGCGGGCGCGUCAAGAGGAAAUGCCACCUACAUAUUAGCAACAACGAAAACUGAAACCCAAAAUCAGUCGAAUUCAAGGGAAAUAUAUUUAAACUAUCACACGAAAUCAAACAAACAAUUAAAAGAAACAAUUGGGUUGCCUCCCAAGUAGCGCCUUUCUUUAAUGUUUUUGGCUAGACAUGCUAUGCUUGUUCACGGGGGAUAAAAUCUUGUGGCUCGUUUCAAUGCUUCAUCUUCAAUAUGAUCCUGGUAACCCUCAUAGAUGGAGUAAUCUUUGAGCACACGAGUUACGGGCUUCCAUGGACUAGUAAAUGGCGUUAAACAAGUCAACAAUGAUCUGCAUUCUCCACUCACUCCUCCACCACACGCAUUCAUCGGUUCAAGAUAUUUUUUCAUUGCCACUCUUAACUUAUUCCUGUCAUGAAAUUUCAGAUUUUCUGGUAUAAUAAAAUCAAUUUCAGUAACAGGAAUUGAAGAGGAGGAAUUAGGAAAAUAUUGAUUAAGGAGUGGAGAAGAUGUCACCGCAUUUGGAAAUUGUUCACUGGAUUCAUUCACUUGAAUAAUUUGAUGUUGGAGUCUCAUGUCUUCCGCUUCAACUUCCUUUUCAACUGUAUCUUUGGAUCCUCCUUCUUGAGACUCUUGCAGUUCCAUAUCACUUGUCAGGAUAAUUGCACUCUCACCUUUCUUAGAGUCAUUGAUGGUCUGUGAGGGCAAGUCUGACAUGAAUGACGAUUGUUGAGACUCUUGCAGCUGAAAACUCAUUGGCCCCUCUUCAUAAUUAACGUUGGAGUUAUCCCACCAUCCUUGAUCAUACCGGUUUGAAUAAGGGUCAUACCACGUUUGAGAUCGAGGUGAAGAAUCUCCAAAUUUUUUUUUGAGAUAGUCACUCAGGUAGUCUUGAUAUUCGGGGCACAUACCGGUUGAAUGAUCCCUGGCAUAACAAAUUUCACAGGUUGCAGCAGCCAUUCUUUCUCUAACAGAGUUUAGUGCCUCUGCAUAUGCAGACCUCACAAAAAAACUAGCCUCAUUACCUUCCCCGGAAAUAAAAUCCAGUAUAUCACCAAAAUACGGAGUGUAAGAAACCAUAAACUAAAUAAAAAAAAAGAAUGUAAACAAGAUGAAUUGAAAAAGAAACAAAUAACUAGCGCCAGUCCCCGGCAACGGCGCCAAAAAUUGACAGGUGCCGAACCUGUACAAUAAUAAAUACCUACUCGAGAAAAAUACAGAUUUUGUAUAUAGCGGUGAAUAGGGUCGAAUCCACAGGGACUGGGGAUAAUUCGUUUCUUCUAGAGUCCAAAGUAUGGGGGGUUUUGGAUUGAAUGCUAACUAAAUAAAUUAACUGCAGAAAAUAAUUGAUUAAGAGAAAUAAUUAAGGGAAAACUCUAGCCAAGGGUACACUUCAGACAUGGUUCAGGCACUGAUCAUUGAUUCACACAUAAUUCCACAUUUAUUAAUAGACCAGUUAUAGUUGUCAUGCACGCGAUAAACAACCAACCUUUCCUUAAUUUCUCGAUAGUUAAGGUACGACCGUUAACUAUUUCUCUAACCCAAAAACAACCCUAAGUACGACCGUAGGAUUUAAUUUCUAGAUUGCAUUAAUAAUUAGAAAGGCCUAAUCCUAACUAACAAACACGCUACGAGGGUUUGUUUAAGUUAGAUCGUAUGCUCCCCUGACAUAAACUCAAUUACGCCAGUUGCUACUGAGAUAAAGAUAACGAACAAUUACGGAUUCAAUUAUCCCUAUUUAGCAAAAUAGCCUAUGUGAAUAAUUAAAUAUUGCGCAUCUAUUCAAUCACUCACACGAGCUAUAGCAAUUAAAAGCAGGAAACAUAUAAAUAUAAAUAAAUUAAGGAAGCAAUUAAAAUAAAUUAGAUCUCACAGUAAUUGUUGAACCAAAUCUUCAGUUGUCCCCUUGACUUGAAUUAAGAGGUUAGUUCUCCAUUAAUGGAGAACAACCAUGCGAAAGAGCUAAGAAAAGAAAACUCAAAACUCAACUAAAAACCUCAAACUAGUGAUUCAUUCCUCCCCGUUCUCUUGUACGUUUCUCCCUUUUUAAAGCCAAAAGGAAGUCUAAUGCUAUCUCUAGUGGUCCCCACACCAAAUUCAAAGUCUUGUACGUUUCUUUUCCUAGAGUCCAAAUGAUUCAUGCUUCUUAUCCGUGGUCCCCGCACAUGUGGACAAAGCCUUCCAAGUACUUCUUGUUCCAAGUCUCUUUCCGUAGCUUUCUUUGAAGAGCCCAAAUGACUUAUUAGCUUUUCACUAGCUUGUGGUCCCCACCACUCCAAGGGCCCAAGAAUUGAAGUCCUUAGAAGUCUCCCUAUUUUCCAUAAAGUCCUUCCUUUUUGGUAGUUUCCUGCUUCAUUCCUGAAAUUAAGUCCAGAUACCAAAUAUGAGUAAAUAUUAGCAAUUAACACAAUAUUUAUCAGGGAUGAAAGGGGAAAUUAAUAAUAAAAUUACUAACAAAUUAUACCCUAUCAAUCUAGUUCAUGAUUUUCUAGUAAAAUGCCUCAAGCACCCAAAAUUUUACGUAAACUUGAGUAAGCAUGUAUUUCAUAUCUGUAGAACUUGCCAUUUGUGAAACCUGCUUUAGAUAUGAAUUGUGGUAUGCAACAGCACGCUAGGAAUGUUUGGCUAAGCAACUUAUGUAAAUAUUUUAUCGUUAAGCAAAGUUCCUCCUUUCAUGUCUGUCAUUCUAUGCAAACCUCCUUUUAUCGUUAAGCAACUUAUGUAAAUAUUUUAUGUAAAUAUUUUGGUUUUCUUACUUUCCCAUCCAUAUCUAAUCCAAAUAUGACAAAUGAGAACUAUUUUCCUCUACUCUCCUUUCCUUUCUUUUUUACUAGGAUGUUUUAUUUAUUUAUUUAUCCUUUCCUUUGAUCCAAAUGGUUCCUAAAAGGGCACUAAUUAAUCUACAUUGAUCAGUUCCCUAUAUUUGUAUUAAUGUGCAUGUACACGAUUCUGUGAAUGACAAUUAGGCUAGAUUGCUUCAAAUCUUGUGAAUGACAGAGCUAGAUUGUAAAUUUAAGUUGAAGAAAUAUAAAACAAAAAGAAAAAGAAAAUGGAUUGGCUCCUUUAAGAGUAUCAGACUUCUAAACCCCAAGGAUUACAUAAUUUUCAUAUCCUUUGCCACACAAAGAAGUGGCAUAGCCUUAACAAUGAAGUGUUGGAAAAACUCCAGAAGGACUGUGCAAUCCAUGAAAUCACAAAAUCCGCUUGCUAUACCAUGCAUUAAUGUGUAUGUCCUUGAUGAUUAACAUAAUGAAAUCAUGGUUCUAGGCCUUGAAGGAAGGAAUAAGAGCGAAAGUGGAGCUAGCAACAAAAUUUGCAAUCAGUUAUCAGGAUGGGAAAUUUGAUGUAUGUGGUGAUCCAGCCUAUGUGAGGGCUUGUUGUGAAGCGAGUUUGAAGCGGCUUGAUGUGGACUGCAUUGAUCUCUAUUAUCAACAUCGCAUCGAUACACGUGUGCCCAUUGAAGUCACGGUUUGCUCCAUUUUGCCUUUCUUGUUUUUUAGCUCCACCUCAUUCUUGAUGAAACAAAAGUUUGAUCAACUCCAAAUUUAGAAUAAUUCAGUUUCAUGUCCGUUUCAAUUCUUCAAAAAUUGCACAGAAAAGUUAGUCAACCUUAUGGUCUAGGCUAAUCUGCAGUAUGGUAUUGCUGAAUUAGCACAAGGCAUCCUGAAAAGUGAAAACAAUGAAAAUGUCUUAUAUUAGCUUGACAGUCCUGCUGAGGGAUAUACAGGUUGAUAUCAUGCUAUACAUUAUACAGCUUUCGUUUAGAACCAAGAGACCUGAGCAUUCUUUUUCAUUUGAGAUAGGCUAUCCAGUUGAGAUAUACUAUUUACUUACCUUGUCAAUCGUUUUCAGUCGGUGCCAAAAGCACUGCAGAUAGACGUUUUUUAGUCAAUAUCUAAAAACAUGGUACUCAUUUUGUUCAGAGUAUAGCUUUUUGUCUAAUUGUGAAAGCCAACUGCAACUGCCUCAUUGACCUCUCCAAGCAAUUCAAAGAUUUCAGCAGCUUGCUUACAUUAAGCUUUUAUGAAACGAUUUCUCUGUCUUCUUUUUCUCAUGUAGUCAGCAAAGAAUUGUCUUGUUUUCCCUGAGUAUUAGGAAGAAACUUUCUUGCAGUUUAAUCACUCAAAAUACAGGCAAGUAUAAAGGAAAUCAAGCAAAAUUGGCAACUGAUAAUUGCUGCGUACAGCCAUUAUUAUAUAUAUAAGUCAACAAUGUCAUGUAAUCAUAUUGGAGGAGCAUUAUGUUGGCAUGGUCCAGUAGAACUAAGUCAUCCGUUGGGCUGUACAUAGAGAACUAUCACUGGAUGCUUAUUGCCAUUUUCAUCAACUAGGGAUUUCAGUUUGACGUAUACUUUGUCCAAGACUUCGUUGAACUAGUGCAACUUUUACUUGUUCCACGUAAUAUUUCGAUUAUCUGCCUAAGUAUUGAAUGUAAUAAAUCAGCUUCGCAUCUUCUUGUCCAUUGAAAUUCUCUAGAUUGGAGAGCUCAAGAAACUGGUUGAAGAGGGUAAAAUAAAGUAUAUAGGUCUGUCUGAGGCCUCAGCUUCAACAAUUCGAAGAGCACAUGCUGUUCAUCCAAUAACAGCUGUACAGUUGGAGUGGUCAUUGUGGACCAGAGAUGUCGAGGAAGAGAUUAUUCCCGCUUGCAGGUAGUGCGUAUAUUCUGCUGCAUUUUCUACAUGGUCUAGAAGAAAUAUGAAGUUCUCAAUUCAGUUUUUGGUAUAAUCUUUCAGAGAUCUUGGCAUAGGGAUUGUUGCAUAUAGUCCACUUGGACGAGGUUUCUUCUCAUCAGGUCCAAAGCUGAUCGAGAAUUUGGCUGAAGGUGACUUCCGAAAGGUUUGUGCAUAGCCAAAAAGAUUGUUUAUAGUUCGAAUAAGUUUCUCACUCAGUGGCAAUCUUGCUUGAUCACAUUUAAUCAAAUUUCUAUUAAGCAUAGCAAUUCAACGGGUUUUUUUUUUGUUUUCUUCUUGAACAAGUCUUGAACUCUUUAGUUUGAUUCAAUGAAUGCAGAUUUUGGUGUCCUCGGUACUUAGUUCAAAUUAAAAGAUAUAGCACUAGCUUUGUCAAAUUUUAGAUCUUAUAUGAAUUGAAGGUUGUUAUUGCAUGCUGGAAAUUUAUAUAGAGGACAACAAUCGCAAGCAAUGGAUGGUAUUGAAUUUUAAAGUGCAAAGACGUCCUAAGAUGUCAAAACAGGAAGAAACUAUGCCAGUUUUUAAGUAAAAGUCUCUUUACUGUUUUGAGGGGAAAUGGGCCUUAGACUUCAAUUUCAUCAUUUAGUCUCAGGCACAGAACUUAUGUUGUCUUGUGAAACUAUCAUUUUUCUUUUACCAUUAAUCCUAAAACUGAGUUUCAUUGGUCAGAACUCAGAAGUAUACUUCAUAGUUGAUUUGUAUUUUAAGUUUCCUCUUUGAUGGGAAAUAUAUCUCAGAACUUAACUCCAACAGUUGAUGAUUCCUACUUGGGAGUAUUCAGUCCACCUUGAUGCAUUGUUCUUUCCCCUGAACUUGUGCCCUUCAAACAAUAUUUCUGAUCAUCUUGAAGUAAUUAGUACCGUCUGUUCAUUACUCCCUUCUGAUUUCUUGCAUUAUAGUUUCCUCUUUAAUGGGAAAUGUAUCGCAGGAUCUACCUUCUACAAUUGAUGUUUCUUUCCCCUGAAGUUAUUCGUAACGUCUUCUGGCAUUAUAGUUGCUUAAAUUUUGAAAUUCAUACAAUGCAGUAUAUGCCAAGGUUUCAAGCAGAGAAUUUGGAGCACAACAAGAACUUGUACGAGCAGGUCAAUGCCAUUGCUUCAAGGAAGGGUUGUACUCCAUCACAGCUAGCACUGGCCUGGGUCCAUCACCAAGGCAAUGAUGUUUGCCCCAUACCGGGCACUACCAAGAUUGAGAACCUCAAUCAGAAUAUAGGAGCUUUGUCUGUAAAACUGUCUGCAGAGGAAAUGGCGGAACUUGAAUCCAUCGCUUCUGCAGGAGUCAAGGGUGAUAGGUAUGGGCCUGGCCUUGUUACUUGGCAAACUUCUGAAACUCCACCUUUGUCAACCUGGAAGAGGACAUGAAGACAUAUCUUUGUUAUGGCAAUAAUUCCUUCUAGCUAUGUGCCUGAGGGUGGAUUUCAGUAUAUUGACAGUUGAGUGACGUAUUUGUUCCAAUAAAUUUCGUCAUACUAUUGUCUCGAGGUUUUAGGCAAGUAAAGUUAUAAGAAGAAUGCGUUAAAGGUUUCUUCAGAGGUUGUACUGAAUAAAAAUCUGAUCAUGUAAAAAUAGAACAUAAUUUUCCUUGCAGUUGAAUGCGUUAAAGGUUAGCUAUUCUAGUUUUGAAUGCUAUAGCAGUCCAUUUCUUAUAUGCUACACUGUUACAAGAGAUAUAGACUGUCGAACAGCAUUUUAUGGUCGGAAUGUUUACAUCAAAAGCAUCUCCAAGGACAUGUCAUUCUAAAGUGUAUAAACUACAUCAUACCAACAAAAAGCAGAAAAAGGCCUAAGGUAUGGGAUAUUUCUAAAAUUUCAUGGGAGGCUUGUGAUAGCAAAAACUUCUGAAAUUGUCCCUUGAACUAAACUGAAAGACAGACAAUGGUAAGAUUUUAAGCAUGUCUUGUUAAGUUAAAAGGUUAAAACUUUACAUACAAAUAAAUGGUCAAAUUCACUUUAAAAUUGUGGUGUCAUCUUCCACCUUAAACUUUUGUACUAUCCAAGUUUGUUUUAAUUCCUUUGGGAAAAUGAAACAUCGAAUGCAUUCAAAAAAAUGGAAAGGAAAUGGCUUACCUUUGCACUUACGUAUCCAAUUCCAAUUUGAACAUUACAUCAUCCAUCCAAUUGAAAACAAACUCCUAUGGAGAUUUUUUUUUUUCCUUUAUUUUGUUAUUAGAUCUGAAUUUAUUUCACAUUUGGUUGUCAGAUCUAAAAUUUUUUUCAAAGUUUGAAUCUAUUUCAAUAUAUUUCAUUAUCAUUAUUGAAACUUAAAACAGUUUAUUAACAAAUCUGGCGAUUGCCAUAUGUACGAAAGGGAGACACUUUUAAAAUUCUUUAUAUUUUUUUAGAUCUGUUUGUAAUUUUCAAUUCUACUGUAUCUGUUAAAUUAUGAUCUGUAAUUUUUAAUGCAUGUUUGACCUACCAUUAGGGGAGUUAUGUAAAUCAAAUCAUGUUAGAUGAUUUCCAAAAAAAACUUAACCGUUAAUUUCUCUUCCCCGUUUUAUUUGUCCACUCUUCAAUUGUCAAUAACUCUUUUAAGAUACUUUGUAAUACAAAAUCAACUAAAACCGGUAGAAUCUGUAAUUAAUAGCAGUAUUCAUAUCAUGUUUUUGUAUAUUACUCGUACAUCUAAUUAGUCACAUUUGGAGAAAGAAAAAAAAAAGAUGAAAAUAAAAUUCCCCGAAUUUUGUGGUUUUUUUUGGUGCCUUGUUUAAUCUCUAAUUUUGUUUUUUGGGUUUUUAUUUUAAUCGAUUUUGGUUAUAGAGAUUAAGUUUCUCAGCCCGAUUAAUCGGUUAAUUAAUUAAACAUGGUUUGAGUUGGGUUGGUUUAGAGAUUUGGUUUAUAAAAGAACACUUGGCAAGUUUAGAAGGGGUGGGAUAGGGAAUGAGACAGGGUGUGAUACAGAGAUCCGUUGCGCAUGGCGAGCCACAUUUAAAAAUUGGUUCCUACCAUAAAGCCUAUCAUGUCCUGACACAAGAUGGACUGUUUUUUUUAAAUUUUUUUUGAAAGCAAGUGAAAAGUGUUGCAACUCAGGACUUGGAUAGUAAUUUUAAAAUUUAAUAGUGCACCUACCUUUUAACUUUUUUCGUGUGCUUUUAAGGUAUCAAAUGGGGAAAAAAACCAAUACCAUAUAACUUCAAAUGCAAGAUGGUACGAAAUUUGUUAAUAUGGAGAUGUUAAUAUACAUUGACAUGUAAAAAGUGCACUUUUAUCAAAAAGAUAUUUAUACUAAUAUUACAGUCAUUUUUUUUUCGAAAAUUCAACUUUUCAUGCAAAUAUGUAAUCAAUAUGCAUAAAUAGAUAGCAUUAGAUGAAUUUAAACAAGUAGCCUUCAAAUUUAAAAAUAUUUGAUUUCGUAAAUGUGCAUUCGCGAUUUAGAAAAAGUACUUUUCAAAUGGCAAAUCUAGAGAGCAAUAAAUACUCCUAGUUUAUUUUGAUUUUAAAUCUUCUUUUGACUUGUCAAAAAAGUGAAAACAUGAAACUAAUAAUGGGUCAGAUGCAGAUGAGUAUUAGAAAUUUGUUUUCUAGACUCUUUGGUCUCGCAAUUUUUUCAACAAUCAACUCCGACCAUUAUCACGGUCAUGUGAUUGUAGGUCUACCAGGUUUCGUAGUCCACGACAUGGAUUGGAUAUGUUGAUUAGCUGCCACCUUUUGGCGGAGGUGAGGUUCAAACCUCACCUGUAGUAAAAAAAAAAAAUUUAAGGGUUGUGUCAUAGUACUUUCUUGAUUUAGUUGAAUAUGUAUAUCCACUAACACCUAACACAAGUCUCCUUAUGCUCCCCUAGAUUAGGAUAGAAUAGGAUAUACAAUUGUAUCGUUGCCGAAAAAAAAUAUUAGUUGCCACCCUAUUGUCAUUAUUUUUCUUUUGUCAAUCAGCAACGUCUAUUCUAUUCAUAGUUAUUAAACCCGGCCCGGGAAGGAGUCCGGUGAAAGAGCUGAGUCAACGGGUUACUGGUUUAACCGGUGGGUGAGUGGUCCAACCGUUAGGUCACUACAUAUAUUUAAAUAUUAUGUUUUAUAAUUUUUUACGCCAUAAUAAAUAUUCAGUUAGUUUAAUUUAUUAUAGAUUCAUUAAUUUUUAUAAGAAUUAACAACCUAAAUUUAAUUAGUAAUCCACCAACUUUCAAGUAUAAAAUUUUAUCUCAGUGUAAUUAUCUAGUUUAUUUAUGAAUUUUAAGUGCAAAAGUUUAUUAAGAAUAAUAUUGGCCUUUAAAAUGAUUUGUGUAAUAUGUUAUUUUUAAGUCAAUUUCAUAAUUUAUAGAGUUCAGGGAAUAAUAAAAAUAUUAUUAAAAGAUUCCAAAUAACUAAUACUCUAAUAUAUAGUAUAAGAACAAAAUAAUUAAUAUAUGGUUGGCUGGUCUAGUGGUAAUGGUAGUCUACUUUUUUGCAUGAGAUCACGUGUUCGAAUCUCCAUUCUAGCAAUAUUUAUACAUUUUUUUCUUUUUCGUAGAACGGGUUCAAUGUUGAAACGAUCUUAUCAAGAACUCGGCUCGGUUUCAUGGCCGGUUUACCGGAUUGAUCGAUUGAACUGCCGGGCCGGGUCGGAUUUAAUAACUAUGAUUCUACUUCUAUUUUGAUUUCUAUUUUAGGGGAAGGGGAGGUCCAAUUGAAAAAUUGAUAGCUAUUGAACCAUCAUCGGAUAAAAUGAGUGCACUAUGCACGUAUGCGAAUCUAGGAGAAGCCGGCGCAAUGAUGGGAGGCAAUGUUUGAAUUUUUACCUGCCAUUCCACUAAGAUUUAUAGUCUUUGGUGGUGGCUAAUCACCCAAAGAGCUGUUGGUUAGCUCCCACCCUAUUAGAAACUAAAGGUUUUCAACCUUCUAAAAAAAAUGUUUUUGACUUUAAAAAAAAAUAUUUUUGUUUUUGUUUUUUCAAAAAUUAUUUUCAUCUAUCACCAACGGCAGUCAUGGGUUAUUUAUCCAAACAUAGAUCCGAACAACACUAAUCUCUCAGCAGCCAUCCCCUCAUUCCUUCUUGUAUCCUUUUUAUGAAUAGGAUUCAUCUUUUUGGUGUUCUAAAAUCACAUUUAAAAAGUUUUUUUCCCGAAAGUGUUAUUAUUUAGGAUGUGAAUGUUAAUUUUAAAAUUUUAAUAGUGGACCUAAAAAAAACUUGUAAAUUUUACAUAUGAGCACAAAGGGAAAAAAAAAACCACAUAACUUCAAGUCCAAGAUUGUAUGCAGUUUGUCCAAUAAAUAGAUAUUCAUAAUUCAUAAUUUCAUAUAUACAUGUUAACUAAAAGCGUUAAUCACAAUCCAAUUAUAUUGAUCUGUUCAAACCCGUUCACUAAUAAUCCGUCCAAAUUGGCCCAUUAACUUUAAAUGGGUUAAAGUGAGUAUAUAAGUAAACCCAUUUAAUUGGUGGAUAGUUGAUUGAUUCGUCUUACCCAUUUAUACCUAUUUAAAAAUAAAUAUACAUUUAAACUCAAAUUUUACUAAAUGUUAAGAAGAUAAAUUUGAAUUUCCUACGAAUCUAAUAAUAAUAAAAUAUCAUUUUUCUUGUCAAACAACAUGUGAAAUAUAAAAAAAAAAGUAGAAUUUCAAAUUAAUCAUAAAUGAGUAAUUGAGUAUUCUCAUAUCUAUUUGUUAAAUGGAUAUAAAUGAAUUGAUUCAAUUAUAACUAUUACUCAACUAGAAUCCGCUCAAACCCGUCUAAGUUAAUCAUUUGACACCCCUAAUGUUAAUAUAUAUUGACAAGUGAAAAGUGCAGCAUUUAUCACGAAGAUAUACUUAUUUAUCUCAAUAUUAAAGUCAUUUUUUCAUUACAAAAAUAUUGAUAAUUUCAUAAUUUCAUGGAAGUAUGUAACCAGUGACAUAACAUAGUCGCCAGUGGCGAAUCUUGUCACGAGUCCUCUUUUCAACACUUUGAUUAUGGGAUACACUUUUAACAAUAUGCCCCCACGUUGUUUUUCGAUCACUUUUUUUUUUUAAACCUCACAUUCGUUCGUUAUGUAUGUAUAAUUUCUUUUCAAAAAACUCCAAAAAAGUGGCAGCCCAAACGGGGCCAACAAUCUACUAUGUUCGGCUGUUCUCCCGCCGGACCCACCGCCGGCGGCCAAUAGCCGCCGGACCCACCGGCCGGCGGCGGCUGAUGGCCGGCGGCGGCCAUGGGUCAUCUAUAAAAGCAUAGAUCAAGACUACACUAAUCCCUCAUCAGUCCAGUCCAUCCAUACUUCUUCUUCAGGCCUCAGCUACUAAACAAUAAACUCUGCUCCACUCAAUUCUUUCCUCUGUUUCUUGUGGUUUUUGUCUGAAAAUGGCGGCAUCAGAAGAAGUGAAAGUGCCAAGAAUCAAGCUGGGGUCGCAAGGUUUUGAAGUUUCAGCUCAAGGGCUGGGCUGCAUGGGCAUGUCAGCCUUCUACGGGCCGCCAAAGCCCGAGCCUGAUAUGAUCAAACUCAUCCACCAUGCUAUUAGCAGAGGCAUCACCCAUCUUGACACCUCCGAUAUCUAUGGACCUCACACCAACGAAAUACUCAUUGGCAAGGUACCGUAUUUGCAAAUUUUCUGCUGUUGUGUGCCAUGCAUAAACUCUUGUACUUCUAAUUUCUAAAAGAGCAUAUUUGUAAGUAUUUUAGUUGGGUAUAUUAUAUUUAAACCCCUGCACUUGAAAUCUUGUCGCCCUUUAUAUUAUAUACGACAACUGGUCACAUCAAAGUGAAAGAGGAGGGCACUGUAAUUUUUUAUAUUGAAAGGUAUUUAUGUGUAAUUAUCAGAAACUUCAGGGGAGGUUUCUGAAAUUAUCCCUAAUAUUUAUACUAUAUAUAAAGGGAGCCUUAAAUUUGGUGUAAACUUUUUUUUGUCAUCUUUUAGAUUUCCAGCUUCACCCUCUCGAUCACUUAAUUAUACCACCAUAUUGCUAAUCAGCUUAACCACAAAUUAACUUUCACCCCAAUUAUCUAAAUAUAUAUUGCCUACAUAACUACCUACAAACAUUGUAACCAACAAGUUAAUUAAAAUUCUAUUAAAGAACUAUUUUUUUGACAAAUAUUCAAAAAACUAGUAAAAGAACUAUAUUGUCUCCCUUAAUUUUGUUUGUCAGCACUUAAACUCCAUCUGUUUAAAUUGUAAGUAUUAUUAGUCAAAUAAGACAAUAAUAUUCUUCAUUUUUUCAGAUGUUUGUCCUCAAUUGUAAGAGAAGGUUGUAGGUCUAGCACAUACGUUGAAUAGCUGUAUCCGAUUAGAAGGAUUUAGAACUCUUCUACCAUCUCUUUUUUUUUUCUUUUGUUUUUUCCUUCAAAAUUCUACAUCAUAACGGAGUUGGUAAAAUAGUACUAUUUUCGUCUUUGAAGUUAAAAUUGUCAUCAAUUUAUGGAAAGUUUACUAUUACUCUGAUAAGAGAUGUUAAAAUUUACUUUUUACGAGCACUAAAGUUUUAAAGAUUAUGAAAAGAGAAUUGUAUGAAGGAAUAGAAGGGAAAAGAAAGGUAAGAAAAUGGAUGGAUUGUGUUUGGAUUGAUUUUGGGUGGGGAAAGGAGAGGAAACGGAAAGAAAAGGAAAUGGAUGGAUUGUGUUUUGCUCAGACAUCAUUUCCAUACAAAAAUAGACGGAAACAGAGGGAAAGAAAAUCUAGUUGAUGAUUUUCUUAUAAAAUGCCUCAAGCACCCAAAUUUUACAUAAACUUGAGUAACCAUGUGUUUCAUAUCUGUAGAACUUGCCAUUUGUGAAACCUGCUUUAGAUAUGAAUUGUGGGAUGCAACAGCAGGCUAGGAAUGUUUGACUAAGCAACUUAUGUAAAUAUUUUAUCGUUAAGUGAAGUUCCUCUUUUGCUGUUCAAAAAAAAAAAAAAAAAGAGAGAGAGAAAAACCAUUCCUUUAAUGUCUGUCAUUCUACCAAACAGCAGAUUUAGGUUUUCUUUCUUUCCCAUCCAUAUCUAAUCCAAAUAAGGCAAAUGAGAACUAUUUUCCACUACUCUCCUUUCCUUUCUUUUUCACUAGGAUGUUUUAUUUAUUUAUUUAUCCUUUCCUUUGAUCCAAAUGGUUCCUAAAAGGGCCCUAAAUAAUUAUUCUACAUUGAUCAGUUCCCUAUUUUUGUAUUAAUUUGCAUGUGCACGAUUCUGUGUAUGUUCAUGUUGUGCAUCAAAUCUUGUGAAUGACAAAGCUAGAGUGUAAAUUUAAGUUGAAGAAAUAUAAACCAAAAAAGAAAAUGGAUUGGCUCCUUUAAGAGUAUCAGACUUCUAAACCCCAAGGAUUACAUAAUUUUCAUAUCCUUUGCUAUACAAAGAAGUGGCAUAGCCUUAACAAUGAAGUGCUGGAAAAACUCCAGAAGGACUGUGCCAUCCAUGAAAUCACAAUUCCGCUUGCUAUACCAUGCAUUAAUGUGUAUGCCCUUGAUGAUUAAUAUAAUGAAAUCAUGGUUCUAGGCCUUGAAGGAAGGAAUAAGAGCGAAAGUGGAGCUAGCAACAAAAUUUGCAAUCAGUUAUCAGGAUGGGAAAGUUGAUGUACGUGGUGAUCCAGCCUAUGUGAGGGCUUGUUGUGAAGCGAGUUUGAAGCGGCUUGAUGUGGACUGCAUUGAUCUCUAUUAUCAACAUCGCAUCGAUACACGUGUGCCCAUUGAAGUCACGGUUUGCUCCAUCUUGCCAUCCACCUCAUUCUUGAUGAAACAAAAGUUUGAUCAACUCCAAAUUUCGAAUAAUUCAGUUUCAUGUGCGUUUCAAUUCUUCAAAAAUUGCACAGAAAAGUUAGUCAACCUUAUGGUCUAGGCUAAUCUGCAGUAUGGUAUUGCUGAUUUAGCACAAGGCAUCCUGAAAAGUGAAAACAAUGAAAAUGUCUUAUAUUAGCUUGACAGUCCUGCUGAGGGAUAUACAGGUUGAUAUCAUGCUAUACAUUGUACAGCUUUCCUUUAGAAGCAAGAGACCUGAGCAUUCUCUUUCAUUUGAGAUAGGCUAUCCAGUUGAGUAAUGAUAUGCUAUUUACUUACCUUGUCAUUCGUUUUCAGUCGGUGCCAAAAGCACUGCAGAUAGAAGUUUUUUAGUCGAUAUCUAAAAAACGUGGUACUCAUUUUGUUCAGAGUAUAGCUUUUUGUCUAAUUGUGAAAGCCAGCUGCGACUACCCCAUUGACCUCUCUAAGCAAUUCAAAGAUUGCAGCUGCUUGCUUACAUUCAGCUUUUAUGAAAACAAUUUCUGUCUUCUUUUUCUAAUAUAGUCAGCAAAGAAUUGUCUUGUUUUUCCUGAGUAUUAGGAAGAAACUUUCUUGCAGUUUAAUCACUUAAAAUACAGGCAAGUAUAAAGGAAAUCAAGGAAAUUGACAACUGAUAAUUGAUAUGUACAGCCAUUAUUAUAUCUAGACGAAGUCAACAAUGUCGUGUAAUCAUAUUGGAGGAGCAUUAUGUUGGCAUGGUCCGGUGGGCUGUACAUAGAGAAGUAUCACUGGAUGCUUAUUGCCAUUUUUGUCAAUUAUUGAUUUCAGUUUGACGUAUACUUUGUCCACGACUUCAUUGAACUAGUGCAACUUUUACUUUUUUGCACGUAAUAUUUCGAUUAUCUGCCUAAGUAUUGAAUGUAAUAAAUCAGCUUUGCAUUUUCUUGUCCAUUGAAAUUCUCUAGAUAGGAGAGCUCAAGAAACUGGUUGAAGAGGGUAAAAUAAAGUAUAUAGGUCUGUCUGAGUCCUCAGCUUCAACAAUUCGAAGAGCACAUGCUGUUCACCCAAUAACAGCUGUGCAGUUGGAGUGGUCAUUGUGGAGCAGAGAUGUCGAGGAGGAGAUUAUUCCCACUUGCAGGUAGUGCAUAUAUUCUGCUGCAUUUUCUACGUGGUCUAGAAGAAAUAUGAAGUUCUUAAUUCAGUUUUUGGUAUAAUCUUUCAGAGAGCUUGGAAUAGGGAUUGUUGCAUACAGUCCACUUGGAAGAGGAUUCUUCUCUUCAGGUCCAAAGCUGGUCGAGAAUUUGGCUGAAGGUGACUGCCGAAAGGUUUGUGCAUAUCCAAAACUAUGAAGUUUUUGAGUAUAGAUUGUUUAUAGUUCGAAUAAGUUUCUCACUCAUCUACUUUUACCACUUCAGUGACAAUCUUGCUUGAUAUCCCUAUUCUUGUCUAUCUGUCAUAUGUUGCUGCACUUUUUGAUGUCCAAUAAUUUGAUUAAGCCUUAUAAUAUGAUCACAUUUAAUCAAAUUUCUAUUAAGCAGAGCAAAUCAACAGGCUUUUUUUUUUUUCCUGUCGAACAAGUCUUGAGGUCUUUAGUUGAUUGAAUGAAUUCAGAUUUUGGUGUCCUCUGUAUUUAGUUCAAAUUAAAAGAUAUGGCGCUAGCUUUGUCAGAUUUUAGAUCUUAUAUUAAUUGAAGGUUGUUAUUGCAUGCUGGACAACAAUCACAAGCAAUCGAUAGUAUCGAAUUUUAAAGUGCAAAGAUGUCCUAAGACGUCAAAACAGGAAGAAACUAUGUCACUUUUUAUGUAAAAGUCUCUUUUCAGUUUUGAGGGGAAAUGGACCUUGGACUUCAAUUUCAUCAUUUAGUCUCAGGCACAGAAUUUCAUCAUUUUGUCCUGUGAAACUAUCAUUUUUCCUUUACCAUUAAUCCUAAAACUGAGUUUCAUUGGUCAGAAGUGUACUUCUUAGUACAAACAAUAGUUGAUAUGCAUUUUAAGGUUCCCCUUUGAUGGGAAAUGUAUCUCAGAACUUAACUCCAACAGUUGAUGUUUCCUACUUGGAUUAUUCAGUCCACCUUGAUGCAUUGUUCUUUGCCCUGAACUUGUGUCCUUCAAACAAUAUUGCUGAUCAUCUUGAAGUAAUGUACCGUCUGUUCAUUUCUCCCUUCUGAUUUCUUGCAUUAUAGUUUGCUCUUUAAUGGGAAAUGUAUCUCAUGAUCUACCUUCUACAAUUAAUGUUUCUUAAGAGUACUCAGUCCAGCUUACUGGAUUGUUCUUUCCCCUGAACUUUGUACACCUCAAACAAUACUAUUGAUCAUCUUGAAGUUAUUCAUAUUGUCUUCAUUUGUAGACGACACAUGCUUCACUUCCUUUUGCAUUUCUGGCGUUACAGUAGCAUAAAAUUUUGAAAUUCAUACAAUGUAGGGUAUGCCAAGGUUUCAAGCAGAGAAUUUGGAGCACAACAAGAACUUGUACGAGCAGGUCAAUGCCAUUGCUUCAAGGAAGGGUUGUACCCCAUCACAGCUAGCUUUGGCCUGGGUCCAUCACCAAGGCAAAGAUGUUUGCCCCAUACCUGGCACUACCAAGAUUGAGAACCUCGAUCAGAAUAUAGGAGCUUUGUCUGUGAAACUGUCGGCAGAGGAAAUGGCGGAACUUGAAUCUAUUGCUUCGGCUAUCAAGGGUGAGAGAUACGAGUCUGACGCUGGGCUUGGUACUUGGAAAACUUCUGAAACUCCGCCUUUGUCAACCUGGAAGCGGACAUGAAGACAUACCUUUGUUAUGGCAAUAAUUCCUUCUAGCUAUGUGCCUGAUGGUGGAUUUCACUAUAUUGAGAGUUGAGUGAUAUGUAAUUGUUCCAAUAAAUUUUGACAUACUAUUGUCUCUAGGGCUAUGUCAAGUAAAGUUAUAAGAAGAAUGGAGUAUCUUCAGAGAGGUUGUAAUAAAUAAAGAUCUGGUCAUGUAAAAGCAGAAUAUAAUCUUCCUUGCAGUUGAAUGCAUUAAGAGUUAUAUAUUGUACUUUUGAAUGAUAAAGUGGUCCAUUUUUUAUGUGCUACUGCUACGAGAGUUAUAGAUUGUUGAACAGCAUUCAAUUCAGGACUUAUUAAACAUAAGCAUAUAAACAUUUUAUUCUCGGAAUAUUUACAUCAAAAGAAACUCCAAGGUCACAUCAUUGUAAAGUGUAAACUAUAUCAUAUUAAUAAAAAGCAAAAAAAAUGUCUAAAUGAGGAAAAAAAUGUACUAUAGAAGAAGUCAACAAUGUCAUGUAAUCAUUUUAUCCUAAAAUUGAGAUUCAAAUUUAGUUGAUUUGUAUUUUGAGUUUCCUCUUUGAUGGGAAAUGUAUCUCAGAACUUUAACUCCAACAGUUGAUGUUUCCUACUUGGAGUACUCAGUCCACCUUGAUGCAUUGAUCUUUCCCCUGAACUUGUGCCCGUCAAACAAUAUUUCUGAUCAUCUUGAAGUAAUUAGUACCAUCUGUUCAUUACUCCCUUCUGAUUUCUUGCAUUAUAGUUUCCUCUUUAAUAGGAAAUGUAUGUCAAGAUCUACCUUCUACAAUUGAGAUUUCUUAGAGUACUCAGUCCACCUUACUAGAUUGUUCUUUUCCCUGAACUUUGUUCACUUCAAACAAUACUAUGAUCAUCUUGAAGUUAUUCGUAUUGUUGUCUUUUGUAGACGACACAUGCUUUACUGCCCUUUGAAUUUCUGCAUUGCAGUUGCUUAAAUUUUGAAAUUCCUACAAUGUAGAAUAUGCCAAGGUUACAAGUAGAGAAUUUUAGAAUUUUAAUCCAAAUGGCAUUACAUUCCAUUCAUAAUGACCAAAAGGGGUUGUGAAUGUUGUUUUAUAUCUAUCUUUUGGUGUUAUUAAUAUUUGCCAAUAUCCUGAUUUUAGAUCAAACUUUGAAAAGAUUUUUGCUUUAAAUAAUCUAUUAAGCAAAUCUUUUUUAUUAGGAAUUGAAUAUCUGAUCCAUUGUAAAACUUUAUUUAAUGGUUUGUAAUUUAUUACUGAAAAAAGAAACCACCAAAGACCUUCAAACAGAAAUUAAUGAUCUUAAAAUACAAGUAAAACAACUACAGCGAGAAAUUAUAGAAUUAAAAACAAAAGAUUUAGAAAUAGAAGCAAAAAUAACAUUAAUAGAAAAUCAACCUUCAACUUCCAAUUCUAAAACAGAAGAAAUAAGUAUAUCAGAAAGACCAACAGAUGAAAUUCAAUAUUUAAAUACAAUAGAGAAAAUGAUAUUUCAAAAAUGGUAUGCUUUAGUAACUAUUACAGUAGAAGAUUUCAAAGAAACAUAUGUACCUUUAAUAGAUAGUGGAGCUAAUUCAAGUUGUAUUAAAGAAGGAAUAAUUCCUACUAAAUAUUGUGAAAGAACAAAAGAAACAUUAAUGGCAGCAAAUGGAGAAAAUUUACAAGUAAAAUAUAAAUUUACAAAAGGAUCAAUAUGUAACAAUGAAUAUUGUAUUAAACAUAAUUUUAUAAUUGUAAAAAAUAUAAAUCAUGAUAUAAUAUUAGGAACACCUUUUUUAAUUCAAAUUUACCCAUUUCAGUAAGUCAUGAAGGAAUUUCAAUAAAUAUAAUGGGAAAAACUGUUAUUUUUAAAUUUCUAACUCCAAUAAAACAAAGAGAAUUACAGACAUUACAAACAUCUUCUAUUUACAAAACAAUAAAUAGUAUUACUAGAGUACAACAACAAAUAAAUUAUAUUAAGGAAGAAAAAUCUUAUUUAAAAAUUGAAGAACAAUUAAAAGAAAGUAAAAUAUUAAAAAUAAUCUCAGAAUUAGAAGAACUAUUAGAAAAAGAAAUUUGUGCAGAUAUUUCUAAUGUUUUUUGGGAUAGAAAACAACAUAUGACAGAAUUACCUUACGAAACAGGUUUUAAUGAAAAAAAUAUUCCAACUAAAGCAAGACCAAUACAAAUGAAUUCUGAUUUAUUAGAAUUUUGUAAAAAGGAAAUAAAGACAUUAAUAGAUAAAGGAUUAAUAACACCUUCAAAAUCACCUUGGAGUUGUGCUGCAUUUUAUGUAAUGAAUCAAGCUGAAAAAGAAAGAGGAGUUCCAAGAUUAGUAAUAAAUUACAAACCAUUAAAUAAAGUUUUACAAUGGAUCAGAUAUCCAAUUCCUAAUAAAAAAGAUUUGCUUAAUAGAUUAUUUAAAGCAAAAAUCUUUUCAAAUUUUGAUCUAAAAUCAGGAUAUUGGCAAAUAUUAAUAACACCAAAAGAUAGAUAUAAAACAGCAUUCACAACACCUUUUGGUCAUUAUGAAUGGAAUGUAAUGCCAUUUGGAUUAAAAAAUGCACCAUCAGAAUUUCAAAAUAUAAUGAAUAAUAUUUUUAAUCCUUAUAGUUCAUUCAGUAUAGUUUAUAUAGAUGAUGUAUUAAUAUAUUCGGACUCAUUAGAACAACAUUUUAGACAUUUAAAUAUAUUUUUAAAAAUAGUUAAGAAAAAUGGAUUAGUCGUGUCAGCACCAAAAAUGAAACUAUUCCAAACUAAAAUAAGAUUUUUAGGACAUGAUAUAUAUCAAGGAACGAUAAAACCAAUUAAUAGAGCUUUAGAAUUUGCUACUAAAUUUCCAGAUGAAAUAAAAGACAAAAAUCAAUUACAAAGGUUUUUAGGAUGCUUAAAUUAUAUAGCAGAUUUUUUCCAUAAAUUAAGACAAGAAUGUUCUAUAUUAUUUAAUAGACUAAAGAAAAACCCAAAACCUUGGACAGAAGAACAUACUCAAAAAAUAAAAUAUUUAAAAGAAAAAAUUGACUCAUUACCAUGUUUAUGUUUACCACAUCCUAAAGCAUUCAUGAUAGUUGAAACAGAUGCAUCAGAAUUAGGAUACGGGGGUAUAUUAAAACAAAGAAUAGAAGAAUCAAAAGAAAAAUUAGUUAGAUAUCAUUCAGGAACAUGGUCUGACUCUCAAAAGAAUUAUUCAACCAUUAAAAAGGAAAUUUUAUCAAUAGUUUUAUGCAUAUCAAAAUUUCAAAAUGAUUUAUAUAACAAAAAAUUUUUAAUUAGAAUAGAUUGUAAAUCUGCAAAAGAAAUUUUACAAAAAGAUGUUCAAAAUAUAGUUUCAAAACAAAUAUUUGCUAGAUGGCAAGCUAUUUUAUUUGUUUUUUAUUUUGAAAUUGAAUUUAUAAAAGGAGAAAAUAAUUCAUUACCAGAUUUUCUUACUAGAGAAUUUUUACAAGGACAUGGAUCGUGAAAUGAUGGCCCAAAGAACUGAUCGAGAAUAUACCAAUUACCUAAGAACUCAAAGAGAUUCUCCUAAACUAUUAAACAAAGAAGCAGCUUUUCAAUUCAGAGGAUAUCAAUAUUUUAUUCAGACCAGUAAUGGAAGACAAAGUAUUCCAGCCUAUCAAAUUUCCAAACAUGAUACAGUGUAUAUUCAGAAAAGCCAUUUCGCAACCCUUACACCAAAGGAGAGAGCUUUUCUCAUUCAAAGAGAAAUUCAGAGAAACACUAUCAGAAUUCAAGUCCUAAGGAGAUCAGGAAGAAAUGAGGAAUUUCUUCAACAUUACAAAGAUCAAAAUAAAUAAUUAUCUAAUCAACUUAAAGAUGUUGUUUAUUGAUUUUGCAGGAACAUGGAUUCAAAAGCAGGAAAUUCUAAACCCAAGACUCCUCAAGAUUAUGAGAUGAGUCUUACUCCUGUAAAUCAAAAUAGAUUUCAAUUAUUGCAAGAUUUUCCAGCAUUGACUUAUAGUCAAGCUGCUCAUACUCCAACUUCUUCCCAAAUAAGACCUCUUCAACAAAUUCUAAAAACCUCAGAAAAAUCUAAUGAAAACUCUUAUUUCACAAAGCCAUCUACUCAACAUAUCACUUUAACCAGAUUUCAAGAAAUACCGUUAUAUUCUACACUCAAUCAGCUUAUUCAAAGAAUCUUUCCACAAAAAUAUUAUUGGCAACUUGAUGACCCUUCAAAAAAUUUGGAUUAUUAUGAAUUAAUUCUUACAGAUACUCAAUCUGUAGAAAUAUUCCCCAUUCCAGAUAGAAAAAAUCUAAUUAGUCAUUCAAAAUGUAUAAUAAAGAAAGUUUGUUCUCCUAAUGAAUGGACUUCUCUUUAUUCAAAGAAAUCUUUUUCAGUCAGAUUUAUUCCAAAUAGAUUUACUUAUCAAGAUUACAAAAUGGCACGGUAUCGUGCUUUUUUGUAUAGACCAUUCAAUCAUUCGUGGUUCUUUACAUUCAAAGAAAGUUGCAGUAGAGAAUUCCCAAUUUGGUUCAAUCACUGGUGGAAAUGGUUUGGCCAUCAACCAGAAAUUCUACCUCCAAAUGUUCUUAUGGGAUUCCAAACUUAUCUCAAAAAAGCAAAGGGGGAGGAGUAUACAAGGCCAAUACUAUUCCAUAUGUAAUUCAAAGUACCAUGGAUUUUUUGCUGGAGUUUCAAGAUUCAUCAAGAAUUAGAAAAAUCACUCCCAAUGUCUCUAGUCAGAGAAUUCAAAAUCAAAUGGUGGAUAGGAUUUAAUCAAGAAUUUGGAGAUCAGGCAAAUGUGAUAAGAUUUUUAACAACCGGAGACAAACUCAAAUGGACAAGUCAGCCAACCACUUCAACCACUUCAACAAUUAUGCCAACCACUUCAACAACUAUGCCAACCACUCCAACCAUUCCAAAAAAGAAAGAUAAAGAAAAAGUUAUGGUAUCUGAGGUAAUUACAAACGACUUUUUGAAGAAAAAGAUGAUGCAGAAUCCCGAGAUGCUUAAAGAAUAUUUUGACUAUUUACAAAAGCAGGAUAAGAAUGAAGAAACCGACAAAAUUGAUGAGUCGGCUGGAUCAUUCGAAUCUACUUUUGAUCCUUUCGGGGGACCAUGCGGACAAGACCCAAAUGACUUUUGAAAAAAGAUGUCGGCCAUAUUUCAAAGAAAGGCAAAUGAAAUUCAAAUGAAAAUGAAAUGCAAGAACAGAUGAUUCUAUAAAUAGAUUCAAGAUCAGAAAACAAAGCAUCGGUGAAAAAAGAGAACAAAACCUUCCCGUGUAAAAAUCCUUAGAAAAAUCUCCCAAUCUCUCUUAUUCAACUACUCUUGUAUUCAACUACUUUUGCUUCCUUCUUCAAAUAUUUUAAUAAGAAGUGCAAGGAUUCAACAAAUAUCAAGCUUCCGUUAUCAAAGGCAACUCUAAAUUUUCAGUAAGUCUAAUCGUUUAAUUUCUAUGAACAUUUCAAUAGAAAGGAACCUGGGUAGAAGUGGUAUCAGAGCCACAUAGACGUGCAUAUUUAAACUUUGUUAUUACAAUUACUUCAUUUGAAUUAUUUUCUAUUUUGAUUUGGCUAAUUCAUGCAUUUAUGUUUACGUAUUUUAUUAAACUUUUACUGAAAUCAUUGGUAAGACUUUGAUGCCUUGUUAGACCGUUGGUAAGUCCAGGGUAGGAUGUUCCCAGCAUAGUGCUCAAUUGUUCCGGAUUAGGUAAAAAUUUAAUUAAUAUUAAACAUGGCUGCAUUUCUUAGACAAUUAAAAAUAGGAUCUAAUUCAAAGCAAACUAAUGUAGUACAAAGUCAUGAAUAUCAUAUGCCCAUAAAUAAUUCAGAUUGGACAAUUUCAGAAGAAAAAAUAGAACAUAUUUAUCGAAUAGGCCCUUUAGAUUUCAAAACAACUUUAUCAGUAAAAACACAUGAAGAAACAAUAUAUAUUCAAGAAGAAUAUCAAUCCAUUCCAUUAUUAAAUCAUAGUACAAUUCAAAGAUAUUUAAGUAAAGGAUAUCGAUAUAUUCAUAUAGGUUUGAUACAAAUUGCAGUAAAACCUUUAUUCCAUUUAGGAGUAGAUGCUCCUAUAUAUUUAGCAUUAAGAGAUACUAGACUCAAAAGAUAUAAAACUUCUUUACUUUCUAUGAUUCAAACUAAUGUAUGCAAUGGACCCAUAUAUUUUAACUGUGCUCCAAAUUUCUCAAUAGAUCUAACAGACCCACACAUUCUGAAUUCAGUCAUAUUAGAUAUUCACCUACAAGAAAAUGAAUUUGAAAAACAUACAAAGAAUUUUACAAUAAUAUAUAGAAUAUAUUAUAGACCCCUAUCUUCACAUUUAAAUCCUAAAUUUAUAAUGACUCCAACUCUUAAAGAAGAAACAACUUUAUUACAAGUAGAUGCAGAUAGACCCACAACUUAUAUUCCAAAAAGACUAAAAUGGAAUGAAAUAACUAUACUUAGUGAAUUUGAAAUUAAAAAUCCACAAAAAACAAGAAAUAUAGAACAAACCACUGCAGAAGAUAUUAUAGAGAAAUUUGAUGGUAAUACUUUAAUAAGAUUUUCAUCAUUAAGAAAAAAAUCUGAUUCAACUUAUUCUUGGCUACCAGCUAGACAUUCUAAUUAUGAAUCAACUGAAAUUAAUUUUUCUUUAGAAAGUACCUCAAAUUUUAAGUAUAAAACUCCUAUUCCAGAAGUUAUAAAUCAAAAUCAAUCAGAAUAUUCUCCAACCCAUUCACAAAUGAAAGGAGAAAUAAAUGUUAUAAAUAAAUCAUAUAAAAUAAAUCAUAAAUAUUUACAAGAAGAUUUUGAAGAUAAAGAAAAUACUGAAAAAAGAAUUUGAUUUUUUCAACUAGAAUCUGAAUAUAAAAGAAAAUUAAUUCUAGAAUGGAAAAGUGAAUUAGAAAAGCAAAAAUUUGAUUUCCCUUUCUUCACUUGGUUAUCAUACUAUACUGAAAAAAUAAGAAUAAAUGAUAUAUAUAAUACACCUCAAAUAAAUGUUCAAACUAAUUUAUACAAAAAAUGGAAAUUAAAAGAUGAUCAAAUAAUAACAUCUAUACAUCCUCCGUUACAAGAAGUAAAAAUUAAUAUAGGACAAGGAGAUAUAAUAGUCUCACUUUUUAAAAAGGGUAGAGAAGCUGAAUCGAAUUCAAAUAAUACAAUAAAUUUAGAAGAUAUUAAAAAGGUUUAUCAACAAAAUAAUUAUACCAAUCAAAUUCUUCAUACAAUUUCUCAACAUAUGGAAGUAUUAAAUGCAAAAAUAGAUACCAUAAAGAAACUAGAAUUAAAAUUCCCUAAUGAUAUUUCAGCACCUCAUUUUCAACCUAGAAGUUUGACAAGAGAAAAAGAACAAGAUUUAGUUCAAAAUAUUAAUAAUCAAAAAAUAAAUAAUACAUACAAUAUAUUAAAUAAAAUAUCUCAGGCAUUACAAAACUUAAAUAUAGAAGUAAAACCUCCAACACCUAGGAUAAAUGUUUUAGAUCAAAUAAUAGAAGAAAGUUCAUCAGAAAAAUUAGACAAUUCAUCUGAAGAAUCAAUAAAUUCAGAAAUGGAAGAAAAUAUAAUUUUACCAAUAGAAAAAUAAUUUGAAAAAAAAGAAAAUAAUCAAAUAAAUAAAAUAAGAAGAAAAAGAAUUUACAAUAAAAAUAAUAAAGAUUGGAAAAUGAUAAGUAAUAGAAAUUAUUAUCCAAGACCUAGUCCUCCAGACAUUCAAUAUGAAGAAAGAUCAAAAUUUCGUACCACUAAAUAUGAUGGAGAUUCAAUAUAUGAAUAGAACAUAGAUGGCAAAGCAGAAUAUGAAGUAUUAAAUAAUUUAUAAGAAAUGGGAAUGGCUAGAUUAGCUUAUAAAAUUAAAAAUAUUCAAGAAAGAAAUAUUGCAACAUUAUUAGUUUCAGGAUUUACUGGACAAUUAAAAAAUUGGUGGGAUAAUGCUUUAACAUUACAAGAUAAAUUAUCAAUACUAGAUCAUACACAAGAAAUUGAAGGUGAUCAAGGAAAUAUUCAAAUACAAUCAGAUGCUGCAGAAUUUCUAAUUGUAACAAUAGUAAUGUAUUUUAUAGGAAACCCAAAAGAGGAAUUAAACUCUAAUAAAACAUUUCUAACAAAUUUAAGAUGUCCAACAUUAUCAGACUUUAGAUGGUAUAAAGAUAUGUUUUUAACUAAUGUAUUAAGAAGACCAGAUUGCAAUGCUUCAUUUUGGAAAGAAAGAUUCAUAACAGGAUUACCAAACUUAUUUUCACAAAGAAUAAUGGAUAAUUUACAAAAGAAAAUGGGAACAAAUGUAAUUUCAUUCGAAAAUAUUACUUUUGGACAAUUAUUUGCUUUUGUGAAAAAAGAAGGAUUAAUGUUAUGUUCAGAAUUAAAAUUACAAAUAAAAUAUGGUUCAAAAACAAAAGAAGUAAGAUCAUUUUGUGAUGCAUUUGGAAUUAAAAGAAUUAAAUUACCAUCUGCAUAUAAAAAGAAAGUUAAAAAAUAUAAUAAGAAAAUAAGAUACAAAAGAUCUAAAGAAGAUAAACCAGAAAAGAAGAAAAGAUUUAUUAAGAACAAAAUAGUCUGUUACAAAUGCGGAAAAAUAGGCCAUAAAGCAAACAAAUGUAAAUUAAAAGAAAAAAUUAAGGAGAUUUGUACACAAGACGAAGAAAUUAAAAACAAAUUAAUAAAUUUAUUAAUAAAUGAAAAAGAUUAAAGUUCUGAAGAUGAUUAUUAUAAUGAUAUAUCUAGUUCAGAAAGUGAAGAAAAUUGUAAUUGUGCUAAUACUUCAAAAUACAUAAAUAUUAUAACUAAAAAAGAGAAUAAAGAAUUUUUAUUAGAUAUAAUAGAAAAAAUUGAUGACCCAAUAGCUAAAAAAGAAUAUUUAGAAAGAUUAAAAAGUCUAAUUAUACAAGAAGACAAAAUGCCAAAGAUAAUAGAACCUUUUAGUAUUUCUAAAUUAAUAGAUAAAUAUCCAAACAUAAAUAUAAUGAAAAAAGAAACCACCAAAGACCUUCAAACAGAAAUUAAUGAUCUUAAAAUACAAGCAAAAUAACUACAGCGAGAAAUUAUAGAAUUAAAAACAAAAAAUUUAGAAAUAGAAGCAAAAAUAACAUUAAUAGAAAAUCAACCUUCAACUUCCAAUUCUAAAACAGAAGAAAUAAGUAUAUCAGAAAAACCAACAGAUGAAAUUCAAUAUUUAAAUACAAUAGAGAAAAUGAUAUUUCAAAAAUGGUAUGCUUUAGUAACUAUUACAGUAGCAGAUUUCAAAGAAACAUAUGUACCUUUAAUAGAUAGUGGAGCUGAUUCAAGUUGUAUUAAAGAAGGAAUAAUUCCUACUAAAUAUUGUGAAAGAACAAAAGAAACAUUAAUGGCAGCAAAUGGAGAAAAUUUACAAGUAAAAUAUAAAUUUACAAAAGGAUCAAUAUGUAACAAUGAAUAUUGUAUUAGACAUAAUUUUAUAAUUGUAAAAAAUAUAAAUCAUGAUAUAAUAUUAGGAACACCUUUUUUAAUUCAAAUUUACCCAUUUUCAGUAAGUUAUGAAGGAAUUUCAAUAAAUAUAAUGGGAAAAACUGUUAUUUUUAAAUUUCUAACUCCAAUAAAACAAAGAGAAUUACAGACAUUACAAACAUCUUCUAUUUACAAAACAAUAAAUAGUAUUACUAGAGUACAACAACAAAUAAAUUAUAUUAAGGAAGUAAAAUCUUAUUUAAAAAUUGAAGAACAAUUAAAAGAAAGUAAAAUAUUAAAAAGAAUCUCAGAAUUAGAAUAACUAUUACAAAAAGAAAUUUGUGCAGAUAUUCCUAAUGCUUUUUGGGAUAGAAAACAACAUAUGAUAGAAUUACCUUACGAAACAGGUUUUAAUGAAAAAAAUAGUCCAACUAAAGCAAGACCAAUACAAAUGAAUUCUGAUUUAUUAGAAUUUUGUAAAAAGGAAAUAAAGACAUUAAUAGAUAAAGGAUUAAUAACACCUUCAAAAUCACCUUGGAGUUGUGCUGCAUUUUAUGUAAUGAAUCAAACUGAAAAAGAAAGAGGAGUUCCAAAGGUGCUGCAAGGCGCGCAAAUAAGUGCAGAAGAAUACGAGAUUAUGAAGGACCUGAUUAUUCCACUUGGUAGAGUUCCUCAAUUUGCGAUGCAGUGUGGCGCUUAAAUUGUGACUAAAUAGCUUCCCUCAACUCCGUCGCCCAUUUUGCUCGUCGGGAUUCUCUAAUGGGGUUGCUGCUGGAAAAUUUACCUGCUGGAAAUUUAAUGUUCGUACACUUCUUUUUGGUUCUUCCGAGUUGAAAUUCCUCUGUCUAGGUAAGAUAACCUUACCAGCCCCUCCUUUGCUCCGGAUCCCUGAGGCGUCAAUUUGAAUUGUGAACCUCUUCAAUGAGAGACGACACAAGAAAUGGGUGGAUUUAAUCUGUUUGAGUUUCCACUUAAAAAUCAUCCUGUAUGUUGCAGAUGGCACAAGCUUAGCCAUGGCGAUGAAGGAAUAAUUAGCAAAAAGUAACAGAUGAAGGAAUAAUUAGCAGGAGGGUUCCGAAAUUACUCCCUUUGAGAAACACAUAUUUUGGCUUGUUCUCAGUUCAUUUAUAUAUAUAUAUAUAUAUAUAUAUAUAUAUAUAUAUAUAUAUAUAUAUAUAUAUAUAUAUCUUUGCUGGGCUCUAAACUUUUGGUGUAAAAAAUUUAAAAUCAAUCCAACAGCCCCAAAUUGGGUAUUUGUUUUUCAAUUUAUAUUCAAUUACAGACAUUUUUUAGUUUCAUGUCCUGGAGUCUUAGCCCAGCAGUUGACAAUAAUGUAAAGGAUAUGAUAUUGAAAAAAAAAAAAGAGGAGUUCCAAGAUUAGUAAUAAAUUACAAACCAUUAAAUAAAGUUUUACAAUGGAUCAGAUAUCCAAUUCCUAAUAAAAAAGAUUUGCUUAAUAGAUUAUUUAAAGCAAAAAUCUUUUCAAAGUUUGAUCUAAAAUCAGGAUAUUGGCAAAUAUUAAUAAUACCAAAAGAUAGAUAUAAAACAGCAUUCACAACACCUUUUGGUCAUUAUGAAUGGAAUGUAAUGCCAUUUGGAUUAAAAAAUGCACCAUCAGAAUUUCAAAAUAUAAUGAAUGAUAUUUUUAAUCCUUAUAGUUCAUUCAGUAUAGUUUAUAUAGAUGAUGUAUUAAUAUAUUCGGACUCAUUAGAACAACAUUUUAGACAUUUAAAUAUAUUUUUAAAAAUAGUUAAGAAAAAUGGAUUAGUCGUAUCAGCACCAAAAAUGAAACUAUUCCAAACUAAAAUAAGAUUUUUAGGACAUGAUAUAUAUCAAGGAACGAUAAAACCAAUUAAUAGAGCUUUAGAAUUUGCUACUAAAUUUUCAGAUGAAAUAAAAGACAAAAAUCAAUUACAAAGGUUUUUAAGAUGCUUAAAUUAUAUAGCAGAUUUUUUCCCUAAAUUAAGACAAGAAUGCUCUAUAUUAUUUAAUAGACUAAAGAAAAACCCAAAACUUUGGACAAAAGAACAUACUCAAAAAAUAAAAUAUUUAAAAGAAAAAAUUGACUCAUUACCAUAUUUAUGUUUACCACAUCCUAAAGCAUUCAUGAUAGUUGAAACAGAUGGAUCAGAAUUAGGAUAUGGGGGUAUAUUAAAACAAAGAAUAGAAAAAUCAAAAGAAGAAUUAGUUAGAUAUCAUUCAGGAAUAUGGUCUGACCCUCAAAAGAAUUAUUCAACCAUUAAAAAGAAAAUUUUAUCAAUAGUUUUAUGCAUAUCAAAAUUUCAAGAUGAUUUAUAUAACAAAAAUUUUUUAAUUAGAAUAGAUUGUAAAUCUGCAAAAGAAAUUUUACAAAAAGAUGUUCAAAAUAUAGUUUCAAAACAAAUAUUUGCUUGAUGGAAAGCUAUUUUAUCUGUUUUUGAUUUUGAAAUAGAAUUUAUAAAAGGAGAAAAUAAUUCAUUACCAGAUUUUCUUACUAGAGAAUUUUUACAAGAACAUGGAUCGUGAAAUGAUGGCCCAAAGAACUGAUCGAGAAUAUACCAAUUACCUAAGAACCCAAAGAGAUUCUCCUAAACUAUUAAACAAAGAAGCAGUUCUUCAAUCCAAAAGAUAUCAAUGGGGGUAUAUUAAAACAAAAAAUAGAAGAAUCAAAAGAAGAAUUAGUUAGAUAUCAUUCAAGAAUAUGGUCUGACCCUCAAAAGAAUUAUUCAACCAUUAAAAAGGAAAUUUUAUCAAUAGUUUUAUGCAUAUCAAAAUUUCAAGAUGAUUUAUAUAACAAAAAAAUUUUAAUUAGAAUAGAUUGUAAAUCUGCAAAAGAAAUUUUACAAAAAGAUGUUCAAAAUAUAGUUUCAAAAUAAAUAUUUGCUAGACGGCAAGCUAUUUUAUCUGUUUUUUAUUUUGAAAUAAAAUUUAUAAAAGGAGAAAAUAAUUCAUUACCAGAUUUUCUUACUAGAGAAUUUUUACAAGGACAUGGAUCGUGAAAUGAUGGCCCAAAGAACUGAUCGAGAAUAUACCAAUUACCUAAGAACUCAAAGAGAUUCUCCUAAACUAUUAAACAAAGAAGCAGCUUUUCAAUUCAGAGGAUAUCAAUAUUUUAUUCAGACCAGUAAUGGAAGACAAAGUAUUCCAGCCUAUCAAAUUUUCAACAUGAUACAGUGUAUAUUCAGAAAAGCCAUUUCGCAACCCUUACACCAAAGGAGAGAGUUUUUCUCAUUCAAAGAGAAAUUCAGAGAAACACUAUCAGAAUUCAAGUCCUAAGGAGAUCAGGAAGAAAUGAGGAAUUUCUUCAACAUUACAAAGAUCAAAAUAAACAAUUAUCUAAUCAACUUAAAGAUGUUGUUUAUUGAUUUUGCAGGAAUAUGGAUUCAAAAGCAGGAAAUUCUAGACCCAAGACUCCUCAAGAUUAUGAGAUGAGUCUUACUCCUGUAAAUCAAAAUAGAUUCCAAUUAUUGCAAGAUUUUCCAGCAUUGACUUAUAGUCAAACUGCUCGUACUCCAAUUUCUUCCCAAAUAAGACCUCUUUAACAAAUUCCAAAAACCUCAGAAAAAUCUAAUGAAAACUCUUAUUUCACAAAACCAUCUACUCAACAUAUCACUUUAACCAGAUUCCAAGAAAUACCGUUAUAUUCUACACUCAAUCAGCUUAUUCAAAGAAUCUUUCUACAAAAAUGUUAUUGGCAACCUGAUGACCCUUCAAAAAAUUUGAAUUAUUAUGAAUUAAUUCUUACUGAUACUCAAUCUGUAAAAAUAUUCCCCACUCCAGAUAGAAAAAAUCUAAUUAGUCAUUCAAAAUGUAUAAUAAAGAAAGUUUGUUCUCCUAAUGAAUGGACUUCUCUUUAUUCAAAGAAAUUUUUCUCAGUCAGAUUUAUUCCAGAUGGAUUUACUUAUCAAGAUUACAAAAUGGCAUGGUAUCGUGCUUUUUUAUAUAGACCAUUCAAUCAUUCGUGGUUCUUUACAUUCAAAGAAAGUUGCAGCAGAGAAUUCCCAAUUUGGUUCAAUCACUGGUGGAAAUGGUUUGGCCCUCAACCAGAAAUUCUACCUCUAAAUAUUCUUAUGGGAUUCCAAACUUAUCUCAAAAAAGCAAAGGGGAAGGAGUAUACAAGACCAAUACUAUUCCAUAUGGAAUUCAAAAUACCAUGGAUUUUUUGCUGGAGUUUCAAGAUUCAUCAAGAAUUAGAAAAAUCACUCCCAAUGUCUCUAGUCAGAAAAUUCAAGAUCAAAUGGUGGAUAGGAUUUAAUCAAGAAUUUGGAGAUCAGGCAAAUGUGAUAAGAUUUCUAACAACCGGAGACAAACUCAAGUGGACAAGUCAGCCAACCACUUCAACCACUCCAACAACUAUGCCAACCACUUCAACAACUAUGCCAACCACUCCAACCAUUCCAAAAAAGAAAGAUAAAGAAAAAGUUAUGGUAUCCGAGACAAUUACAAACGACUUUUUGAUGAAAAAGAUGAUGCAGAAUCCCGAGAUGCUUAAAGAAUAUUUUGACUAUUUACAAAAGUAUGAUAAGAAUAAAGAAAUCGACAAAAUUGAUGAGUCAGCUGGAUCAUCCGAAUCUACUUUUGAUCCUUUCGGGGGACCAUGCGGACAAGACCCAAAUGACUUUUGAAAAAAGAUGUCGGCCAUAUUUCAAAGAAAGGCAAAUGAAAUUCAAAUGAAGAUGAAAUACAAGAACAGAUGAUUCUAUAAAUAGAUUCAAGAUCAGAAAACAAAGCAUCGGUGAAAAAAGAGAACAAAACCUUCCCGUGUAAAAAUCCUUAGAAAAAUCUCCUAAUCUCUCUUAUUCAACUACUCUUGUAUUCAACUACUUUUGCUUCCUUCUUCAAAUAUUUUAAUAAGAAGUGCAAGGAUUCAACAAACAUCAAGCUUCCGUUAUCAAAGGCAACUCUAAAUUUUCAGUAAGUCUAAUCGUUUAAUUUCUAUGAACAUUUCAAUAGAAAGUAACCUGGGUAAAAGUGGUAUCAGUGCCACAUAGACGUGCAUAUUUAAACUUUGUUAUUACAAUUACUUCAUUUGAAUUAUUUUCUAUUUUGAUUUGGCUAAUUCAUGCAUUUAUGUUUACGUAUUUUAUUAAACUUUUACUGAAAUCAUUGGUAAGACUUUGAUGCCUUGUUAGACCGUUGGUAAGUCCAGAGUAGGAUGUUCCCGGCAUAGUGCUCAGUUGUUUCUGAUCAGGUAAAAAUUUAAUUAAUAUUAAACAUGGCUGCAUUUCUUAGACAAUUAAAAAUAGGAUCUAAUUCAAAGCAAGCUAAUGUAGUACAAAAUCAUGAAUAUCAUAUGCCCAUAAAUAAUUCAGAUUGGACAAUUCCAGAAGAAAAAAUAGAACAUAUUUAUCGAAUAGGCCCUUUAGAUUUCAAAACAGCUUUAUCAGUAAAAACACAUGAAAAAACAAUAUCUAUUCAAGAAGAAUAUCAAUCCAUUCCAUUAUUAAAUCAUAGUACAAUUCAAAUAUAUUUAAGUAAAGGAUAUCGAUAUAUUCAUAUAGGUUUGAUACAAAUUACAGUAAAACCUUUAUUCCAUUUAGGAGUAGAUGCUCCUAUAUAUUUAGCAUUAAGAGAUACUAGACUCAAAAGAUAUAAAACUUCUUUACUUUCUAUGAUUCAAACUAAUGUAUGCAAUGGACCCAUAUAUUUUAACUGUACUCCAAAUUUCUCAAUAGAUCUAACAGACCCACACAUUCUGAAGUCAGUCAUAUUAGAUAUUCACCUACAAGGAAAUCAAUUUGAAAAACAUACAAAGAAUUUUGCAAUAAUAGAUAGAAUAUAUUAUAGACCCCUAUCUUCACAUUUAAAUUCUAAAUUUAUAAUGACUCCAACUCUUAAAGAAGAAACAACUUUAUUACAAGUAGAUGCAGAUAGACCCACAACUUAUAUUCCAAAAAGACUAAAAUGGAAUGAAAUAAAUAUACCUAGUGAAUUUGAAAUUAAAAAUCCACAAAAAGCAAGAAAUAUAGAACAAACCACUGCAGAAGAUAUUAUAGAAAAACCUGAUGGUAAUACUUUAAUAAGAUUUUCAUCAUUAAGAGAAAAAUCUGAUUCAACUUAUUCUUGGCUACCAGCUAGACAUUCUAAUUAUGAAUCAACUGAAAUUAAUUUUCCUUUAGAAAGUAUCUCAAAUUUUAAGUAUAAAACUCCUAUUCCAGAAGUUAUAAAUCAAAAUCAAUCAGAAUAUUCUCCAAUCCAUUCACAAAUGAAAGGAGAAAUAAAUGUUAUAAAUAAACCAUAUAAAAUAAAUCAUAAAUAUUUACAAGAAGAUUUUGAAGAUAAAGAAAAUACUGAAAAAAGAAUUUGGUUUUUUCAACUAGAAUCUGAAUAUAAAAGAAAAUUAAUUCUAGAAUGGAAAAGUGAAUUAGAAAAGCAAAAAUUUGAUUUCCCUUUCUUCACUUGGUUAUCAUACUAUACUGAAAAAAUAGGAAUAAAUGAUAUAUAUAAUACACCUCAAAUAAAUGUUCAAACCAUUUAUACAAAAAAUGAAAAUUAAAAGAUGAUCAAAUAAUAACAUCUAUACAUCCUCCAUUACAAGAAAUAAAAAUUAAUAUAGGACAAGGAGAUAUAAUAGCCUCACCUUUUAAAAAGGGUAGAGAAGCUGAAUCGAGUUCAAAUAAUACAAUAAAUUUAGAAGAUAUUAAAAAGGUUUAUCAACAAAAUAAUUAUACCAAUCAAAUUCUUCAUACAAUUUCUCAACAUAUGGAAGUAUUAAAUGCAAAAAUAGAUACCAUAAAGAAACCAGAAUUAAAAUUCUCUAAUGAUAUUUCAGCACCUCAUUUUCAACUUAGAAGUUUGACAAGAGAAAAAGAACAAGAUUUGGUUCAAAAUAUUAAUAAUAAAAAAAUAAAUAAUACAGACAAUAUAUUAAAUAAAAUAUCUCAAGCAUUACAAAACUUAAAUACAGAAGUAAAACCUCCAAACUAAAAUAAGAUUUUUAGGACAUGAUAUAUAUCAAGGAACGAUAAAACCAAUUAAUAGAGCUUUAGAAUUUGCUACUAAAUUUUCAGAUGAAAUAAAAGACAAAAAUCAAUUACAAAGGUUUUUAAGAUGCUUAAAUUAUAUAGCAGAUUUUUUCCCUAAAUUAAGACAAGAAUGUUCUAUAUUAUUUAAUAGACUAAAGAAAAACCCAAAACCUUGGACAGAAGAACAUACUCAAAAAAUAAAAUAUUUAAAAGAAAAAAUUGACUCAUUACCGUGUUUAUGUUUACCACAUCCUAAAGCAUUCAUGAUAGUUGAAACAGAUGCAUCAGAAUUAGGAUAUGGGGGUAUAUUAAAACAAAGAAUAGAAGAAUCAAAAGAAGAAUUAGUUAGAUAUCAUUCAUUAUAUUUUGAAAUUCUGAUGGUGCAUUUUUUAAUCCAAAUGGCAUUACAUUCCAUUCAUAAUGACCAAAAGGUGUUGUGAAUGUUGUUUUAUAUCUAUCUUUUAGUGUUAUUAAUAUUUGCCAAUAUCCUGAUUUUAGAUCAAACUUUGAAAAGAUUUUUGCUUUAAAUAAUCUAUUAAGCAAAUAUUUUUUAUUAGGAAUUGGAUAUCUGAUCCAUUGUAAAACUUUAUUUAAUGGUUUGUAAUUUAUUACUAAUCUUGGAACUCCUCUUUCUUUUUCAGCUUGAUUCAUUACAUAAAAUGCAGCACAACUCCAAGGUGAUUUUGAAGGUGUUAUUAAUCCUUUAUCUAUUAAUGAAUUUAUUUCCUUUUUACAAAAUUCUAAUAAAUCAGAAUUCAUUUGUAUUGGUCUUGCUUUAGUUGGAAUAUUUUUAUCAUUAAAACCUGUUUCGUAAGGUAAUUCUAUCAUAUGUUGUUUUCUAUCCCAAAAAACAUUAGGAAUAUCUGCACAAAUUUCUUUUUGUUAUAGUUAUUCUAAUUCUGAGAUUCUUUUUAAUAUUUUACUUUCUUUUAAUUGUUCUUCAAUUUUUAAAUAAGAUUUUUCUUCCUUAAUAUAAUUUAUUUGUUGUUGUACUCUAGUAAUACUAUUUAUUGUUUUGUAAAUAGAAGAUGUUUGUAAUGUCUGUAAUUCUCUUUGUUUUAUUGGAGUUAGAAAUUUAAAAAUAACAGUUUUUCCCAUUAUAUUUAUUGAAAUUCCUUCAUGACUUACUGAAAAUGGGUAAAUUUGAAUUAAAAAAGGUGUUCCUAAUAUUAUAUCAUGAUUUAUAUUUUUUACAAUUAUAAAAUUAUGUCUAAUACAAUAUUCAUUGUUACAUAUUGAUUCUUUUGUAAAUUUAUAUUUUACUUGUAAAUUUUCUCCAUUUGUUGCCAUUAAUGUUUCUUUUGUUCUUUCACAAUAUUUAGUAGGAAUUAUUCCUUCUUUAAUACAACUUGAAUCAGCUCCACUAUCUAUUAAAGCUACAUAUGUUUCUUUGAAAUCUUCUACUGUAAUAGUUACUAAAGCAUACCAUUUUUGAAAUAUCAUUUUCUCUAUUGUAUUUAAAUAUUGAAUUUCAUCUGUUGGUCUUUCUGAUAUACUUAUUUCUUCUGUUUUAGAAUUGGAAGUUGAAGGUUGAUUUUCUAUUAAUGUUAUUUUUGCUUCUAUUUCUAAAUCUUUUGUUUUUAAUUCUAUAAUUUCUCGCUGUAGUUGUUUUACUUGUAUUUUAAGAUAAUUAAUUUCUGUUUGAAGGUCUUUGGUGGUUUCUUUUUUCAUUAUAUUUAUGUUUGGAUAUUUAUCUAUUAAUUUAGAAAUACUAAAAGAUUCUAUUAUCUUUGGCAUUUUGUCUUCUUGUAUAAUUAGACUUUUUAAUCUUUCUAAAUAUUCUUUUUUAGCUAUUGGGUCAUCAAUUUUUUCUAUUAUAUCUAAUAAAAAUUCUUUAUCCUCUUUUUUAGUUAUAACAUUUAUGUAUUUUGAAGUAUUAGCACAAUUAUAAUUUUCUUCACUUUCUGAACUAGAUAUAUCAUUAUAAUAAUCAUCUUUAGAACUUUGAUCUUUUUCAUUUAUUAAUAAAUUUAUUAAUUUAUUUUUAAUUUCUUCGUCUUGUGUACAAAUCUCCGUAAUUUUUUCUUUUAAUUUAUAUUUGUUUGCUUUAUGUCCUAUUUUUCCGCAUUUGUAAUAGACUAUUUUGUUCUUAAUAAAUCUUUUCUUCUUUUCUGGUUUAUCUUCUUUAGAUCUUUUGUAUCUUAUUUUCUUAUUAUAUUUUUUAACUUUCUUUUUAUAUGCAGAUGGUAAUUUAAUUCUUUUAAUUCCAAAUGCAUCACAAAAUGAUCCUACUUCUUUUAUUUUUGAACCAUAUUUUAUUUGUAAUUUUAAUUCUGAACAUAACAUUAAUCCUUCUUUUUUCACAAAAGCAAAUAAUUGUCCAAAAGUAAUAUUUUCGAAUGAAAUUACAUCUGUUCCCAUUUCCCUUUGUAAAUUAUCCAUUAUUCUUUGUGAAAAUAAACUUGGUAAUCCUAUUAUGAAUCUUUCUUUCCAAAAUGAAGCAUUGCAAUCUGGUCUUCUUAAUACAUUAGUUAAAAACAUAUCUUUAUACCAUCUAAAGUUUGAUAAUGUUGGACAUCUUAAAUUUGUUAGAAAUGUUUUAUUAGAGUUUAAUUCCUCUUUUGGGUUUCCUAUAAAAUACAUUACUAUUGUUACAAUUAGAAAUUCUGCAGCAUCUGAUUGUAUUUGAAUAUUUCCUUGAUCAUCUUCAAUUUCUUGUGUAUGAUCUAGUAUUGAUAAUUUAUCUUGUAAUGUUAAAGCAUUAUCCCACCAAUUUUUUAAUUGUCCAGUAAAUCCUGAAACUAAUAAUGUUGCAAUAUUUCUUUCUUGAAUAUUUUUAAUUUUAUAAGCUAAUCUAGCCAUUCCCAUUUCUUGUAAAUUAUUUAAUACUUCAUAUUCUGCUUUGCCAUCUAUGUUCCAUUCAUAUAUUGAAUCUCCAUCAUAUUUAGUGGUACGAAAUUUUGAUCUUUCUUCAUAUUGAAUGUCUGGAGGACUAGGUUUUGGAUAAUAAUUUCUAUUACUUAUCAUUUUCCAAUCUUUAUUAUUUUUAUUAUAAAUUCUUUUUCUUCUUAUUUUAUUCAUUUGAUUGGUAUAAUUAUUUUGUUGAUAAACCUUUUUAAUAUCUUCUAAAUUUAUUGUAUUAUUUUAACUCGAUUCAAGUCAAUGCCAUUGCUUCAAGGAAGAGUUGUACUCCAUCACAGCAAGCAUUGGCCUGGGUCCAUCACCAAGGCAAUGAUGUUUGUCCCAUACCUGGCACUACCAAGAUUGAGAACCUCUAUCAGAAUAUAGGAGCUUUGUCUGUAAAACUGUCAGCAGAAGAUAUGGCUGAACUUGAAUCUAUUGCAUCAGCUGGAGUCAAGGGUGAUAGAUAUGAUCCUGGCCGUGGUACUUGGCGAACUCCUGAAACUCAUGAAGACAUACCUUUGUUGAGGCAUUAAUUCCUUCUAGCAUUCUACCUGUUGGUGAUUUCACUGUAUUGAGAGUUGAGCGAGUUGUAUUUGUUCCAAAAACUUCGUCAUACUAUUGUCUCGAGGGUUAAGACACGUAAAGUUUUAAGAAAAUGGUGUUUCUUUAGAGUGCUUGUAAUGAAUAAAGAUCUGGUCAUGUAAAAGUAGAAGCCAACAUACCAACAAUGUCAUUGUAAACUACAUCAUACCAACAAAAAGUAGAAAAUGGUCUAAAGUGAAUAAGAAAUCAACAAAAACUAUGUAAGCACCAAUGGAAAGCAGAAAAGUUCUUGAUACCAUAGUAAACACCAAUGGAAAGCUAAAAAGUUCUCGACGCCAUAGAAAUUAGGGAUUCGUUGGGCAAAAAAGUUCUUAACGCCAUACUCUAUAGACGCAAGGGAUCUAUAGAGCAGGGAUCCAGGUUUGGGCAUCUAGCUAAGUAGAACAGGUAAAGGAAAGCUACAUCACAGAUGUAGCAAGUAGUUCCAAUGUCCUUGCCAAUUGUAUAGGCUUUCUUGCUUCCAACAUGGUCUCGAAAGUGCAGAUUAGAGAAGGAUAUCAAAGCCGGCCAGCUGCGAAUCCUGUGGGGUGAAAACCAUACGUUUGAAAAAAUAAACAAAACAGAGCUGCCUGAUCCUCAAUUUAAGCAUUAUACUAGAGAAGGACAAUACAAGCAUUCUCAAUGUUUGAGAAAAUAAACUUUACAUGCAGAAAGCAAAUAAAUGCUUGAAAUUACACAAUGGAUGGAUGUUGAAAAGAAUCACUAAAGAAUAUGUCUAGAAGAUCGAUCUGUUAAGCAUGGGAAGUUCAAAGAGUAGCAUUUUUUUUGAGUCUCAGAAAAAUGAAGAGUCCAACAAUUUAGGGAAUUCAAACUCUAUUUGUGAAUAAACUGCUUGUAUUUUUCCUUUUUCUAGUGUAAGAUUUAAGGAAAAGUUAAAAUCACUUGACCCCUGAUCAGUUCUUUACCAAUUCAUUGAUUUUGACUUCAAUCAUGAACAAAUAAUUCAGAUUAAGACUGAAUAGUUAAUAAAUUGAAAAAAAAUCCAGUCCUUCUUACUUUUCGUGCCUUUGGCCCAGUGUUGCAAAAGGCCUUGCCUGAGGUAAGGCAUUUGUCACUAAUCCAGCAGCACCAAAGCCUUGGAGCAUGGGUUAUAAUUCUCAUGAAUUUUAAAAUUUUUGAAUAUUUUAAAAAUAUUGUAAUAUUUAUGAAAAAUAUUAUUAAAAAACAUAUAACUAUAAUAAAAUAUGUAAAAUUUAAAAAUUAUAGAAAAAUAUAUUAUCAUGAUAUGCGGUAGUAAUGACAGUAUAGAAAAAAAAAAUAUGGCAAAAAUUCAACGAAUACUAGUUGUGGGCAUCUGAAAAUGGUUAUAGAUGACAAGGGACGAUGAUUUUACUUGGAAACUUGGGUUUUUACAUUCUUGUGGUAUGUAUUACUAUACAAAAAUGGUAAAAUUAAAACAUAACCAAGUUUUGGGGUUAAAUAAGAAAUUUGAGAUAACAGGUUAGCUAAAUUUUUAAAGUGAGCCAAAGCACAAGGACUUAAUACUACAUGUUUUACUAGAAUGGGACCCACAUCUCUAAAUUCAGGCCUGUCAAGUUCAUCGAGGUGCUUCGUUCGCAAACCCAUUUGUCAGCCCAAAUCAUCAAACGCUUCCUUCCUCCCCUUUUUAUUUACUAUAAUAAACCCGAUACGACUUCCUGAUUAUUCCAGGAUCCAACAAUUAAAACUUUACAUACAAAUAAAUGGUCAAAUUCACUUAAAAAUUGUGGGGUCAUCUUCCACAUUAAACUUUUGUACCAUCCAAGUUUGUUUUAAUUCCUUUGGGAAAAUCAAACAUCGAAUGCAUUCCCCAAAAAAAAAACAAAAAAAGGGAAAAGGAAAUGGCUUACCUUUGCCCUUACGUAUCCAAUCCCAAUUUGAACAUUACAUCAUCCAUCCAAUUGAAACAAACUCCUAUGGAGAUUUUUUUUUUUUUGCUUUAUUUUGUUGUUAGAUCUGAAUUUUUUUUUUCCCAUGAGCGCUAGUGCUCUGUGGGUCUCUCCUUGCCCGUGCAAGGCCCCUCCUUCCCUAGAUGCCUAGUGGAAGUUUUUGUCCUCUUCCCCCUCCUGCUGCUCUGUUUUUUCCCCGCUAUCUCUAUCUAUUCGUUUGCUCUGGAAUCUUACUUCGUCGGCAUUAUUUUCAAUUCCUUUCCUCUACAACUUUCUGGGCUUCCCCUCCCUCGUCCCUUUUAACCUUGGCUCUCUUUGUAUUUUGCAGGCACGCAGUUUAAAUCACUCAACCUUGGCUACCCUGUCCGCCUCUGCGGGCUGAAUCAAUUCUCACGAGGCCAUGGCUGAGGAGUUAGAAAGGCUGUGCCAAAAUCUUGCGCUAAGGGAUGAUGAGGAGGAGGUGCUGUUAUUGCCCGAUGACAAUGACGGUGGCUCCAAUUUUGACGGCGAUUUGUGCAUUCUCGGAAAGCUGUUCAGUCGGAAGUCCUUCAACGCAGAGGCUAUGAUGGCUACCAUGAAGAAAUCUUGGAACCCGGCUAAAGGCCUCGAGUACUCGGCAGUUGGGGAUAACCUUUUCCUCUUCAAAUUUAACGACAUUGUAGACAAAAGGAAGGUUAUGGCAGGAUGCCCUUGGGCUUUUGAUGGAAGUUUGCUGGUUGUCAGUGACUAUGUUGGUAACAUUCAGCCGUCCAAGGUAAAAUUGGAUCACUGCUCUUUCUGGGUUCGAGUAUACAACCUCCCAUUGGGAUGGAUGAACGGAAGAACGGCGGACUUUAUAGGGAGCAAACUUGGCACGUACGAGGGAUUUGAUGCAAAGGGUGGUCUCUCUGUGGGUAAGUUUUUGCGCAUUCGGGUUAAGCUAAAUCUCAAUAACCCUCUCAAACGACUGAUGAAGCUUCUAAUCGAGGGUGCGGUUUGUGAGGUUCACUGUCGUUAUGAGCGCCUUCCUAUGCAUUGCUAUUUUUGUGGUCGAAUUGGACAUGGAGAAAGGGAUUGCGACGACAAACUAGAUGUUACUGUGGUAAACAACGGCGAACCUCAAUAUGGUGGGUGGCUUAGGGCCACCAACGACAAAAAAUUCGCCGGCCCGCAACUUUCGUCUCGGACGGCAACACCACCGACGAAAGGGGGCCAGUCCCUCCCUGCUGCCGAUAAGGUCGCGUCACCUAAGGAGGUUGUUAGUUUUGAACAUCCGAAUUACCAGGCCUCAGAAUCUCCAAGUUUGGUUGGCAGGCCUGAUCCUACCCAAAGACCAGACGUCCGAGUUCCUAGCACCUUGGUAGCACCCCAGCGCAGACCUUUCUCUCUGGAUAACGGCCAACCAAUCCUUUCAACGGCAUUGGUCACUGAUAGUUCUCCAACAGCGCAGGCAACUUCCACUUCCUUACCCUUAACCACACAUUCCCCCCACUCAAUUGUUCAUGAUGGGCCCUCAAGCUCGGCCAAUUCCAAAGCAAAUGCUCUUGGCUCGAAGCCCAAUGAACACCCCAAAAUCCCAGUCCCUAGCAAACCAAGUCCGCCCAAUACCAUCACCAGCCCCAAAUUCUCUCUAAUCAACCCCGCCACAUCUCAGCAAGAACGUUCUCCUACUUCACAACCUUCUGUCAUGCCCCCCAUACCUUCACAGCCUUUUCACCAAGCUAUUCAAAUAGCCACCCAUGCUUCAUUGGAAAAUGUACACCCCAACCUUGGCCCCCUUUUUCGCCCCUGCGAUGGCAAGCCCAAACCCAGUCAUACAACCACUAACCCCAGCAUACCAUCCAUGCAAUUGUCUAUCACAACAUCUACAGAGCCAACCAUGGAGGAUGUGUUUCUAGUUGAUGCCACCUUAACGCAGCAAAAGAAAUUUUCCGACAUCCACGACAUGCGAACUAUCGCUUCCUCCAAAAAAAUGAAAGGAUGCAAUAUCUCCCGCAGGAAAUCAACACCUUCAAAAUUGGCCCUACAUCCUACUAAUGUUAUAUCGGGUCACAAGACAAAAAGAGAGGCCACGGAUGCUUCUUCUGCAGGGGAGGGAGAUGCUAGUGGUUCGGCCCCAAAGAAACCGAAACAUGCUACGCUGCCCGCACCUCCUCAAACAACCUCUAUAGCGGCGGAGACUGCCUUGCAGUCCCGCCGAGAACCAUGAAUUGCUUGAGCUGGAAUUGUCGGGGGUUAAAGGGUUAAACAACCCUCGGACAGUUCGGGAGCUCCGAAACAUCAUCCGGAGAGAUAAAGUUUCAAUUAUUUUUUUAGUAGAGACGAAGUGUUCGGAUAAAGUAAUCGACAAGCUAAAGCAGGAUAUCAGAUGGUUUGGUUUAGGGGUUGACUCACGAGGGAACUCGGGUGGCUUAGCUCUCCUUUGGAGGAAGGAUCUGGGUGUUGAACUUAUGCGUUUCUCGGAUUGUUUUGUUGAUGUUAAGGUGCAUAUGACUGAUUCCUCCUGGCGUUUGACUGGUUUCUAUGGUCAUCCAGAGGCGGCUAAAAGAAAAUAUACUUGGGAUAUUAUGCGCAAGCUCAGUACAUUAUGCUGCCUACCAUAGGUCUGCAUGGGUGACUUCAACGAGGUACUCACUCAAGAGGAAUUUCAGGGCGCGACAUGGAGACCGAAUUGGCAAAUUAUGAACUUUCGGAAGGCACUUUCGGACUGUAAUUUGUUUGACUUAGGCCAUGAAGGUAAUCACUUCACUUGGUGUCGGAAUAGGUCGGCUCCUGACACAACUAGAGCUCGUCUGGACCGCGCAUGCGUCUCCCAUGACUUUCUCACCUUGUUUCCUGAUGCCAGGAUCUAUCACUCACAUGCUCUUUUUUCCGAUCAUGUUCCUAUUGUCUUAAGAUUAUCGUGCUCGCAUGAUCUCUUAAAAGCUCGCAGCAAAUCUAGGAGGGACAAAUGCUUCAUGUUUGAAGCAAUGUGGAUCAAAUCAGAAGACUGCGAACGCAUUAUCCAAGAUUCUUGGGAGUAUAGCUCGACAGAAGAUGCUUGUGCCAACCUGGUUAUGAAGACUAAUAGUUGUAGGUUAGGCCUUCUCCAAUGGAGCAAACAGUCCUUCGGCAACCAUACUAAGGCUGCGGAUGAUCUUUGGCAAAGGAUUUCUCGCCUCCAACAAGGCGUUUUGACGGACUCUAUCAAAGCUGAGAUUAGUUCUUUAACUACCCAGCUAGAGGAGCUUCUGGACAAGCAAGACAUCAUGUGGAAACAGCGAAGCAAAGCACAGUGGUAUAGAGAGGGUGAUCGAAACACAGCUUACUUCCAUGGCCUGGCUUCCCAGAGACGGAAGCAUAACCAGAUUGUUGGCCUUUUCGAUAACAAUGGUUCUUGGUGUCAGUCACAGGAGGGUCUAGAAUCUAUUAUCAUGGAACAUUUUGGCACAAUCUUUUCUACUUCACAGUCUACUUCUCUGGCAAUUGAUGCAGUCAUCCAGCGAGUGCGGGGAUGCGUUUCCAAGGAAAUGAAUUAUUGUCUCCUGCGUACCUACACUACCAUUGAGGUAACAAAGGCUUUAAGUCAAAUGCAUCCAUUUAAAUCUCCCGGGCCGGAUGGCAUGUCACCAGUCUUCUACCAAAGAUAUUGGCAUAUUGUUGGUCGAGAUGUCACUCGUUGGGUUCUUACUGUCCUAAACGAGGGCACCUUACCUACGAGUCUUAAUCACACCUAUGUUGUCCUUAUCCCUAAGUGUCACAGUCCAUCCAGUAUCACCCAAUUUCGUCCCAUUAGUCUUUGCAACGUAGUUUAUAAGCUAGCCUCUAAGGUCUUAGCUAAUAGGCUUAGGAACUGUCUUCCCAAAGUCAUCUCACCAUGUCAAUCAGCGUUCAUCCCUGGGCGCUGUAUCACUGAUAAUAUCCUAAUUGCUUAUGAAGUCAAUCAUUCCCUUAAGCUGAAAUCCUAUGGGCAGGAGGGAUUGAUGUCCAUUAAGUUGGACAUGAGCAAAGCAUUUGAUAAGGUCGAGUGGCUUUUUCUUCGACAUAUGAUGAUAGCUUUAGGUUUCCAUUCCGCUUUUGUGGACAUUGUUUUUCGCUGCAUUUCUACUGUGUCUUACACUUUCCUACUUAAUGGGUCCCAACUUGGGAACCUACAACCCCACCGUGGUAUCAGACAGGGGGAUCCAUUAUCACCCUACUUGUUCUUGAUCUGUGCCGAAGGCUUUUCUUGUUUAUUGCAGGAAGCUGAACGUUGCGGAAGCAUCUCAGGUUUUCGGAUCGGCUCACGCGGACCCAAACUAUCUCACCUAUUAUUUGCCGAUGACACCUUAUUAUUCGGCAAGGCUGUGAGAACCCUGAAAAUGUAUAUACAAAUAUCAUUUCAUAUUUCAUUUGCAAUUUUAGCACCUCCACAUAAAAUAUUAAAGCAUUUAGUUUUAUUAUGUUAAAUUAAUAUCACCUGAGUAGAUUAAUUUUACUACCUUAAUAUAAAUUACUUGAAGUCCAAUAAUUCAUUCUAAUUAGUGAAUAGCGUUAAAUACUACCAAAAAUUCUCACGAUAGGAAGAAGCCGAUAAAUUUUAGAUAAAAACAAUACACAUAUACUAAAUAUGUGUAGGACGUAAAAAUUUCGAUAAAUGAAAUCUUGUGAGAUUGGUGUAUCAUUAGGAGUUUAAUUUACAUUCGGAAUAAAUUUUUGGUGUUAAGUUAAAAUCAAGGACUCAAGUAAGGAUUAGUAGGGCAAUGUGAAAUGUCUAAACCAACCUUCACAAUAUCACAAAAUCACCAUGCAAUUCCAAAACAUUUCCGGACAGCAUUAUGAUCAACCUCACCAUUCGACCAAUGCUCACCUUCACCACCUACACACUCAACCUCUUCCUACACUCCAACACCCUCCAAAACCGCGGGUCAUCUCCCCAUUUUUCCCCCUCAACCCCGCAACAUCACCUCCCUUAACUCUGCAACAUCUCACCUCAAACACAACUACACCUGAUAACCGAGAGCAAGGAGAGAAACAGUGAGCUGCGAUAGUUUGCUGUUCCUGUCCGAGAAGGAGAAGCGAGAGGGAGAUAGAAGGAGAGAACCGUGUGUGAGCUUCCGUCUGCAUUUUUUUAACUCCAAACAACUGCACUUCAGCACUCCUCACUGCAACACCAUUCCAGUCGCAACCACUGCAACCAAAACCUGUGCGAGCUGAGAGCCGAGAGGGAGAACAGGAAAUUUUUCAGAUUUCUUGUGAGUGAGCUGCAAUUUGAGGUAACCUCUGAGCUAGAUUAAACUAAUUAGAGGUUGUUUGAGUUAAUUAGGAGCAUGCAUAUAGAGUUAAUCGAUCGGAUGAUGUACUGGAAAAGAAAAGAAAAAUUUACUGCGCGAAGGGAUAAAUUUUGGCCAUGAGCUGAAAUCGGAAAUGCAGCUCCGAAAUUGUUCACUCUUAGCAAUCUGAACACCUAAAUGUAAUUAGCCGAGUGAAAACUUGAUGAUUAAGAUCAUGCAUGUUGAUUUGUGCGUUUGGAUGAUUAAAUUAGAAGCAUAAGAAACCUUGAUUUGGAAAGAAAUGGACUGCCGAGUAGCUGAAAUGAAAAGGCAGCACUAAUCUGUUUAUCUGGUAACAAUUUGAACUGAUGAAUGUGAUUACCUCACUAAUAAGAAGGUAAUUAAGUCUUGCAUGAGGCCAAGUAACUCGGCUAACCAAGAAAAUAAAAUGAAAACAGAAAAAUUGUUUCAUGCAUGACCAUCCGAGACUAGUUGAUAUAAUUUCUAGAUUUUAGCGAUGUUUGUAGUAUUAAAUGAACCCGAUGUUGAACUAGAAAUGUUAAUCAAGUGGUUAAGCAGUUGCAUGCUGAAUUUGAGUCCCUAAAAUACUGAUUUAACCAAGGGAAAAGCUGGAUUAAGAACAUACAAUUGCUGGAAAAUUUUUGUGAACUGCGGUGAGUUUGAACCUGGAAAUUUUGAGGAUUAUAACAGCUGUUUAAAUUUAAUUUCGAGCUGGAAAUGUUAACGGUCUAGCCAAGUAAUUGCAUGAUGAAGCUGAGAGUUUAAUAGCAUGUCUUAGCCAAGGAAAUAUUGAAUUCAUGAACAACGAAGUACUGGAAAUUUAAAUGACCGAGAGGUUGAGCUGAAAAUUUUAAUUGGUUUUUGGAAUUUUUCCUUGGAAGAAAAUGGUUCAGAAAUGUAUGAAAAAUGUGUACUUAAGCCAUGUAGGUGGUUUAGCUAUGAAACAUUUGUUAUAUUGGAAGUUUGGACCAAAAGGUUGGAAUGUAAAUGCUGAACAUUUUUGUUAGUAGCCGAGAGACUUGGAUUGGAAAUGUUAACUUGUUUCUGGAAUUUUUCUUAGAGUACAAUGGUUUCGAAAUGUAUGAAAAAUAUGUAUUUUAAGCUGUGUAAGUUGUUUAGCUAUGAAACCUUUGAUAUUUUGGAAGAUUUGAUAAAAAAUGUUGAAGGGUAGACCUGGAAAAUUUUCAAGUGAGUUGAUAGAGGAAGUAAAGGAAUUUUUCAGAUUUCUUUUGGCGAAUUUUAGUUCUAAAAAUGCUGUUUUGAGCUGUAAAAUAUUUCAUGCUUAUUGACCUCACUCUAGAGUAUAUUAAGAGGGCCGUGCAUGUGAAUUUUUGGGGUGACCAUUUGAUUUUUAUCAUGGCUACAAGAAUGAGAUUUUGGUUGAAAUCUUGGACAAAAUAGGGUUGCAAAAUCUUGCCUUACGUUCAUACACCUGUUAGUGAUUCCAAACGUUCGAAAUUUUGGCUUUGUUGCAAUAAGAAAUAAUUGUUGGGUGCUAAGGGCUAAUGAUUGAUGAAACCCUUGGCCAUUUGAAUGAUUUUAUAUAAGUGUUAAAGUUUGAAGAAAUUAAAUUGCUGGAAUUGCUUGGAGGCCUUAUGUUUAUUUUGAUUAAGUUGAGAUAGGAUAUGAGCUUGCCAAAACCAAGAGCUAAUGAUUGACGAAACCUUGGUCACUUGUUUCAUUUUUCUAUCAGAAAUGAACCUGUUGAAAACUAGGGCGAAUGAUUGACAAAGCCCUAGUGAUUUGCUAAAUGAAAUGUGAUUUGGCCAUGUUGACAAAUUUGAGCCGUAAUGUGAUUUCGAAAUGAAAUCGAAAUUGUGAAAGUCGUUUCGACCCUGUGAACUCGAGCAAUUCUGAGCAAACGAAUCAAAAAUAUUUUUCGCUAGUAUUAGACGAUGAAAUUCAGUAUUUAGUAUUUUGCCCUAAAUUUUGCUAACUCGACAAUUUUUUUGUAGCUUGAACUAGCCUUAAUAGUUAUAGAAAAUAAUUUUUAUAGCUUUUAAAACCCUAAGUCUUGUUCUAAUUCCUUUUCUUUCUUUAAGAUUUGCCUUUGGCUAGUUGUCUAUAGGAAAAGUUCCAAAAUAAGAAUUUUAAUAACCUUAAGUUAAAAACUUAGAAACUUGCUCGGCAAGAAACUUUAGUUUUGGUAAAAUAGUUUUAGUGACAAUUUUUGCAAGAACCGUAACUUUAAAGAAAUUUUUCAAAGUAUCUUUCCAGCUUUGAUAUUAAGUGGUUUAUCGACUUAUUUCAAGAAAAUAAUACUAGUUACCUUUUUUAUAAGGAAAAGUAUCUCAAGGAAAAACUAUAAAAAACAUUUUUACUACUUUUGUCAAGUUUCAACCCAAGUGGAUUUUUAAAAUUUCUCUGAGAAGGUAAACUAGUAAUAUAUUAGAUAAUCCUCUAUAUGUAUAAGCUUAAAAACUGAAUAGAAGACUUAUAGUUUUAAAACUUGGUUUUCUAGGGUACAGCGAGGACGUGGAACUUUAAUUUCCCAGCUUGAUCAGUAACUUCACUCUCGGUGAGUGUCCCUGCUUGUUCCAUGUCUACGUGAUUAAAGUGCUUUGUUGACUUGAUAUAUGAUAAUUGUGAAAUGGUUUUGAUCCAUCGAAGUGAGCAGUGUGUACUUUAUCACACUAGCCUUUCGAGUGGUGACUUGCGUGAAAUAUUUUAGUGAAUCCAAGUGUUGUGACGUCGCUGGGUGAAUCCCUCGACCAAUUUCUGAGGGUAUACGCAAGUAUACUGCUCCCAAUUUCUGAAGGUAUACGCAUGUAUACUGCUCCCAAUUCCUGAGGGUAUAUCUCGAGUAUACUGCUUCCUUAGUUGGUGUUCGGGCCCGGGACAGGGGUAUGAAUGGUGACGGGUUAGGAAACAAAAUGAGAUACUCUACAUGGAUCAUAAGUAGUGAGAGUUGACGGAGGGUCAACUACGAUGGUGUUUGGUCAAGCGAGGAAUCGGCUCCUGAGAGCCCCUGUAUCCUACCUUGUACUGUUAUACGCUUUUCUAAUUGUUGAAUUUAAUACUUGUUACUUGCCUUAUGUGAUUGCAUGUUUUGGGGCACCACUGAGUUUUAGCUCACCCCACAUUUAUUUGUUUUCCUUGACAGGUUUUGACGUUUGAGAAAUUUGAGCCUACUUAUAUUUGCUUAUGAAUGUAUUUGAACCUUGUGACUUGGAUUUGCAGUUCGUAAUGUAAUUCGAAUAAAACAAUGUACUUUUGUCUUGGGUUGCCACUUGAAGCUGGAAAAGUGUAAAACCCAGAUUGGUUAUGUGGCUUGUGUAAAUUUGUUACUUAGCUUGUAAUUCUGAUAUUUGGCUUGUAUGAAUUUGUGAGAUGGGAUUGUUUGACUUUAUUCCGUGGUUUGUAACGCGUAAGGUAUUUAAGAGUCGACAAUUGGUUUUUUUUAAAGAUGCUGUUAUCUCUGAAGUUAAUGGGGUUUUAGUCAUCAGCCUAUUUGGAAGGAAACAGUGUUGUAAUAGUUUAGGUUAUUCUUCGGAAUGAUUUGGAUAGAUUGCUUGCGUGAGUCCUGGCGAGAGUUAGGCAGACGGCCCGCCAACCCUUUGGUUCGCCUUAGGGGAAAGUGGGGUCGCCACAAAGGCAUCGCUGCAGGAAGCUCAGCACAUAAAGACAGUCCUUGACCUUUACAAAGCAGCUUCAGGUCAGGAGGUUAACUUUGAUAAAUCAGCAGUGGUCUUCAGCAAAAACACAGACCCCACAGUUCGUCGAAGUAUCACACAGCUUCUUAACAUCAAGGAAGUUCCCACUCACGACAAAUAUCUUGCCUUCCUACUGUUGUUGGUUGUUCCAAGUCUGAAGUUUUUUCAUCUGUAAAGGAGAGAAUCUGGCAGAGGAUACAUGGAUGGAAUGAACAGCGCCUCUCAACGGCAGGUAAGGAAAUCAUGAUCAAGGCUGUUGUCCAGGCCAUUCCAACAUACUCAAUGUCCUGUUUCAAGUACCCGGACUCCUUGCUUUCCGAUAUUCAAUCUAUGAUUAGUAACUUUUGGUGGGGUGAUGGCACAAAACAGAGACCAAUCCACUGGGUGAGUUGGAAUAGAAUGUGCUCGUCCAAAAAUGAUGGGGGCAUGGGCUUUAGACAACUUAAGGCUUUCAAUUUAGCUUUAUUGGCUAAACAGGCAUGGCGCAUUGCAACUCAGCCAUCUACUCUGCUUCAUCAGGUUUUUAAGGCUAAAUAUUUUCCAACGAAGGACUUUUUUCAUGACGAGCCUACUUCCAGGCCUUCUUUUACUUGGAGGGGAUUGUGCGUUGUUCGAAGAUAUUUACUCUCUGGUAGCAGAUGGCGAGUUGGAAAUGGGAACCAUGUCAGAAUCUGGAAGGAUAGGUGGAUUCCACGCCCUUCUACUUUCAAAAUUAUAUCCCGUUAUGAUGUGCUGCUGGAUGAUUCCACUGUGGAUUGUUUAAUUGACGGAAAUAGCAGGAAAUGGAAAGUUGAGUUGCUUCAGGAGCUUUUUUGGCAUGAUGAGAUUGAGUUGAUUAUGGGUAUUCCAUUGGGUGAUAGUCACAAUCACGAUAAGCUCAUCUGGCACUACUCUAAAAAUGGCUCAUUCACAGUGAAAAGUGCCUACCACCUUAUCAAAACACAAUCUACAGGCUGGCAAGAUGUAGCUUCAGGGAGUAAUGGUUCGGUGCAGGAUAUUUGGCCUCGCCUGUGGAAGCUCAACAUACCAAACAAAGUUAAGAUAUUCUUGUGGCGUAUCUGCAAGGGUAUUCUCCCUACAUCUUCCACGCUGAAUAGCCGUGGAGUCCACCUUGACCCUAUGUGUCUUUUAUGUAAGACCCCUGUUGAAGAUGUAACUCACCUCUUCUUGUGCUGUCCGGUAGCAGUUCAGGCUUGGGCCCUCAGCUUUCUUACACUAAAGAUAAGGUUAGACUCCGCCAAGCAGGUCUCUUCUUGGUUGCCUGGCCUUCUGAAUCUCUUGAAGAAGCAGGACAUGGAAUUGGUAGCCAUAAUUCUUUGGAAUCUAUGGCUUAACCGAAAUGGUGCUUUAUUCGAUGGUUCAUAUCGGGACCCGCUCAGUCUAGUCUCUCUCUCUAUCAAUUUCUUACAGAAGUACCGGGAAGCCAACACAUCUCCAAAUACUCCAAUCCGCACUUCCAUUGCUCCACUCCACUGGACAAAGCCCCCUGUGGGCUUCCUAAAGGCGAACUUCGAUGGCGCAGUUUUCUCCGAAUAUGGCUACUCUGGUGUUGGAGUUGUUGUGAGGGACGAGCGGGGCAAUUUUGUUACAGGAACUUCUCACAAAAUCUCUGGUAUCUUUUCCCCUGAGGUCAUCGAAGCCUAUGCUGCGAGAACUGCAAUUUCCUUGCUGCUUCAAUGGAAAGUGCCCAACAUUAUUUUGGAGGGAGACUCUUUGAAGAUCGUCAACAUGCUUAAGCUUAUGGAGUCUGAUGACUCCGCUUAUGGGGUGCUGUUAGAUGAUAUCUUUGUUAGGUUACAGAACUUCGCCGCUUGGGAGGCUAAUUGGGUCCCUAGGAAGGCCAAUGUGCCAGCACAUUUAUUAGCUAGAAAUGCUCGCUCUAUUUCAGAUAUCUGUAGUUGGAGUUAUUCUCCACCACCUUUUCUUCCCUCCGCAAUUUCGGCGGACCUAUCCUCACCUUAAUGAAAUUUUCUAGUUUGCUAUCAAAAAAGAUCUGAAAUUUUUUUCAAAAUUUGAAUCUAUUUUAACAUAUCUCAUUAUCAUUAUUGAAACUUAAAACCAUUUAUUGACAAAUCUGGCAAUUGCCAUAUGCACAAAAGGGAGACACUUUAAAAUUCUUUAUAUUUUAUUAGAUGUGUUUGUAAUUUUCAAAUCUAUUGUAUUAGUUAAAUUAUAAUCUGUAAUUUUUAAUGCAGGCUUGACCUGCCAUUAGGGGAGUUAUGUAAAUCAAAUCAUGUUGGACGAUUUUCAAAAAACAAAAAAAAAAACUUAACCGUCAAUUACUCUUCCCCGUUUUAUUUGUCCACUUUUCAAUUGUCAAUAACUCUUUUAAAAUAUUUUGCAAUACAAAAAUCAACUGAAACCAGUAGACAUUGUAAUUAAUAGCAGUAUUCAAUUCAUGUUUUUGUAUGUUACUCGUACAUCUAAUUAGUCCAAUUUGGAGGAAAAAAAAGAUGAAAACAAAAACAUAUAAUAGUCACAAAAAACACAGAUCUAGCUCAAAAUAUGGCAGUGACCAAUUGUUCUGCAAAAUUAGUGGGAUAAGCAGUUGACAGAUUCUAUAAUCCCUUUUGGUCAAAUAUUAUUUUUAAUAUUUAGGUCGUUACAAUUUCAAUCAUUUAAAUUACCCGUUACUAUCAUCAGUGGAAGAAGCACAUUGAAGGAAUGAUACUUUAAGAUGACUACAGAAUUUUUCUAGUUGGUCAUACAACAUAUUAAUAUUUGAAAAAAAAUUCUAAUCACACAAUUGUAUUUGAUCUCAACCAACCGCCACUACUUUAAAUUAAUUUGGAUCGUAAGUAAUGUCAUUACUUUAUGUGAAUAUCAAAUAUGAAAAGUGCAUUAUAUAUAUGAGGAAAGAAAAUAAAAUGUACUAGUUUUCAAUUUCUUUAUGUAGAAUAUUUUCUUGAAUAUUAAUUUUUGAUAUAUCUUAGUCAAGGUCAUUAAUCAACCCGGACCUAAUCAACUCCAAACCCAGGGCAAAUUUCUUUAAAAUAUUGCCAAAAAGAACUUCGAAAAAUAUUGUUGAAAAGUUGAGUAUUUUUCUAUCCAGGCUCGUUGUAUCUCUGACAUGCGGUGGACUAGUUCACUAGUUCCAUUUUCUUUGUAUAAAAGGAGUCUGUUUGCCAGACACAUGGUGAGCCACAUUUAAAAAUUGGUUUCUAUCAUAAAGCCUAUCAUGUCCGGACAGAAGAUGGACUGUUUUUUAAAUUUUUUUUUGAAAGCAAGUGAAAAGCGUUGCAACUCAGGAUUUGGAUAGUAAUUUUAAAAUUUAAUGGUGCACCUACCUUUUAACAUUUCGUGUGCUUUUAAGGUAUCAAAUGGGAAAAAAAACCAACACCAUAUAACUUCAAAUGCAAGAUGGUACGAAAUUUGUCAAUAUGUAGAUGUUAAUAUACAUUGACAUGUAAAAAGUGCACCAUUCAUCACAAAGAUAUUUAUCCUAAUAUUAGAUUCAUUUUUUCAAAAAUUCAACUUUUCAUGCAAACAUGUAAUCAAUAUGCAUAAAUAGAUAACAUUAGAUGAAUUUAAACAAGUAGCCUUAAAAUUUAAAAAUAUUUGAUUUCGUAAAUGUGCAUUCGCAAUUUAGAAAAAGUACUUUUCAAAUGGCAACUCUAGAGAACAAGAAAUACUCCUACUUUAUUUUGAUUUCAAAUCUUCUUUUGACUUGUCAAAAAAGUGAAAACACGAAACCAAUAAUGGGUCAGAUAGAGAGAAGUAUUAGAAAGAGAAAUUUGUCAAAUUGGUCCCUAAUAUUUACACAAAUCAGCCAGAAUAGUUAUUAACAUAUAAAUUAUGAUUCAUUUUGGUCCUAAUGCUCGUAUUUGCUCAUUUCUUUGACUAAAAAUAGCACGCCUCUCUCACGUGGGCAUAUUUUCAAGGGCAAAAUUGAAAAACACAAGCUUUUCUCCCCUUUUCAAGGAUAACAUUUUAGCAUAUUUUUCUUUCCAUGUUCUGAAAUUAGGGCUUUUCUCCCCUUUUGCUUCUGGUCAUGGACUCUUUGCUAUCGAGCUACAUCUCUUCCGAUGAAGAACAAGAAGAUAAACCACAGCUCUCAAAUCCCAGUUCCGCUGGAUUCCUCUUCUCACUGCCACCCCCAAAAUCUUCAUCAUCAUCUUCUUCCUCAUCCAUCUUCUUUCCAUUUCCCCCAACCCAAUCCCACCCCCCAAAGCCCCCCGUCUCAUCGUCUUCCUCAACCCUGAAUCCACAUAAAUCUAAUGAACUUCAAGAAGAGAGGGAUGGGCAGCAAUUGCUAAAAAAUCGGGAAAGUUCGAGAUUUUUUAUAUCGCUUCCAAAACCAUUGUCAUCUUUGUUCGCUUUGUUUCCUCAACCCAAAUCAUCUUCCACGUCAUCUCUUUUCUCUUCUCUUCCGCAGCCCACCAAAACCCACAAUCUUGAUGCCCGGGUUUCGCCUCCUGUGCAAUUUGCUAGAAAGAAGGUGGUGGUGAUUCCUUGGCAGUCGGAUCACACAACUUUAAUGGAAAGGUGAUGGAAUCAAGCUCGCCGGGUUUAUUGGUGGUGGUUCCUUGGGGGAUCAACAGCAGCAGCCACACCGCUAAAGGGAUCAAGCCUCAAAUUGACGCGGGUGCUUUUCAGUUUGGGGAGAAUAUACUGAAGUAGCAGCAGUAGAAGCUUCAAUUCCACGUUUACACUGAAAACAAUAGUGUUUUCUAGUUUUGUCCUUGAAAAUAUGCCCACAUGAGAGAGACGUGCUAUUUUUAGUCGGAGAAAUGAGCAAAUACGAGCAUUAGGAUAAAAAUGGAUCAGAAUUUAUAUGUUAAGAACUAUUUUGGCUGAUUUUAAAUGUUAGAGACUAAAAAAGUUUUUUGUGUAAAUGUUAGGGACUAAUUUGACAAAUUUUUCUAUUAGAAAUUUGUUUUCUAGAUUCUUUGGUUUCCCAAUUUUUUCAACGGGUCAACUCGACCAUUAUCACAUGCAUGUGAUUGUAGGUCUACCACGCUUCAUAGUCCAUAACGUGGCACCACAAAAGAUGGUGUCAAAACACUUUUCUAGUUUAGUAAGAUCUGUGUAUGUAUUAGUUCCUAACACAAGUCUCUUUAGAUUUUCUCUCCUUUGUAAUUUAGAAUAAAAUAGGUUAUACAAUUGUUAUCGUCUUCAGAAAAAAAAAGAAUAAGUCCCAUCCUAUUAUUAUUAUUUUUCUUUUAUCAAUCAACAACGCCUAUUCUACACCUAUUUGACUUCUAUUCUAGGGGAAAGGGAGGUCCAAUUGGAAAAUUAAUGGUGAUUGAACCACAAUUAGACCAAAAACUUUCUAGAUAAAAUUUGAUCUAAAAAAUAAAUAAUAAUAUAUUAACUUAUUAUUUAAUAUGAUAUAUAUUCAAAUAGAUUAAAUUUAAUAAUUUUAAAUUUUAAAUUUUACAUUUUAAAUUUUAAUUUUCAAACUUCAAUGUUGCCAUACUUACAACAACAACCUCUAGAUGGUCAACACUUAGAGUCGUAGCCCUUGCUUUUGGCAUUCCCCGGUCCAUAUGCUAUGUUGUUCUCAAUGAGGAAGCAAAUGUCCGCUAUUAAUUACACGAGCCAUCAGUCAAAUCAGUCAAAAGAUGUUAUUGAUUGAACCAAGUGGGCAAAUUGAAUGAACCACCAGCUCCACUAAGCCCUUAAGGCUGUGUUUUCAAACUCGGACCGGACCGGCCGAUCUGAUCGGUUGAACCGGGAACCGGUCGAGUGUCCGGUCCGAGUUGAUCAUCAAAACCGGGAGAUUCAAAACCCGGUCAAUUCCGGUCAAAACCCGGGUUUGACCGGUACAGAACCGGAAAAAUCGGUCCAACAGGAGAUUUUGUAAAAAAAGUUCAAACUUUUUUAAUAUUAUGUUUUGGCCCCCUAAAUUGUGAAAACUUAUUAAUAUAUCUCAAAUAUUUCAUACUUUAUAAAUAUUGUCCUAAAAUUUGAUGUUAUUUUUCAAUUAAAUCCAUAAUUUUAAUUCUAAACUUGUUAAUGUUUAUUAAAUAAUAUAAAUUGUUACUUGAUUGUUCUAUUUCAAGUAUAUAUGAAUAUACCUUUAUUAAUAUCAAUAUGUUAUUGGAUAUUUUAUAUACAAUAAUUUAAUUUUUAAAUAAUUUUUAUUUAUGACGUCAUCCGGUUCGACCCCUAUCGACCCCCGAUCUAACCCAUUGACCCCUGACCCCUGACCUCGGCCGAGUCGAUAUCCGGUCCGGUUCUGAAAACAUAGCCUUAAGGCUUUGGUAAACUUGUCUCCCAUCAAAAUAUCAUUCUUGUGGCUCUUCUUAAAAUUCAGAAGGGUGUAUUGUGCACCUGUCUGAUCCAGUGGUGAUUCUGUUCUCAUCGAUCUUUCGUAGGUUCAGUUGAGCCUUCCUGUAAUUAGAGUAGAUGUAGGAGUAGGGAUGACAAUUGAAAAAAAAAAAAAAGUGGGCAAAUUGAGUGAGGAUGAGUAAUUGACCUGUAAGUCUUGGCAGACUUGGAGGAAUCAAUCAACAUUCUCUGACUUGAAUGAGGUAAGCACAAAGGUGAGCAUUUUCCAUUUUUAUUUUGGUUUUCAUUUCUUGUAUACUCUAAAACUUUUUUCAUUCUACCCCACGCACAUAUAAUAUAUAAUGAAAUGUAAAUUUUUUUAUGAAAACAUAUAAAAUAUAUAAAAUGUAAAAUAAAUUUUUUAUAAAAACAUAUGUUUAUAUUUAUCUUUGUAUAAUGAAAAUAUAUAAUUCAUUCUACCAAUAUAUACGCAUAUAUAUAUAUAUAUAUAUAUAUAUAUGUAUAAUGAAAAAUUAAAUUUCUCCUUCAUCUUCAGGGCUGCACCUACAAACAACAAAACUCCGCUCCACUCAACUCUUUCCUUCGUGUUUUGUGUUUUUUUAUAAAAAACAUAUAUAUAUAUAUAUAUAUAUAUAUAUAUAUCUUUUAAAUUUCACUAAUUAUUUUAGCUCUUAAUGUUUUUUAUUUUUUUUACUAAUAUUACCUCAUGAGAGGUAAAAAGGGUAUAAAUGGAACAACAUUAUUAUCUCACUUUCCAAAAGACUUUUUUAAUGGUACUUUUUCUAACAUGGGUUGAAGCUAUUAUCAAAAUCUAGUUUAGGAAAAAUUAGUGCUAUUUUUCAAAUUUUAGGAAAGGUGAGUACAACUGUUAGAAAUCUCAGGGACGAUUUUUGCAAUUAUCCCUAAAAGCAUAGACCAAGACUACACUAAUCUCUAAAAAUUUGACACCUAUUUCUUAUAACUAUACUAGAUAAUUUCAUAAUUGUAUAGAAAAAUAAAUCAAAAUUUAUUAUACAAAGGUAUUUUUGGAUAUUUAUUUAAAAAUUUGAUCAAAUUAAUAUUAUUUUAAAGCUUUAUUACAAAAACUAUCAAAUCAAAGGAAGUAAGCGUAAUAUUUCAAACCUUACAGUAAAAUUGUUAGAAACCUCAUAGAGGUUCCUGAAAUUAUCCCUAAUAUUUUUUUUUGUACAAAAAACUCCAAAAAAUUGGCAGCUCAAACGGGGCCAACAAUCUACUAUGUUUGCCUGUUCUCCCGCCGGACCCACCAGCCGCCGGCGGCCAUGGGUCAUCUAUAAAAGCAUAGAUCAAGACUACACUAAUCCCUCAUCUGUCCAGUCCAUCCAUAAUUGCAGAAACUGGUAGGUUUUGUAUUUAACAAAAAUAUGAGACUUUGUAGAUUUUGAAGUUUAAGGAAUGGAUAUUUGAAGUUUAACGAUCGUUAUACAACUUUCAAAACAAAUAAAUUCAUUUUAUUUUUUUUUUGGAUAAUUUCAUAAAUCAAAUCGUGGUCACUUUCGCAAAAGUCAUAUUUUCCCAUAAAAGACCAGUUCUUUAUGACUUUCCUCCAUUAUAAGAACAGAGUACCCAUUUUUCCAUAAACAAAUUUAUUUAUCGAAUAAAAUAAAAAUAAAUCCGUUUUUCAAUAAAACACCAGUUCUUUAUGGUUUUCUUCCAUUAUAAGAAUAGAGUAACCAUUUUCCCAUAAACAAAUUUAUUUAUCGGAUAAAAUAAAAAUAAACCCGUUCUCCAAUAAAACAUGAGCUCUUUAUGACUUUAGAAUGAAGGGUUACUCCCUCUUGUUUGAUAUAUCUGAACCUCUUGUUUAAUUUAAAAAUCACCACCAUCAUUCUUGUUUGAUAUAUCUGAACCUUUCACAUUUUUACCAGUUUUUUUGCCCUUUUAUUUUUCUCUCUGUCAAUUUCCUAAAGAUUGAUGAAAUCUUUGCAGGUCCGAAUAAACCAAAGAACGAAAAUCCAAUCAAAAAGUUCGAAAUUUAAAGUUUAAAGGAAUGGCAACCUCAGAAGUCGUUCUCCGGUGCCUCCCUAGUCCCUCACGUCGCAGUAGUCACCAAGUCUUCAGCAGUCAACAUCCAAAGCUUAUAAAGUAGCACAAAUACUAUUGUAUAUAAGAACUUAAAUUUUGCAUCCGCGAGGGCGGCAGAAGUCAAUACUCCAGGAGGGACUAGGGGCAGAGGGCGGCCGCCGCCGAGGGAAGUGGGAGCUGGCUAUAGAAGGUCAUCGGGCGGUGGACUAUGAGGAGAGCAAAGGAAUAUCAAUUGAGAGUGCAGCGUGUGAUGGAGAGAAAGAGAGGGUAUGUCCGUCGUAAAUGUUGUCUGAGGGAAUAAGUUGAGGGUUUUGUCCAAAACUUCCCAAUUUGCUCGAGAAUGGGAUAAGUCAGAUUUUUUAGAAAUGAUUCCAAAAAUUACAUUCCAAUAGGCUUAAUCCAAGCAACAAAUAAGGGGUUUAUUCCAUUCUGUGAUUCCCAAACCCUUUAACCCAAUAGCCCCUUAAUAUUUUUUUACUAAUAUUACCUCAUGAGAGGUAAAAAUGAUAUAAAUGGAACAAAAUUAUUAUCUCACUUUCCAAAAGACUUUUUUAAUGGUAUUUUUUCUAACAUGGGUUGAAGUUACUAUCAAAAUCUAGUUUAGGAAAAGUUAGUGCUAUUUUUCAAAUUUUAGGAGAGGUGAGUACAACGGUUAGAAAUCUCAGGGACGAUAUUUGCAAUUAUCCCUAAAAGCAUAGACCAAGACGACACUAAUCCCUAAAAAUUUGACACCUAUUUCUUAUAACUAUACUAGAAAAUUUCAUAAUUGUAUAGAAAAAUAAAUCAAAAUUCAUUAUCCAAAGAUAUUUUUAGAUAUUUAUUUAAAAUUGAUCAAAUUAAUUAUUUUAAAUUUUUAUUACAAAAUCUAUCAAAUCAAAGGAGGUAGGCGUAAUAUUUCAAACCUUACAAUAAAAUUGUUAGAAACCUCAGAGAGGUUCCUGAAAUUAUCCCUAAUUUUUUUUUGGUACAAAACCCUCCAAAAAAGUGGCAGUUCAAACGGGGCCAACAUUCUCCUAUCUUCACAAGUCCUCCCGCUGACCCACCAGCCGCCGGCGGCCCUGGGUCAUCUAUAAAAGCAUAGACCACGACUACAGAAAUCGUCCAGUCCAUCCAUACUUCUUCUUCAGGCCUCAGCUACUAAACAAUAAACUCUGCUCCACUCAACUUGUGCUCAAAAUAUGACAGUGACCAAUUGUUCUACAAAAUUAGUAGGAUAAGCAGUUGACAGAUUCUAUAAUCCCUUUUGGUCAAAUAUUAUUUAAAUUCAUACUUUAAUCUUAAAUUUAUAGUUGGAUGGUCCAGGAUGUGGUAAAAUUUUUCAUUCAAACUAACGAUAGUGCGAAAAAAAAGACUAAUUAAUAAAAAUACGAUCUCGAAAAAUUUUUAAUUCACAUUCACAAUAUGUGAAUUCAUGAUAAAUACAAAAAAGUAUGGUACUUUGAUAAUACAAUGAAGGAAAGCCAUAAAGAGCAUGCCAUUUACGAGAAAAGUUUUCAUUAAUAAAAAUACCAACUCUUCACGGCUUUUUUAACGGUCCUUCAACGUAUGAGCAAAGUGCCAAUAAUUAAAUUAGUAAUUUUUUCGAUUUAUACAUAAUUAAUUUUUUUUUGCAUUUCCACAAAAAACAAAUGAAAAUUUUUUAUCAGAAAGCACAAAAGUCAAAAUGAUUGGUUUAAAAGGGAAAGGAAUAGCAUAUAUGUACAGUACUUGUAUUUCACGUUCGAAAUACUACAGUGCUGUUUGAAAAACACCCCCAACAAUAUCUAAUCCAAACGGAACCAAUCUUCAGUAUUUAAAAUACCAAAUUUGUGAAUGUGUUUUAACUGUUAUUCAUUGGUAUCCUAAAAUGUCAUUUUCCCAUCAAAUACCAGCUCUUUAACACCCAUUUUCCCAUAAAUAAAUUUAUUUAUCGGAUAAAAUAAAAAUAAAUAGCUAUUUCCAAUAAAUAGCUGGUGUUUUAUUGGAAAACCUGUUUUCCAAUAAAUAGCUAUUUCCAAUAAAUGGUUGGUGUUUUAUUGGAAAACGGAUUUAUUUUUAUUUUAUCCGAUAAAUAAAUUUGUUUAUAGAAAAAUAUGUCCUCUGUUAUAAUGGGAAACAAAGUACCUAUUUUAAACAUUUCCCAUUGAAUUUGUUUUGGAUAUUUAUUUAAAAAUUUGAUCAAAUUAAUAUUAUUUUAAAACUUUAUUACAAAAACUAUCAAAUCAAAGGAAGCAAGCGUACAGUAAAAUUGUUAGAAACCUCAUAGAGGUUCCUGAAAUUAUCCCUAACUUUUUUUUUGUACUAUAAAAGCUCCAAAAAAGUGGCAGCUCAAACGGGACCAACAAUCUACUAUGUUCGCCUGUUCUCCCGCCGGACCCACCAGCCGCCGGCGGCCAUGGGUCAUCUAUAAAAGCAUAGAUCAAGACUACACUAAUCCCUCAUCAGUCCAGUCCAUCCAUAAUUCUCCUAUCUUCACAAGUCCUCCCGAUGACCCACCAGCCGGCGGCGGCCCUGGGUUAUCUAUAAAAGCAUAGACCAAGACUACAGAAAUCGCUCAGUCCAGUCCAUCCAUACUUCCUCUUCAGGCCUCAGCUACUAAACAAUCAACUCUGCUCCACUCAACUCUUUCCUCUGUGUCUUGUGCUCUUGUCCGAAAAUGGCGGCGUCAGAAGAAGUGAAAGUGCCAAGAAUCAAGCUGGGCUCGCAAGGUCUUGAAGUUUCAGCUCAAGGGCUGGGCUGCAUGGGCAUGUCAGAAGCCUACGGGCCGCCGAAGCCCGAGCCUGAUAUGAUCAAACUCAUCCACCAUGCUAUUUGCAGAGGUAUCACCCAUCUUGACACCGCCGAUAUGUAUGGACCUCACACCAACGAAAUACUCAUUGGCAAGGUACCGUAUUUACAAAUUUUCUGCUGUUGUGUGCUGUGCAUAAAAUCUUGUACUUUUAAUUUCUAAAAGAGCAUAUUUGUAAUAUUUUAUUUGGGUAUAUUAUACUUGACCCCCUGCACUUCAAAACUUGUCUCCCUUUGUGCCCCCUUAAUUUUGUUUGUGAGCACUUGAACUCCAUUUGUUUAAAUUGUAAGUAUUAUUAGUCAAAUAGGACAUUGUUCUUCUUUUCUUUUGCUUCAUUUUUUCAUGUUACUGCCUUUUCAGUUUGUCCUCCUUUAUAGACAUGGGAUGAAUUACUUUGAUUUUGAUUUUGGCGCAAUUUUGUAUAAAAUGAUUUUUGCUAUGAAGUUAUUGAUUUAUUAUGAGCUAUGCGUUGUAUAUUUACACAAAUUCUGCUAGCUAAACAUUUACUUGAGCAAGCCUUCCAUACAUGAGCAAUAUAAUACUCUAUGGGUGCAUUUCGUAAAAUUGAAGUUUGAAAAUUAAAAUCUAAUUUAAAGUCUAAAUUCAUAAAGUUAUUAAAUUGUUAAGUACUAAAUUUGAUAUGUUUGAGUGCAUGUCACAUCAAACGAUCAGUGAAUAAUUGAUCAUUUAUUUUUUAGAGCAAGUUUUGUUUAAGAAAUUCAAUGCUAUUUAAUUAAUUCAGAUAUUCAUUUUUUGGUUAUCAAACAUGUUUGAAUAUGAUAAGAUUUGAACCUAUUAAUUUUAAGUGUUGAAUUGGAUUAUCAAAUAGGACCUAUAAUUAUUAGGUAACCAAGCAGACAACAUGUUUAGUGUAUAAUAGUAAUUAACGUUCAAUUUGUCUCGUUAUUCUUUGGUAAAGAACUCUUUGAAUAUUAAUAAUAAUUUUCUCAUCCACGGGAAUCAAAAUAAUUGAAGUUUUAUCUCUACCAUUGAGAUAUGUUACCUUCUAAAAGAAAGGAAAGGGAAGGAAACAUGGGGGAAAAAUAGGGAAAGGGCAAAGUGAUGAUAAAUAAAAUUGGAAGUAGCAAAAUGAGACAAGUGAAUUAUUGCAAGGGGUUAAGUGUAAAUUAUGUUUAUUUUAUUAGACUAUUUAACCAGAAAGACUGGACUCUUUUAAGGCACCAAUCAAAGGUUCCAAUUGCUGGAAAUAACAUGAAAACCUAGACUUUGGUUUGGCGUUUUUGGAGGUGGUUCAUGAAAAUUUUAUUGUAGUUUUUUUUUUCUUCUUGAAAAAUAUAUUUGUAAGAGAAAAAAAGUGGUUGAAAAAAAAUUGAGAGUUUUUUUUAAUAAAUUGUUUUCUAAAUAGUUCAGUCACCCAAAAUUUUCAGUAUUCCGACAAUGGCAUCCAUGUGGUGUCAAUUGUCAAACGUGCAACAAAGUUGAGAAGAGAAGGUCGCAGGUCUAGCGCAUACUUUGAAUAGCUACCAUCUCUUUAUUUUCUUUUUUUUUUUCCGUCAAAAUUCUACAUCAUAAUGGAGUUGGUAAAAUAGUACUAUUUUCGUCUUUGAUGUUAAAAUUUUCAUCAUUUUAUGGAAAGUUUACUAUUUCUCUGAUAAGAGAUAGUAAAAUUUACUUUUUAUGAGCAGUAAAGUUUUAAAGAUUAUGAAAAGAGAAAUGUAUGAAGGAAUAGAAGGGAAAGAAAGGUAAGAAAAUGGAUGGAUUGUAUUUGGAUUGAUUUUGAGAGGGGAAAGGAGAGGAAACGGAAAGAAAAGGAAAUGGAUGUAUUGUGUUUUGCUCAGACUCAUUUCCAUACAAAAGUAGACGGAAACAGAGGGAAAGAAAAUCUUGUUGAUGAUUUUCUAGUAAAAUGCCUCAAGCACCCAAAUAAAUUGUGGGAUGCAACAGCAGGCUAGGAAUGUUUGACGAAGCAACUUAUGUAAAUAUUUUAUCGUUAAGUAAAGUUCCUCUUUUGCUGUUAAAAAAAAAAAAAAAAAAGAGGAAAACUAUUCCUUUCAUGUCUGUCAUUCUACCAAACAGUAUAUUUAGGUUUUCUUUCUUUUCCAACCAUAUCUGAUCCAAAUAAGACAAAUGAGAACUAUUUUCCUCUGCUCUCCUUUCCUUUCUUUUUCACUAGGAUGUUUUAUUUAUAUAUUUAUCCUUUCCUUUGAUCCAAAUGGUUCCUAAAAGGGCCCUAAAUAAUUAUUCUACAUUGAUCAGUUCCCUAUUUUUGUACUAAUUUGCAUGUGCACGAUUCUGUGUAUGUUCAUGUUGUGCAUCAAAUCUUGUGAAUGACAAAGCUAGAGUGUAAAUUUAAGCUGAAGAAAUAUAAACCAAAAAAAAAAGAAAAUGGAUUGGCUCCGUUAAAGAAAAUGGAUUACAUACUUUUCAUAUCCUUUGCCAUACAAAGAAGUGGCAUAGCCUUAACAAUGAAGUGUUGGUAAAACUCCAGAAGGACUGUGCCAUCCAUGAAAUCACAAAUCCACUUGUUAUACCAUGCAAUAAUGUGUAUGUCCUUGAUGAUUAAUAUAAUGAAACCAUGGUUCUAGGCCUUGAAGGAAGGAAUAAGAGCGAAAGUGGAGCUAGCAACCAAAUUUGCAAUCAGUUUUCAGGAUGGGAAGUGAGGAGGUGAUUUUCGGUUGGUAACUAGACCGACCUGGAUCAGUCCUCUCUGAGAUGAAGUGAGGUGAACUCCUGUGUCCGAAGUGAACCUCGGUGUCCGAAGUGAGUGGCGGGGCUUCUCCCCUGGGAUCACUCCGACGAUCAAGUUAGUAUGAGAACGAGAAUAAUGAGAAUGAGUUAAUGAACAGUGUCCGCUUACUUGUUGGGAGUGUGUCUGGGGUAUUUAUAGAAGAGAGGUGGUCAAGACGGAAGGCUCAUGCUAGCGGGACCCACUCUCUGGCAUUACGGCUCUGUCUCCUGUCAGGAGGUCUGACUCUGACACUGUAGCCGCCUGGGAGUGAUGACGGAGGAUAUGGUGCAGGUGCCAUUAAGUGCCUCCAGUGCUUUUCAGAUAAAGUGCUGGUCCUGGAUGAUGUCAGGUGGGUUGACAUCAUCAGCGUGCAGCUGAGGCGGGGGUGCCGAGGUCGGCUACACAGUAUGCUAUGGAAACGGCCGAGCCCGAGCUCAGGGAUGAUGUCCGGGACACGGAUGAACUCCGAUGAGGGACGAGGUGAGUCCACCUCGGCCACUCGGGAUGGCCGAGGUGAGCAUCCUCAGGAAGUUUGAUGUACGUGGUGAUCCAGCCUAUGUGAGGGCUUGUUGUGAAGCAAGUUUGAAGCGGCUUGAUGUGGACUGCAUUGAUCUCUAUUAUCAACAUCGCAUCGAUACAAGUGUGCCCAUUGAAGUCACGGUUUGCUCCAUCUUGCCUUUCUUUUAUUUUAGCUCCACCUCAUUCUUGAUGAAACAAAAGUUUGAUCAACUCCAAAUUUAGAAUAAUUCAGUUUCAUGUCCGUUUCAAUUCUUCAAAAAUUGCACAGAAAAGUUAGUCAACCUUAUGGUCUCGGCUAAUCAGUAGUAUGGUAUAGCUGAUUUUGCACAAGGCAUCCUGAAAAGUGAAAACAAUGAAAAUGUCUUGUAUUAGCUUGACAGUCCUGCUGAGGGAUAUACAGAUGGAUAUCAUGCUAUACAUUGUACAGCUUUCCUUUAGAACCAAGAGACCUGAGCAUUCUCUUUCAUUUGAGAUAGGCUAUUUACUUACAUUGUCAUUCGUUUUCAGUCGGUGCCAAAAGCACUGCAGAUAGACAUUUAUUAUUGAUAUCUAAAAAACAUGGUACUCAUUUUGUUCAGAGCACAGCUUUUUGUCUAAUUGUGAAAGCCAGCUGCAACUGCCCCAUUGACCUCUCCAAGCAAUUCAAAGAUUUCAGCAGCUUGCUUACAUUAAGCUUUUAUGAAACGAUUUCUCUGUCUUCUUUUUCUCAUGUAAUCAGCAAAGAAUUGUCUUGUUUUCCCUGAGUAUUAGGUAGAAACUUUCUUGCAGUUUAAUCACUCAAAAUACAGGCAAGUAUAACGGAAAUCAAGCAAAAUUGGCAACUGAUAAUUGAUAUGUACAGCCAUCAUUAUAUAUAGAAGUCAACAAUGCCAUGUAAUCAUAUUGGAGGAGCAUUAUGUUGGCAUGGUCCAGUAGAACUAAGUCCUCCGGUUGGCUGUACAUAGAGAACUAUCACUGGAUGCUUAUUGCCAUUUUCAUCAAUUAGUGAUUUCAGUUUGAUGUAUACUUUGUCCACAACUUCGUUGAACUAGUGCAACUUUUACUUUUUGCACGUAAUAUUUCGAUUAUCUGCCUAAGUGUUGAAUGUAAUAAAUCAGCUUAGCAUCUUCUUGUCCAUUGAAAUUCUCUAGAUAGGAGAGCUCAAGAAACUGGUUGAAGAGGGUAAAAUAAAGUAUAUAGGUCUGUCUGAGGCCUCAGCUUCAACAAUUCGAAGAGCACAUGCUGUUCACCCAAUAACAGCUGUACAGUUGGAGUGGUCAUUGUGGACCAGAGAUGUCGAGGAAGAGAUUAUUCCCACUUGCAGGUAGUGCAUAUAUUCUGCUGAAUUUUCUAAAUGGUCUAGAAGAAAUAUGAAGUUCUCAAUUCAGUUUUUGGUAUAAUCUUUCAGAGAGCUUGGCAUAGGGAUUGUUGCAUACAGUCCACUUGGACGAGGUUUCUUCUCAUCAGGUCCAAAGCUGAUGGAGAAUUUGGCUGAAGGUGACUUUCGAAAGGUUUGUACAUAUGUUUUUGAGUAUAGAUUGUUUAUAGUUCGAAUAAGUUUCUCACUCAUCUACUUUUACCAGAUUCAGUGGCAAUCUUGCUUGAUAUCCCUAUUGUUGUCUAUCUGUUAUAUGUUGCUGCACUUUUUGAUAUCCAAUAAUUUGAUUAAGGCUUGUAAUAUGAUCACAUUUAAUAAAAUUUCUAUUAAACAUAGCAAUUCAACAGGAUUUUUUUUCCCUCUCGAACAAGUCUUGGAGUCUUUAGUUGAUUCAAUGAAUGCAUAUUUUGGUGUCCUCUGUAUUUAGUUCAAAUUAAGAGAUAUAGCACAAGCUUUGUCAAAUUUAAGAUCUUAUAUUAAUUGAAGGUUGUUAUUGCUUGCUGGAAAUUUAUAUAGUGGACAACAAUCACAAGCAAUGGGUAGUAUCAAAUUUUAAAGUGCAAAGAUGUCAAAACAUGAAAAAACUACGUCAUUUUUUAAGUGAACGUCUCUUUACAGUUUUGAGGGGAAAUGGACCUUAGACUUCAGUUUCAUCAUUUAGUCUCAGGCACAGAACUUAUGUUGUCCUGUGAAACUAUCAUUUUUCCUUUACCAUCAGUCCUAGAACUGAGUUUCAUUGGUCAGAAAUAUACUUCAUAGUAGUACCUCCUCCAUCGUUCUACAAACAAACAAAAAUUAGUUGAUUUGUAUUUAAGUUUCCUCUUUGAUGGGAAAUGUGUCUCAGAACUUAACUCCAACAGUUGAUGUUUCCUACUUGGAGUGUUCAGUCCACCUUGAUGCAUUGUUCUUUCCCCUGAACUUGUGCCCUUCAAACAGUAUUUCUGAUCAUCUUGAAGUAAUUAGUACCGUCUGUUCAUUGCUCCCUCCCGAUAUCUUGCAUUAUAGUUUCCUCCUCUUUAAUGGGAAAUGUAUCUCCGGAUCUACCUUCUACAAUUGAUGUUUCUUAGAGUACUCAGUCCACCUUACUUGAUUGUUCCUUCCCCUGAACUUUGUACACCUCAGACAAUACUAUCGAUCAUCUUGAAGUUAUUCAUAUUGUCUUCAUUUGUAGACGACACAUGCUUCACUCCCUUUUGCAUUUCUGGCGUUACAGUUGCUUGAAAUUUUGAAAUUCAUACAAUGCAGGGUUUGCCAAGGUUCAAGCAGAGAAUUUGGAGCACAACAAGAAGUUGUAUGAGCGGGCCACUGCCAUUGCUUCAAGGAAGGGUUGUACUCCAUCACAGCUAGCAUUGGCCUGGGUCCAUCACCAAGGCAAUGAUGUUUGUCCCAUACCUGGCACUACCAAGAUUGAGAACCUCAAUCAGAAUAUAGGAGCUUUGUCUGUAAAACUGUCGGCAGAAGAUAUGGCGGAACUUGAAUCUAUUGCUUCUGCAGGAGUCAAGGGUGAGAGAUACGGACCUGAAAUCAGCACAUGGCAAAAUUCUGAAACUCCACCAUUGUCAACCUGGAAGAGGACAUGAAGACAUAGCUUUGUUGUGGCAAUAAUUCCUUCUAGCUAUUUGCCUGAUGGUGGAUUUCACUAUAUUAAGAGUUGAGUGAUAUGUAUUUGUCCCUAUAAAUUUCGUCAUACUAUUGUCUCCAGGGUUAAGGCAAGUAAAGUUAUAAGAAGAAUGGAGUUUCUUCAGAAAGGUUGUAAUGAAUAAAGAUCUGGUCAUGUAAAAGCAGAACAUAAUUUUCCUUGCAGUUGAAUGCAUUAAAGGUUAUGUAUUGUACUUUUGAAUGCUAAAGUGGUCCAUUUUUUAUGUGUUACUGCUACGAGAGUUAUAGAUUGUUGGACAUCAUUUUUUGGUUGGAAUGUUUACAUCAAAGCGUCUCCAAGGACAUGUCAUUCUAAAGUUUAAACUACAUCAUACCAACAAAAUGCAGAAAAAGGUCUAAAGUAUGGGAUGUUUGUAAAUUUUCACGGGAGGCUUUGUUGGGUAAAUUGUAAAGGACUAGCAAAUAUUGUAACAAGAAUUGGCUUCAAAUCGUGAUAGAAAUCACUUUCCUUUAGGCUUUAUUUGUCCGGUAUAACGUGCAAUAACCUUAGACAAAUAUCCUUUAAGAUAAGAUGAAGUUUUGUUUGUCUUAAACUCUUGCACAAAGCAAGACAAACCCUUUGUGAACUAAGGAGUGCUUUUGAGAGAGUAAGGAUAGUAGGAAAGUGAUUUUCUGCAGCAAACUACUCUCUACUUGACCUCUUUAUAUAGGAAGAUUGUUUGGGAAACAAAAGAUCUCAUUAAACACUUGUAUGAAUAGAUUCAAAGUAUUGUGUACACAUUCAUGCACUUUAAUUCAUGCAUCUCAUGAUCAUUUAGAUCAAAACAUGAAUCUAUCCUUUCAUUCAAUAAUUCUCAUAUACAUGAAUACAUUCAUAAAUGAAUGUACUUUUAGGAACAUUCACAAUACUAUACAUGUACCAAAAAUUAAUGAAUACAUUAAUUACAUGUAUGUACAUCAUACAAAUUUUGAAAAGUUUCCAACAAUCCUCCGCCAUUUUCAAAAUUUAGAAAAUGGAUUUCUAAAAGGUCACCAAGUAAUCUGACACUCAUAUGCAUAAAUAAUGGUGUCUUUCGAUUGAACCACUAUCUUAGUGAAGGUUCUUUGAAAUCAAUCCUUCAAGAUGGUAGACAAGCUUUGAACCACUUGGACAUUGGACCAACCUCAUAAACACAUCACACACUGAGCAAUGCACAACCAUAAGUUCUUCAACGAUACAUUUUACGGCCUUGUAUCACUAUCCUUUCUUGAAUGUUUACAAAGUAAAGUCCUUAAUUUUGUGGUUUGCCAAAAAUUAACAUUCAUAUAGGCGACAUCUUAGUGCCCCCGCCAUAGAUAGCACUUUUAAGAUUCGUUAAGAGUCCAAUGACUCAUCCUUACAUUUGCACUGGCGAGAAUAACAUGCACUAUUCAACAUUGGGAUGUCUAAACUUCACAUAGUGCACCAACCACUAGAAUGGUGUACUUUCACUCAUUGAAUUCAAGACUAGACGUUGUAUUUAGCGUUGAAUUGAGGUUCCACCAUUAGCGAUAAAAAAUUUUGGACUUUAAACCAAUUCCCCUUGAUGUCUUUGACACCAAAUUUCUUGAUAAUCCUUUUAUCAAAGGAUCACUUAAAUUUUCAUUUGAUCUCACAAAGUCAAUUGAUAUGACUCCAUUUGUAAUCAAAUCUUUGACAUAACUAUGUCUCAAACCGAUAUGUCUUGAUUUACCAUUAUACACUUGACUAUAUGCUUUAGCAAGUGUAGCUGCACUAUCACAAUGGAUUGAGAUAGGCGAUAAAGGUGUUGGCCACAAUGGUAUAUCAUAAAGUAAAUUACGUAGCCAUUUAGCUUCUUUACAGGCCGAAACAAGUGCUACAAACUCUGCUGCCAUUGUUGAAUCGGUGAUACAAGUCUGUUUCUUAGAACCCCAAGAAAUUGCACCUCCACUAAGCAUAAAGAUUCAACCACUUGUCGACGAGUGAUCAUCUUUAUUGGUGAUCCAACAAGCAUCUGAAAAUCCUUUUAAAACUGAAGGAUAACCGGUAUAACAUAUACCAUAGUUCUUAGUGGCCUUUAAAUACUUUAAAAUUUUGGUUACACCUUGCCAAUGUAACCUACUAGGGUUGCUUGUAUAUCUGUUCAAUAUACCAACUGCAUAUGCAAUAUCAGGUUUAGUACAAGUCAUUGCAUACAUUAAAUACCCUAUAACCUUGGCAUAUUCCAUUUGAGAUUUUAGAUCCCCCUCAUUUUUCACAAAAUUUAUUUUAGAAUCCAAUGGUGUUGAGGCUGGAAUACAAUCACUUUGAUUGAAUUUGUUAAGAAUCUUUUCAAUAUAAUGUGUUUGAGACAACAUUAUAUUGUUAUCAUAUUUGAAGAUUCUCAUACCAAGAAUGACAUCUGCCUCACCCAUGUUUUUCAUGUCAAAUUUGAUUGAAAGCAAAGUUUUUGUGACUUCAACUUGUUCCAAGUCAGUCCCAAAAAUCAACAUGUCAUCAACAUAUAAACAAAUUAUGACACCUUUGCCAUAAUCAAACUUGCUAUAAAUACAUUUAUCAGAUUCAUUUAUUUUGAAUCCACUAGCAAGAAUAAUUUGGUCAAAUUUCCGAUGCCAUUGCUUCGGUACUUGUUUUAGUCCAUAUAAAAACUUUACAAGUUUACACACCUUAUGCUCUUGACCAAGUAUCACAAACCCUUCGGGUUGCUCCAUAUAUAUUUCUUCAUCCAAAUCACCAUUCAAGAAUGCUGUUUUAACAUCCAUUUGGUGAAUGACUAGAUUUUGGAUAGAAACUAUAGCAAGUAGCACUCUAAUUGUAGCAAUUCUAGCUACUGGUGAAUAUGUGUCAAAAUAGUCCACACCAUACUUUUGUGUAAACCUUUUGGCAACCAACAUGGCCUUGAACUUAUCAAUAGUUCCGUCGAUCUUCAUUUUCUUCUUAAAGAUCCACUUACAACCAAUUGGUUUUGAACCAGGUGGUAAAUCUACUAAUUUUCAGGUUUUAUUAUCCAUGAUUGAGUCCAUCUCAUCAUUAAUAGCUUCCUUCCAAAAGGGAGCAUCUUGUUAGUUCAUUGCUUCUUCAUAGGUCUUGGGAUCAGUCUCAAUAUUGAAGCAAUAUGAGAUUUGGUUGCUCACUGUAUCUCUAGUUCUUUCAACUAGAUACAUAUAAAAGUCCGAACCGAAGUCUUUUGAUUUUCUAGCUCUUUUGCUCCUUCUCAAUUCAAUGGUUUCAUUUUCACCAUCUUUUGUCAAUUCACUUGAUUUUGGAAUAACAUCUUUUAUAGAGGUGAACCUAUUCUCUUCAAAAAUAGCAUCUCUAGACUCAAUUAUGGUAUUAACCGAAAUUGAAUCAUUAGGUUCAAUUACCAUGAACCUAUAUGCUUUGCUAUUUUGUGCAUAUCUUAAAAAUAUACACUCCACACCUCUUUCUCCCAAUUUCCUUUUUUGAGGUUCUGGGAGUUUUACAAUAGCUCUACAACCCCAAACUUUCAAAUAGUUUAGGUUGGACUUCCUUUUAUUCCAAAAUUUAUAAGGGGUUAUAGAACUUCUUUUAUUAGAAACUCUAUUUAGGAUAUGACAAGCCGUUAACAAGGCUUCACUCCAAAAUCCUUGACUUAAACCAGAUUUUGACAAAAGUGCAUUAACCAUUUCUGUCAAUACACGAUUUUUCCUUUCGGCUACACCAUUUUAUUGUGGUGUGUAAGGAGCAGUCACCUCAUGUUUUAUCCCAACAGACUCAAAAUAGGUAAUAUCAUAAUAUUCCCCACCUCUAUCUGUUCUUAGACAUUUGAUAAAGGAUUCACAAUGAAGUUCAACUUCUGAUUUGUAUGCCUUAAAUUUUUGCAAAGUUUCACUUUUUGAGUGUAACAAGAAAACAUGACAGUAUCUACUAUAAUCAUCAAUAAAAGUCACAAAGUACUUUUUACCACCCAAAAUAGGAGUACCAUGCAAAUCACGUACAUCACUAUGAAUCAAAUUCAAGAUUUUAGAUGAUCUUUCAACUUUAGAAAACGAAUUUCUUGUGAUUUUCGUUAGCAUGCAUGUUUUGUAUUUUCCUUCAAUUUUAUCACAAUAUGGCAGCAAAUCAAGUCUCAUCAUUUCAUGCAUUCUUUUGUAAUUAACAUGACCAAUCCUAUUAUGCCACAAUUUAAAAGAAGACUCAACCAAAGACGCAGAAAUAAUAUCACUCUUAUUAUUUCUAAUAGCGAGUACAUUCAACUUAAACAUCCCACUGCAAAGAUAACCCUUGCCUACAAACAUACCACCUUUAGACAAAAUAAAUUUGUCAGACUCAAAUAUAAGUCUAAAGCCAAAUUUAUUUAACAGCUCAGCCGACACCAAGUUCUUCCUAACUUCCGGUACAUAAAACACAUUUGUCAAGGUUACAACAUUUUCGAAAGUAAAUUUUAAUUCUAUUUCUCCAAUGUCUUGAACCGGAAUUGUAGCAGAAUUUUUCAUGUAAACAACGGUGCUUUCAUCCACCGGUUUCAUGGACUUGAAGAACGUUCUAUUGUUGCACACGUGUCGCGUAGCUCCAGAAUCAACCCACCAAGCAAAAUUAUCUUCAAUCAUAUUGAUUUCAGAUAUCAUUGCUACAAGAAUUUUGCUUGUGGUUUGGGAAGACUCUUGCUUCUUCUUCUUGUUUUGAAGAAUCUUGCAAUCGGACUUGUAGUGUCCCUCUUUCUUGCAAUAGAAGUAUUGUCCCUUCUUUCUUUUCUUGGAUUGAUUCUUGGGUUGUUGGCCCUUCUUACUUCCUUGAGACUUUUCAGUUUGCCUCUCUUCAAUCACAUGCACUUUUGAAGUAGAAUCUUUGUUCUCUUCAAGGAUUUGACUAUCCUUCUUUUCUUGCAUGCGAAUUUCCUCUUCUACUCGAAGAGAUUUAGCAAAAAUCUCAAGAGAGAUAUCAUCUUUUUUAUGUUUGAGGUCUCUUUUGAAAUCUUUCCAAGAAAGUGGUAACUUAUCUAUUAUAGAGCAAACAAUAAUGGCUUCAUUCAUGUGUAGAUUGUGUUGUGUGUAGUGAUUAAGAAGCCUUUCAAUCUCACUAAAUUGCUCCAAAACAGACUUAUUAUCUACCAUUUUAUAAUUAUUAAAAGACGAGACAAGAAACUUCUUACUUGUAGCAUCUUCUUGCAUGUACUUGGACUCCAAUCGAUCCCAAAGUUCCUUGGCAGUAGUAAUUGAAUGGUAGACAUCGAACAGGUUGUCACUCAUGGUAUUGAGGAUGUGACCACGGCAUAUUUCAUCGUCGUUCUCCCAUUUCUGACGGUUUCAGAUGUGUUCAAGAGUUUCUUCAUCGGGAUUGAUCAAUGAUUUUGGUGUGAUCAAAACAUAGACCACUUUGAGUGCAGUGAGAAGGAAAUGAACACGUUUUUGCCAACGAACGAAAUUUCCUCCAUCAAACCGCGUGAGCUUGACAAUAUUGGAUGCCAAAUCUUUCAAGGUACCAUCCAUUGUAGAGUAUAAAUAAAGCCUAAAAAUUGUUGGGUAAAUUGUAAAGGACUAGCAAAUAUUGUAACAAGAAUUGGCUUCAAAUCGUGAUAGAAAUCACUUUCCUUUAGGCUUUAUUUGUCCGGUAUAACGUGCAAUUACCUUAGACAAAUAUCCUUUAGGAUAAGAUGAAGUUUUGUUUGUUUUAAACUCUUGCACAAAGCAAGACAAACCCUUUGUGAACUAAAGAGUGCUUUUGAGAGAGUAAGGAUAGUAGGAAAGUGAUUUUCUACAGCAAACCACUCUCUACUUGACCUCUUUAUAUAGGAAGAUUGUUUGGGAAACAAAAGAUCUCAUUAAACACUUGUAUGAAUAGAUUCAACGUAUUGUGUACACAUUCAUGCACUUUAAUUCAUGCAUCUCAUGAUCAUUUAGAUCAAAACAUGAAUCUAUCCUUUCAUUCAAUAAUUCCCAUAUACAUGAAUACAUUCAUAAAUGAAUGUACUUUUAGGAACAUUCACAAUACUAUACAUGUACCAAAAAUUAAUGAAUAUACAUUAAUUACAUGUAUGUACAUCAUACAAAUUUUGAAAAGUUUCCAACAGGCUUGUGAUAGCAAAAACUUCAGGAGGCUUCUGAAAUUAUCCCUUAAACUAAACUAAAGGAGGUAAGAUUUUAAGCAGAUCUCGGUAAGUUAAAAGGUUAAAACUUUACAUACAAAUAAAUGGUCAAAUUCACUUUAAAUUUGUGGUGUCAUCUUCCACCUUAAACUUUUGUACUAUCCAAGUUCGUUUUAAUUCCUUUGGGAAAAUCAAACAUCAAAUGCUUACCAUUUAUUGAAACAUUACAUCAUCCAUCCAAUUGAAACAAACUCCUACGGAGUUUUUUUUUUUUUUUUUUGCUUUAUUUUGUUGUUAGAUAUGAAUUUAUUUCACAUUUGGUUGUCAGAUCUAAAUUUUUUUUUCAAAUUUUAAAUCUAUUUCAACAUAUCUCAUUAUCAUUAUUGAAACUUAAAACCGUUUAUUGGCAAAUCUGGUGAUUGCCAUAUGCACGGAAGGGAUGCACUUUUAAAAUUCUUUAUAUAUAUUUUUUUAGAUUUGUUUGUAAUUUUCAAAUCUAUUGUAUCUGUUAAAUUAUGAUCUGUAAUUUUUAAUGGAUGUUUGGCCUGCCAUUAGGGGAGUUAUGCAAAUCAAAUCAUGUUAGAUGAUUUCCAAAAAAAACUUAAUCGUCAAUUACUCUUUCCCAUUUUAUUUGUCCACUUUUCAAUUGUCAAUAACUCUUUUAAGAAACUUUGUAAUACAAAAAUCAACUGAAACCAGUAGAAUAUUACUUUGUAAUAUUUUUUUUGACAAAAAAAAGUAGAAUAUACAAUUAAUAGCAGUAUUCAUAUUAUGUUUUUGUAUAUUACUUGUACAUCUAAUUAGUCCCAUUUGGAGAAAAAAAAAGGAUGAAGACAAAGACAAAAACACAUAAUAGUCACAAAAAACACAGAUCUAGCUCAAAAUAUGGCAGUGACCAAUUGUUCUGCAAAAUUAUUAGGAUAAGCAGUUGACAGAUUCUAUAAUCGCUUUUGGUCAAAUAUUAUUUAAAUUAGCUGGAUGGUCAAAUAUUACUUUUAAUUUUAAUCAUUUAAAUUACCAGUUACUAUCAUCAUUGGAAGAAGCACAUUGAGGGUCUGUUUGGAUUGUGAAUUAUUAGAGAUAUUUUUACUGUAGCACUUUUUAUGAUGUGAUGUAUGUGAGAUAAAAAGGUAAUUGGAAAGGUAAAAAGGUGUAUUGGAAAUUGUAAUAAUGAUGUAAGCAAAUAAAUUUUGAGAAAUAAAGCCCAAUCCAAACAAAGCCUGAAGGAAUGAUACUCUAAGAUGACUACAGAAAUUUUCUAGCUGGUUAUACAACAUAUUAAUAGUUGAAUGUUGACCUCACCAGCCAUCCCUCAUUCCUUGUCGCAUCCUUUUUAUGAAUUGGAUUCAUCUAUUUGGUGUUCUAAAAUCACAUUUAAAAGUUUUUUUUUUUUUGCGAAAGUGUUAUUAUUCAGGAUGUGUAUGAUAAUUUAAAAUUUUAAUAGUGGACCUAAAAAUAAAACUUGUAAAUUUUACAUAUGAGCCUACCUACUUUUAAAAUAGAGGGAAAAAAACAUCACAUAACUUCAAGUCCAAGAUUGUAUGCAGUUUGUCCAAUAAAUAGAUAUUCAUAAUUCAUAAUUUCAUAUACACAUGUUAACUAGAGAUGUCAAUCACAACCCAAUUAUAUUGAUCCGUUCAAAACCGUUCACUAAUAACCCAUCCAAAUUCACUCAUUAAAAUUUAAAUGGGUCUAAGUGAGUACCUAAUUAAAUCCAUUUAAUUGGUGGAUAGUUGAUUGAUUUGACUCACCCAUUUAUAACCAUUUAAAAAAAUAUAUUUUUAAACUCAAUUUUUACUAAGUGUUAAGAAGAUAAAUUUGAAUUUCCUACAAAUCUAAUAACAAUAAAAUAUCAUUUUUCUUGUUAAACGACAUGCAAAAAAUUUUAAAAAAAAUAGAAUUUCAAAUCAGUGUAAAUGGGUAAUUAAGUAUUUUCAUAUCCAUUUAUUAAAUAGAUAUAAAUGGAUUGAUUCAAUUAUAUCUAUUAUCCAAUUAAAAUUUGCUCAAACCUGUACAAGUCACUCAUUUUUAUGCUUCUAAUGUUAAUAUAUAUUCACAAGUGAAGAGUGCAGCAUUGACAAGGAAGAUAUACUUAUUUAUCCCAAUAUUAUAGUCAUUUUUUUCAUUACAAAAGUAUUGAUAAUUUCAUAAUUUCAUCAUCAGUGACAUAACAUUACAUGAAUUUCAACGAAGUAUGUAAUCAGUGACAUGACAUAACAUGUCAUCAUUAGUCUUCAGCGGUGAAUCUUAUCACGAGGCUUCUUUUCGAAGCUUUGAUUAUGGCAUACACUUCUGACAAUAUGUCCCUUUUAGAAUAGGGAUAAGUUUCUGUGACCAGGCUUCUUUUCAAAGCUUUGAUUAUGGCAUACACUUCUGACAAUGCCCCUUUUAGAAUAGGGAUAAUUUCAGAAACCUCCCUAGGGUUUGUAACAAUUUCAUCGAACUUUCUUGAAAUUUUUAAUAUUACACUUAUCUCCCUUUAUGAUAGACAAUAAUUAUAAUAACCUUCAUAAUUUUUUCAAAGACAAGCUAUUGAUAAAAAAGAUAAAAAAAAAUGAAAACAAUUCUUCUUGGCUAAGCCUCAUAUUGUGACUAAAUUGUUUCACCCAUAACCACUAAAUUGUAAUUUCUAUUACUCAGAAAAGAAGCAUUUUGGUAAUUGAGGGGCUUGGUUGUUUGAGUGGGAAAAGGGUAAGAAUUGUGAAUUUUAUGAUUGACGGUUUGGUAGACAACAUAUGGAAAAAACUUAUAGAGAGGUAAAAAUUAUAAAGAUAAGAAUUAUGAUGAUGGAUUUUGACAUCUAAAAUAUCGAGCUUGUUCGAAAAAAGGAAGAAAUGAUAAGAUCGAGUUUGAAAACUUGGGUAGAUGUAGAAAAUUAUGAGAUGAAAAAUAUUAGGACAUUGUCUAAGUAAUAAAACUCAUAGGUUUAUAGUAUACAAGUGUAUUCUUGAUUUUUGAAAAAUUUUAAUGACUAUUCAUAUUUUGAAAAUUAGAUAAGGGCAAUUUUGGACAUUCAUAUAUUUUUCUGGUCUUACAUCAUCAAGGUGAAACUCAAACCUAUGUUUUAGUAAAUGUAUGUGUAAUUUUCAAAAAGUGAGGAAAGCUGUCUGAAAUUAUCAGAAACCUCAGGGGUGAUUUAUGAAAUUAUCCCUAAUUUUUUUUUUGGUACAAAAAACUCCAAAAUAAUAUGUCCCACACUCUGUGCCACACUCUGUGCCACUUUUUAUUAUAUUGCUAUUUUUCCUACAUAAAUAACAUGUUUUAAUUCUUUUUUGCUUUCUUAAGAUCCAAUAACUAUUAAUUAAGUAAAAAAUAAAUACAACAACUUCAAAAAAGCAAUAUAUAAUAGAAAAUUAAAAAAUACAGCAGAAAAUUCAUAAAAAAUCUCAUUUUUUAUAUAUUUUGAUUUUUUGACUUUGUUAAAUUUUGUGUAUUACUCAAUUAAUAGUUAUUGGAUCUUAAGGAAGCAAAAAAGAAUUAAAAUAUGAUGUUUAUGUAGGAGAAAUAGUAAUAUAAUAAAAAAUGGGACAGGCACAUGGUGUGGGACAAAAGGUCCGUUGCACCAAAAAAGUGGCAGUUCAAACUGGAACCAUCUCCUAUUUUCGCAAGUCCUCCCGCCGGCGGCCCUGGGUCAUCUAUAAAAGUAUAGACCAAGACAACACUAAUCCCUCAUCAGUCCACUCCAUACUUCUUCUUCAAGCCUCAGCAACGAAACAAUAAACUCUGCUCCACUCAACUCUUUCCUCUGUGUCUUGUGCUCUUGUCUGAAAAUGGCGGCGUCAGAAGAAGUGAAAGUGCCAAGAAUCAAGCUGGGGUCGCAAGGUUUUGAAGUUUCAGCUCAAGGGCUGGGCUGCAUGGGCAUGUCAGCCUUCUACGGGCCGCCAAAGCCCGAGCCUGAUAUGAUCAAACUCAUCCACCAUGCUAUUUGCAGAGGAAUCACCCAUCUUGACACCUCCGAUAUCUAUGGACCUCACACCAACGAAAUACUCAUUGGCAAGGUACCAUAUUUGCAAAUUUUCUGCUGUUGUCUGCUAUGCGUAAACUCUUGUAAUUUUAAUUUCUAAAAGAGCAUAUUUUUAAAUAUUUUAUUUAGGUAAAUUAUACUUAAUCCCUUGCACUUCAAAAUUUGUCUCCCUUUGUGCCCCCUUAAUUUUGUUUGUCAGCACUUAAACUCCACUUGUUUAAAUUGUAAGUAUUAUUAGUCAAAUAUGACAUUGUUCUUCUUCAUUUUUUCAUGUUACUGCCUUUUCAGUUUGUCCUCCUUUAUAAAUAUGGGAUGAAUUACUUUGAUUUUGAUUUUGGUGCAAUUUUGUAUAAAAUGAUUUUUGCUAUGAAGUUAUUGAUUUAUUAUGAGCUAUGCGUUGUAUAUUUACACAAAUUCUGCUAGUUAAACAUUCACUUGAGCAGGCCUUCCAAACAUGAGCAAUAUAAUUCUCUAUGGGUGCAUUUGGUAAAAUUGACGAUUGAAAAUUGAAAUCUAAUUUAAAGUCUGAAUCCAUAAAAUUAUUAAUUUGUUAAGUACUAAAUUUGAUACGUUUGAGUGCAUGUCAUGUCAAGUGAUCACAGAAUAACUCAUCACUUAUUUUUUAAAGCAAGUUUUGCUUAAGAAAUUCAGUGCCAUUUAAUUAAUUUAGAUAUUCAAUGUUUAAUUAUCAAACAUAUAUGAAUAUAUUAACAUCUGAAUCUAUUAAUUUUAAGUGCUGAAUUGGGUUAUCAAACAUGACCUAUAAUUAUUAGGUAACCAAGCAGACAACAUGUUUAGUGUAUAAUAGUAAUUAACUUUCAAUUUGUGUCGUUAUUCUUUGGUAAAGAACUCUUAGAAUUAUUAAUAAUAAAUUUCUCAUACACGGGAAUCAAAAUAAUUGAAGUUUUAUCUCUACCAUUGAGAUAUGUUGCCAUCUAAAAGAAAGGAAAGGGAAGGAAACAUGGGGGAAAAUAGGGAAAGGGCAAAGUGAUGAUAAAUAAAAUUGGAAGUAGCAAAAUGAGACAAAUGAAUUAUUGCAAGGGGUUAAGUGUAAAUUAUGUUUAUUUUAUGAGACCAUUUAGGCAGAAAGACUGGACCCUUUUAACGCGCCAAUCAAAAGUUCCAAUUGCUGAAAAUAACAUAAAAACUUGACUUUGUUUGGUUUGGCGUUUUUGGAGGUGGUUCAUGAAAAUUUUAUUGUAGUUUUUUUUUUCAUCUUGAAAAAUAUACUUUUUUCAUCAAUUUAUGGAAAGUUUACAAUUUCUCUGAUAACAGAUGGUAAAAUUUACUUUUUACGAGCACUGAAGUUUUAAAGAUUAUGAAAAGAGAAUUGUAUGAAGGAAUAGAAGGGAAAAGAAGGGUAAGAAAAUGGAUGGAUUGUGUUUGGAUUGAUUUUGGGAGGGGCAAGGAGAGGAAACGGAGAGAAAAGGAAAUGGAUGGAUUGUGUUUUGCUCAGACAUCAUUUCCAUACAAAAGUAGAUAGAAACAGAGGGAAAGAAAAUCUUGUUGAUGAUUUUCUAGUAAAAUGCCUCGAGCACCCAAAUUUUACAUAAACUUGCCAUUUGUGAAACCUGCUUUAGAUAUGAAUUGUGGGAUGCAACAGCAGGCUAGGAAUGUUUGACGAAGCAACUUGUGUAGAUAUUUUAUCGUUAAGUAAAGAGAAAAACUAUUCCUUUCAUGUCUGUCGUUCUACCAAACAGCAUAUUUAGGUUUUCUUUCUUUCCCAUUCAUAUCUAAUCCAAAUAAGACAAAUGAGAACUAUUUUCUCUACUCUCCUUUCCUUUCUUUUUCACUAGCAUGUUUUAUUUAUUUAUUUAUCCUUUCCUUUGAUCCAAAUGGUUCCUAAAAGGCCACUAAUUAUUCUACAUUGACCAGUUCCCUAUUUUUGUAUUAAUUUGCAUGUGCACGAUUCUGUGUAUGUUCAUGUUGUGCAUCAAAUCUUGUGAAUGACAAAGCUAGAGUGUAAAUUUAAGUUGAAGAAAUAUAAAACAAAAAAGAAAAUGGAUUGGCUCCUUUAAGAGUAUCAGACUUCUAAACCCCAAGGAUUACAUAAUUUUCAUAUCCUUUGCGAUACAAAGAAGUGGCAUAGCCUUAACAAUGAAGUGUUGGAAAAACUCCAGAAGGAAUGUGCCAUCCAUGAAAUCCCAAAUCGGCUUGCUGUACCAUGCAGUAAUGUGUAUGUCCUUGAUGAUUAACAUAAUGAAAUCAUGGUUCUAGGCCUUGAAGGAAGGAAUAAGAGCGAAAGUGGAGCUAGCAACAAAAUUUGCAAUCAGUUAUCAGGAUGAGAAGUUUGAUGUACGUGGUGAUCCAGCCUAUGUGAGGGCUUGUUGUGAAGCGAGUUUGAAGCGGCUUGAUGUGGACUGCAUUGAUCUCUAUUAUCAACAUCGCAUUGAUACACGUGUGCCCAUUGAAGUCACGGUUUGCUCGUCUUGCCUUUCUUGUUUUUUAGCUCCACCUCAUUCUUGAUGAAACAAAAGUUUGAUCAACUCCAAAUUUUGAAUAAUUCAGUUUCAUGUCCGUUUCAAUUCUUCAAAAGUUGCACAGAAAAGUUAGUCAACCUUAUGGUCUCGGCUAAUCUGCAGUAUGGUAUAGCUGAUUUUGCACAAGGCAUCCUGAAAAGUGAAAACAAUGAAUAUGUCUUAUAUUAGCUUUGGCUGUCCUGCUGAGGGAUAUACAGGUGGAAAUCAUGCUAUACAUUGUACAGCUUUCCUUUAGAACCAAGAAACCCGAGCAUUCUCUUUCAAUUGAGAUAGGCUAUCUGGUUGAGUAAUGAUCUGCUAUUUACUUACCUUGUCAACCAUUUUCAGUUGGUGCCUAAAGCACUGCAGAUAGACAUUUAUUAUUGAUAUCUAAAAAACAUGGUACUCAUUUUGUCCAGAGCACAGCUUUUUGUCUAAUUGUCAAAGCCAGCUGCAACUGCCCCAUUGACCUCUCCAGACAAUUCAAAGAUUUCAGCAGCUUGCUUACAUUCAGCUUUUAUGAAACAAUUUCUGUCUUCUUUUUCUCAUGUAAUCAGCAAAGAAUUGUCUUGGUUUCCCUGAGUAUUAGAUAGAAACUUUCUUGCAGUUUAAUCACUCAAAAUACAAGCAAGUAUAAAGGAAAUCAAGCAAAAUUGGCAACUGAUAAUUGGUAUGUACGGCCAUUAUUAUAUAUAGAAGUCAACAAUGCCAUGUAAUCAUAUUGGAGGAGCAUUAUGUUGGCAUGGUCCAGUAGAACUAAGUCCUCCGGUGGGCUGUACAUAGAGAACUAUCACUGGAUGCUGAUUGCCAUUUUCAUCAAUUAGUGAUUUCAGUUUGAUGUAUACUUUGUCCACGACAUCGUUGAACUAGUGCAACUUUUACUUUUUGCACGUAAUAUUUCGAUUAUCUGCCUAAGUGUUGAAUGUAAUAAAUCAGCUUAGCAUCUUCUUGUCCAUUGAAAUUCUCUAGAUAGGAGAGCUCAAGAAACUGGUUGAAGAGGGUAAAAUAAAGUAUAUAGGUCUGUCUGAGGCCUCAGCUUCAACAAUUCGAAGAGCACAUGCUGUUCAUCCAAUAACAGCUGUACAGUUGGAGUGGUCAUUGUGGACCAGAGAUGUCGAGGAAGAGAUUAUUCCCACUUGCAGGUAGUGCAUAUAUUCUGCUGCAUUUUCUACAUGGUCUAGAAGAAAUAUUAAGUUCUCAAUUCAGUUUUUGGUAUAAUCUUUCAGAGAGCUUGGCAUAGGGAUUGUUGCAUACAGUCCACUUGGACGAGGUUUCUUCUCAUCAGGUCCAAAGCUGAUUGAGAAUUUGGCUGAAGGUGACUACCGAAAGGUUUGUGCAUAUCGAAAAAGAUGGAGUUUUUGAGUAUACAUUGUUUAUAGUUCGAAUAAGUUUCUCACUCAUCUAUUUUUACCACAUUCAGUGGCAAUCAUGCUUGAUAUCAAAAGAGGAAGAAACUAUGUCACUUUUUAAGUAAAAGUCUCUUUACGGUUUUGAAGGGAAAAGGACCUUAGACUUCAAUUUCAUCAUUUAAUCUCAGGCACAGAACUUAUGCUGUCCUGUGAAACUAUCAUUUUUCCUUUACCAUUAAUCCUAAAACUGAGUUUCAUUGGUCAGAAAUAUACUUCAUAGUAGUACCUCCUCUAGCGUUCAUCGUAGUACCUCCAUCGUUCAAACAAACAAAAAUUAGUUGAUUUGUAUUUUAAGUUUCCUCUUUGAUGGGAAAUGUAUCUCAGAACUUAACUCCAACGGUUGAUGCUUCCUCCGUGGAGUAUUCAGUCGAACUUGAUGCAUUGUUCUUUCCCCUGAACUUGUGCCCUUCAAACAGUAUUUCUGAUCAUCUUGAAGUAAUUAGUACCGUCUGUUCAUUACUCCCUCCCGAUUUCUUGCAUUAUAGCUUCCUCUUUAAUGGGAAAUGUAUCUCAGGAUCUACAUUCUACAAUUGAGGUUUCUUAGAGUACUCAGUCCACCUUACUGGAUUGUUCCUUCCCCUGAACUUUGUACACCUUAAACAAUACUAUCGAUCAUUUUGAAGUUAUUCAUAUUGUCUUCAUUUGUAGAUGACACAUGCUUUGCUCCCUUUUGAAUUUCUGGCAUUACAGUUGCUUAAAUUUUGAAAUUCAUACAAUGUAGGAUAUGCCAAGGUUUCAAGCAGAGAAUUUGGAGCAGAACAAGAACUUGUAUGAGCGGGUCAAUGCCAUUGCUUCAAGGAAGGGUUGUACUCCAUCACAGCUAGCAUUGGCCUGGGUCCAUCACCAAGGCAAUGAUGUUUGCCCCAUACCUGGCACUACCAAGAUUGAGAACCUCAAUCAGAAUAUAGGAGCUUUGUCUGUAAAACUGUCAGCAGAGGAAAUGGCGGAACUUGAAUCUUUUGCUUCUGCGGGAGUCAAGGGUGAUAGGUAUGGGCCUGGCCUUGGUACUUGGCAAACUUCUGAAACUCCACCUUUGUCAACCUGGAAGAGAACAUGAAGACAUACUUUGUUAUUGCAAUAAUUCCUUCUAGCUAUGUGCCUGAUGGUGGAUUCCACUAUAUUAAGAGUUGAGUGAUAUGUAUUUGUUCCAAUAAAGUUUGACAUACUAUUGUCUCUAGGGUUAAGGCAAGUAAAGUUAUAAGAAGAAUGGAGUUUCUUCAGAGGUUGUAAUGAAUAAAUAUCUGGUCAUGUAAAAGCAGAAUAUAAUUUUCCUUGCAGUUGAAUGCAUUAAAGGUUAUAUAUUGUACUUUUGAAUGCUAUAGUGGUCCAUUUUUUAUGUGCUACUGCUACGAGAGUUAUAGAUUGUCGAACAGCAUUCAAUUCAGGACUUAUUAAACAUAAGCAUAUAAACAUUUUAUGCUCGGAAUAUUUACAUCAAAAGAAACUCCAAGGUCACAUCAUUGUAAAGUGUAAACUACAUCAUAUUAAUAAAAAGCAAAAAAAAAGGUCUAAAUGAGGAAAAAAAUGUACUAUAGAAGAAGUCAACAAUGUCAUGUAAUCAUUUUAUCCUAAAAUUGAGAUUCAAAUUUAGUUGAUUUGUAUUUUGAGUUUCCUCUUUGAUGGGAAAUGUAUCUCAGAACUUUAACUCCAACAGUUGAUGUUUCCUACUUGGAGUACUCAGUCCACCUUGAUGCAUUGAUCUUUCCCCUGAACUUGUGCCCGUCAAACAAUAUUUCUGAUCAUCUUGAAGUAAUUAGUACCAUCUGUUCAUUACUCCCUUUUGAUUUCUUGCAUUAUAGUUUCCUCUUUAAUGGGAAAUGUAUGUCAAGAUCUACCUUCUACAAUUGAGAUUUCUUAGAGUACUCAGUCCACCUUACUAGAUUGUUCUUUUCCGUGAACUUUGUUCACUUCAAACAUUACUAUGAUCAUCUUGAAGUUAUUCGUAUUGUUGUCUUUUGUAGACGACACAUGCUUUACUAAUUACUGCACUUUGAAUUUCUGCAUUGCAGUUGCUUAAAUUUUGAAAUUCAUACAAUUUAGAAUAUGCCAAGGUUUCAAGUAGAGAAUUUGGAGCACAACAAGAAGUUGUAUGAGCGGGGUCAAUGCCAUUGCUUCAAGGAAGAGUUGUACUCCAUCACAGCAAGCGUUGGCCUGGGUCCAUACCAAGGCAAUGAUGUUUGUCCCAUAACUAGCACUACCAAGAUUGGAAACCUCAAUCAGAAUAUAGGAGCUUUGUCUGUAAAACUGUCAGCAGAAGAUAUGGCUGAACUUGAAUCUAUUGCAUCAGCUAGAGUCAAGGGUGAUAGAUAUGAUCCUGGCCGUAUCAAGGGCAGAGGUUAUGGGAUCUGAUUAUGGGCAACUGAUUAUGGAAUCUAUUCUAUCAUAAUUGCAAAGAUUAUGACUGAAAUUAUGGGAUCUGCUCUAUCAUGUAUAUUAGCUGUAUAUUAGCAUAUGUGUCAUUAAUAUAUCAGAUAGGUAGAUAUAUUCUUACAUAGAAUAGAAUGUACAGAGUUUCUAUUUAAUGGAAAAGAUGCACAAAAGACAGCAUUCAGUCUUUGAUCUAGAAAAUUGUCAUGGUAUCAGAGCUGGUUAUUUGAAUUUCUGUGUCUUUCAAAAUUUGCUGAGUUGUUAUUCUUCUUGGGUUGAUUAUUUUGAUCAAUCAUUUGGUUUCAAGAUAUCAUUUUGGGUCAAUCAUAUUGUGGUUGGCAGCCUUUCUUGUAAUUCAGAUCUUUGUUUUUUUGAAAGUAUGUCUGUGGCAAACUCUUUGGGAAAAACACAUACGGAAUCUUUGUCUAUCAAGUUCAUUGGGAAAAAUUAUGCAGCAUGGGAUUUAGAAUGUUUCUAAAGGCAAAGAGCUUUGGAGUCAUAUUGAUGGGUCUUCUACAGAACCUAGAGAUGGAAAAGAAUUUAGUCAAUGGGAGGCAAAGGAUGCUAGAAUUAUUUCUUGGAUUCUAGCAUCUAUUGAAGCUCAUAUGGUGAAUAAUUUACACUCCUUUAAUACAGCAAAGGAGAUGUAGGAUCAUUUGAAGCGUGUAUAUCAUCAAGAUAAUACAGCAAGAAGAUUUCAACUUGAAUUGGAAAUUAGUAACUACGGCCAAGAUAACCUCUCUAUUAAGCAGUAUUAUUCUGGAUUUUUUAAUUUAUGGAGCGAAUACUCUGGUAUAAUCUAUUCUAAGGUACCAAGCGAAGCCUUAGCUGGUAUUCAAGCAGUUCAUGAAGUUAGUAAGCGUGACCAGUUUCUAAUGAAACUAAAGCUUGAAUUUGAAGCGGUCAGAGCUGGAUUGUUAAAUAGAAAUCCAAUUCCUUCUUUAGAUGUAUGUCUUGGUGACUUGUUGCAAGAAGAACUGAGAAUGGCUACACAAACUAUCAUAGGUGCAUCGAAGGAGAUAUCCGAAGUUGUCAAUAUUGCCUAUGCUGCUCAAGGGAGGAAUCGCGAAAAGGGACAAGUACAGUGCUUAAAAGCAGUCUGUUUGCCAGACACAUGGUGAGCCACAUUUAAAAAUUGGUUUCUAUCAUAAAGCCUAUCAUGUCCGGACAGAAGAUGGACUGUUUUUUAAAUUUUUUAUGAAAGCAAGUGAAAAGUGUUGCAACUCAGGACUUGGAUGGUAAUUCUAAAAUUUAUUAGUGCACCUACCUUUUAACUUUUGGUGUGCUUUUAAGGUAUCAAAUGGGGGAAAAAAAACCAACACCAUAUAACUUCAAAUGCAAGAUGGUACGAAAUUUGUAUCCAUUGACAUGUAAAAAGUGCACCGUUCAUCACAAAGAUAUUUAUCCUAAUAUUAGAUUCAUUUUUUCAAAAAUUCAACUUUGCAUGCAAACAUGUAAUCAAUAUGCAUAAAUAGAUAGCAUUAGAUGAAUUUAAACAAGUAGCCUUCAAAUUUAAAAAUAUUUGAUUUCAUAAAGGUGCAUUCGCAAUUUAGAAAAAGGACUUUUCAAAUGGCAAAUCUAGAGAGCAAUAAAUACUCCUACUUUAUUUUGAUUUCAAAUCUUAUUUUGACUUGUCAAAAAAGUGAAACACGAAACCAAUAAUGGGUCAGAUACAAGGCUAAUUACUCAGAAUAUCGAUGUAAAAAAUAUUGGACAUAUAUGAUUUUGACAAUGGGCAUGUAUAAAACUAUUGCUGUAAGGUUGUGUCAGCCCGGCAGCAAAAGAGGGUUUUUUUUUAAAGCCUGCCAUUGCCACCGAGCUGACACGGCUCGGCAGCAAUAGUUUAAUUUUUUUUAAACGCUGCCGGGCCUUGUCAGCCAGAUAGAACAAAAAAAAAAAAUUUUUUUUUAAACACAGCCCGGCAGCGGGCAACAUUUGCAAAAAACUUUAAAAAGCUGGCUGCCGGGCUACGACAGUUCAAAAGAUUUUGCUAUCCGCCUACAACACCAGGUGAUAAAGAUAAGGGCAAAGGCGUACCGGGCAUUGAUAUGAUCAUUUCCGGUGCAUGUUUUAAAAUUUCAAAUAUUUGAAUAUGGGGAUUUAGCGUUAUUUUAAUCUUUUAUUAUUAUAAUGCUUGUCGUUAUUUUUAAAUUUCACAAUUUCAGCAUGUCAUGUUGUGCAUUUUUCCUUCUUUUUUUUUUUGCCUAUUUUGUUUUUAUAUUGCACAAUAACUUUAUAUUUAUAAAAUUAUAUUGUACAUUAAAAAUUACAUAAUAAUUUUAACAAACAAUUUUCCGGUACAAUUUGAAAACUGCAUCUUAUUGUAAAAUGAAAGAGAUUUUUUGUUUAAAAAACCUUUUUUUAGUUUUUUUACCUAUCGGAGUAAUUAUUAAUUUUACAAAUCUGUUUUCAUCUUUUUCUUACGUUCCAACUUUGAAACGUAAUUUAAUUAACUUAAAAGACUGUCGGGUUUAGUAUGUCAGGUAUCACACUUGUUGUAAUUAAAAAAAAAUUUUCUUCUUAUUUUUCAUUUUUUGUUUUUAUAUUGCAAAAUAAAUUUAUACAUUUUUUCGAUUUUUCUAUACAAUUUAUAACAAAAAAAAUAAUAUCAAAUAUUAUACAUUGUAAUUUUAACAAUUAUUUUGCAACGGUUUAAAAAACCUUUUUUUAGUUUAACAUCCUAUAUAUUUUACGAAAAUGAUUUGAAUAUUUUUUAAUCAUUUAAAGAAAAGAUAGAUUUCUACAAUUACUAUUUUUUAAAUUUUAAUCCUUAAGAUAAAGAUUUUUGCGGGAAAGAUGAAGAUUUAAAGAAACAAUAAAGAGGCAAAGAAAAUAAAAGAGAAAAAUAGGAGAGGUAAUUUUGUCCAAUGGAGGAUAUAAUGAGACAGAAAAAUUCCGAUGAGGGAUAAAGUAAAAAAAGAGAUAUAUUUUAAGGACAUUAAUUGUGAUUAACCCUAUUUCUUAUGCUCAAUUUGUAACUGGUCCAAAGCAUCAAAAGUAGCGUCCGCCUCCCAGGUGAUGAAUUCAUGGUCUUGAAUGUCCAAUAACCUAAGAAGAGUAAAAAGAUCACUUUAAAGUUGCUCCACACCCUACAAAUGCUUCUGAUACUAACUUUCUCGUCAUAUUAACAAAUGCUCCGCACCUUAAUGCUUCAGCACCCGUAAAAAACGUGUUUUUGCAACUGGUCCAAGAGUUGAACCCUUCGCUCAGAGUUACUUCUGGAUGUUGAAAAAAACAUUUCGAUCACUUGAAUCUAACCUCCCGCGUCUAAUCAAGCCAGAAGGCCAGCUUUUUUUUCACUGACCCUUCAACGUGAACCUUCUGAGAACUUAUCUCAAGGGAAACUUUUAGUGGUUCAGUAGAAUUUUUUUUAAUCCUCUUACAUGUUUCAUUCGUAUCUCCUACUUCAUGUCCGUGCAUUGUUGAAUUCUGAAGUGCAGGUCUUCUUUCGCCCGUAUUGUUAACCUUCUUUUUCAUGUUCAUUGAAGCACAGCAUUCUUUUUUCAGGUUUGAAAUUUUUUUUUUAAAUUGGACUAGCUGCUGGACUGAGCUUUUUAAAGUUUUUUGCAGAUGUGCGUCAGCCCGGCAGCCAGCGAAUUAAGAAAAAAAAAAAUUUUUUUGAGGCCCGGCAGCGUUUAAAAAAAAAAAACUAUUGCUACCGGGCAAGCUUUAAAAAAAAAAAAAAAAAAACCCUAACAGCAAUAUUUUUAUACAUGCCCAUUGUCAGAACCAUAUAUGUCCAAUUUUUUUUUCAUCGAUAUUCUGAGUAAUUAGCUGAGAUAGAGAGGAGUAUUAGAAAUUUGUUUUCUAGAUUCUUUGGUCUCCCAAUUUUUUCAACGGGUCAACUCCGAUCAUUAUUAUCACAGUCAUGUGAUUGUAGGUCUACCACGCUUCAUAGUCCACAACGUGGAUUGGCACCACAAAGGAUGGUUUCAAAACACCAUUUUAGUCUAGUAAGGAUUGUGUAUAUAACACAAGUCUUUUUAGGUUUUCCCUCCCCUGUAAUCUAAAAUAAAAUAAAAUAGGUUAUACAAUUGUUAUAGUCUUCAGAAAAAAAGGAUAGGUCCCACCCUAUUAUUAUUAUUUUUCUUUUAUAAAUCAACAACGCCUAUUCUACACCUAUUUCAACUUCUAUUCUAGGGGAACGGGAGGUUCAACUGAAAAAUUAAUGGUGAUUGAACCACGAACGGACCAAAAACUUUCAAGAUAAAAUUUGAUCUAAAAAAUAAAUAAUAAUAUAUUAACUUAUUAUUUAAUGCGAUACAUAUUCAAAUAUAUUAAAUUUAAUAAUUUAAUAAAUUUUAAAUUUUACAUUUUAAAUUUUAAUUUUCAACCUUCAAUGUUGCCGUACUUACAACAACAACUUCUAGAUGGUCAACACUUAGAGUCGUAGCCCUUGCUUUUGGCAUACCCUAGUCCCUAUUUCUGUUGUUAUCAAUGAGGAAGCAAAUGUCUGCUAUUAAUUACACGAGACAUCAGUAGGUUUGUUUGGAUUGGAGGUUAUUUGAAAUAUUUUUUUGAGAUAAUUAAUGUAGUACUUUUUGUGAUGUAAUGUAUAUAAGAUAAAAUUGUGAUUGGAAAUUGUGUGGAUGCAAAACAAAAUUUUGAAAUUUUUUUUUGAAAACCUUAAUAUUAUUGGCUGCACUACAAAUCAGUCAAAACUCAAGAGAUGAUAUUAAUUGAAACAAGUGGGCAAAUUGAACGAGGAUGCGUAAUUGACAUGGAAGUCUUGGUAGACUUGGAGGUAGGCUUGUCAACGGAUUGGGUCUGGGUCGGAAUUCAUUAUUCUGGACCCGGAUCCGACAUACUAUAUUGGACUCGGAUUCGACCCAUUUAUUCGACGGGCCUUCUACUCUAUAUUCUGAAUCCGGAUCCGACGGGUCUCGGAUUCGGGUCGAGUCUACCCGAAAAAAUCUAUCAAAACUUACAAAUUCUAAUAAAAAUGAGAAAAAAAUAUAUUUGUAAACCAAUUUUUAACUAAUAAAAAAAAUCAAAUAAGAAAAAAAAUCAAAUUGACUUUACUCAAAUACAUCACCCUAAUCAAAUUAUAUUGAUAAAUAUAUAUAUAUUUAAAUUGUUAAUCCAUUUAUAUCCGAAUCCGGGUCUAAUACGGGUCGAAAUAUUAUAUUCCGUAUUCGACCCGUUUUUUGUUUGAUAAAACGGAUCCGGAUCCGGGGUCCGAGUAAUGGAAUUAAAUCCCUACUCGUACCCACAAUAAUUUGACGGAUUCGAUCCGGAUCCGGAUCUAGACUCGAACUGUUGACAGGCCUACUUGGAGGGAUCAACAUUUGAAUCUGACUUGGAUGAGGUAAGCACAAAGGUAAGCAUUUUCCAUUUUUAUUUUGGUUUUCAUUUCUUGUAUACUUUAAAACGUUUUUCAUUCUACCUCACUCACAUAUAAUAUAUAAUGAAAUGUAAAUUUUUUAUGAAAACAUAUAAAAUAUAUAAAAUGAAAAAUAAAUUUUUUAUAAAAACAUAUGUUUAUAUUUUUCUUUGUAUAAUGAAAAUUUAUAAUUCAUUCUACCAAUAUAUACGCAUAUAUAUAUAUAUAUAUAUAUGUAUAAUGAAAAAUAAAUUUCUUCUUCAUCUUUAGGGCUGCACCUACAAACAACAAAACUCAGCUCCACUCAACUCUUUCCUUCAUGUUUUUUUAUAAAAAACAUAUAUAUAUAUAUAUAUAUAUAUAUAUAUAUAUAUAUAUAUAUUAAGUUACACUAAUUGUUUUAUCUCUUAAUAAUUUUUAUUUUUUUUACUAAUAUUACCUCAUGAGAGGCAAAAAGGGUAUAAAUGGAACAAAAUUAUUAUCUCAUUUUCCAAAAGAAUUUUUUAAUGGUACUUUUUCUAACAUGGGUUGAAGCUACUAUCAAAAUCUAGUUUAGGGAAAGUUAGUGCUAUUUUUUAAAUUUUAGGGUAGAUGAGUACAACUGUUAGAAACCUCAAAAAGGGAUGGUUUCUGCAAUUAUCCCUAAAAGCAUAGACCAAGACUACACUAAACACUAAAAAUUUGACACCUAUUUCUUAUAACUAUACUAGAUAAUCUCAUAAUUAUAUAGAAAAAUAAAUCAAAAUUCAUUACACAAAAGCAUUUUUGGAUAUUUAUUUAAGAAUUUGAUCAAAUUAAUAUUAUUUUAAAGUUUUAUUACAAAAACUAUCAAAUUAAAGGAGGUAGGGGUAAUGUUUCAAACCUCACAGUGAAAUUGUUAGAAACCUCAAAGAGGUUCUUGAUAUUAUCCCUAAUUUUUUUGGGUACAAAAACCUCCAAAAAAGUGGCAGUUCAAACGGGGCCAACAUUCUCCUAUCAUCACAAGUCCUCCCGCUGACCCACUAGCCGCCGGCGGCCCUGGGUCAUCUAUUAAAGGCUUAAAGCAUAGACCAAGACUGCAGUAAUCCCUCAUAUACACAUGUUAACUAGAGGGGUCAAUCACAACCCAAUUAUAUUGAUCUGUUCAAACCCGUUCACUAAUAAUCCUUUCAAAUUCGCCCAUUAAAAUUUAAAUGGGUCUAAGUGAGUACCUAAUUAAACCCAUUUAAUUGAUGGAUAGUUGAUUGAUUCAACUCACCCAUUUAUACCCAUUUAAAAAUAAAUAUAUGACAGGGUGUCGAGCCUGUGCAAUAAUAAUUAUCUACUCAAGAAAAACACAAAUUCUGUAUAUAGCAGUGAGUAGAGUCGAAUCCACACGGACUGUAGAUAAUUCGUUUCUUUUAGAGUCCAAAGUAUGGGGGGUUUUGGAGAAUAUAAAAUAACUAAUUAACUAACUAAUAAAACAACUAAUAGAAAUAAAUAGAAAUUAAUCAAUAACCAAUAUGACUCUAGCCAAAGGUGCAACUUUUCAGACACGGUCCAUUCAACUGAUCAUCGAUGCAAAGAUAAUUCAAUUACUCAUUACUAGAUUGGUUAUAAUUGUCAUACACGCGAUGAACAACCAGCCUUUUCUUAAUUUCUCGAUAGUUAAAGUACGACCGUUAACUAUUUCUCUAACCAAGUAAUAACCCUAGGUACGACCAUAGGAUUUAAUUACUCGAUUACAUUAAUAAUUAGAAAAACCCAACCCUAACCAACAAACACGCUACGAGGGUUUGUUUAAAUUAGAUCAUACGUUUCCCUAACAUGAAACCAAUCACGCUAGUCGCCACUGGUAUUAAUCAAUUGAACAAUUACGGAUUCAAUCAAUUAAUUUAGCAUUAGAUCAUUAAGUUAAUUUGAAUAUCGGGCCCUUGACAUUCAAAUAACAUAACAAACAUAAGCAAUUAAAUCAGGAAACGUAAAAAUACCAAUGAAUAAAAGAAAUAAAUAAAAUUAAUUCGAUCUCACAGAUAUUUGGAACCGCGCCUUCAAAUUGGCCUUCGACUAGAUGAAAGGUUUAGUUCAUCUACAUGGAGGAAACCCCAUGUGAAAUUGCAGAAGUAAUUAUUCUAAAACAAAGCUAUGUUUUCGUCCUCCAUUGAAGAAAACGGCAAAGCUAUAUAUAAAGUAAUGAAUACGAAGGAACUACCUAGAAGCAAAAACAAAACGAAGCUCUCCUAUUCUAAAACAAAAACUACUUGUCUAGUGGUCCCCGCCGAAUUUAGAUAAAAGGGUGCAAUCCGUCAGAUCAAGCUUUGCCGACUUUUUCUCCUCUUUGUUGCCUAUUGCUAGGCAAAGACUUCAGUGCCCAGACCAUUCCUAAUCAGUGAAAAGAAAAUGCACUCCCUCUGCCGCACUCUGUGGGCCAGGUUGUUGAAGCUCUUUGGAGUCUCCUAUGUGUGGAGCUGUUUUAUCCUUCAGAUGGUCUCGCUCUUUUUUUUCUUUUUAUUUUCUUUUGUGUACUUUUCUGCUCCAUUCCUGAAAUGAGAUCCAAAUACCAAAUAUAAAUAUAUAUUAACAAUUAAACAAUAUUUAGUAAGGACAGAGGGGAAAUUAAUAAUAAAAUAAUCAAUAAUUAACACCCUAUCAAUUCCCCCCACACCUAAAUCAUACUUGCCCUCAAGCAUGGGGACGACAAAUAACACCAAAAUUUGAAAAUGGGUAUUGCCCCAUCUACCCUAUUGUCAAGAUACCAAGGAAAACAUCUAUCAAGCAUCAGUGAUCAGGGUUCAAGAAACAUCACCCCAAUUAGCUUCUAAACCACAAACUCCUCCAAUUUAAGACAAACUAAUCUAAGAAAAAGGAAUGGUUGCUCACAUUUAUCAACAAAUGGUCCAACUAUUAACUAAAAUCUCGAUAUUAAGAUCACAAACCGGCAAGCUGACUUAUUCACAUACUAACACAAUCUUUACUUUACUUCUUUUUUUUUUUUUUUUGAAUAACAAAAGACUUAGUCUAUAGCCCUUAGAGCCUUUUGACGCGAACUCCAACAUUUGCCAGAUGGAGAAGCCCGGUUUCUCAGCUCCAAUCGCUACGGGACCACGCACUCAUAGUAACUACUACCUUUUGAGGCGAAAAUCGACACUUUAGGUCAAGAUCCCCGAUCACUCAGUAGUAACCACUAGCGGAGUACAGUCAACUCUUAUUUACAACCAUAUAGCACGAUAACUAAAAAUAACAGCAGGCAGCCUCAAAUUUCCAAACAUGGAGAACUAAAAUUAAUAACUGGACCAAUUCACAUGAAAAAUGCCAACAAUCAUUCCCUAUGCCUAGAAAAGUUAACCAAAAAUUAGAAAAGUCAAGCAAUUACUGAUAUUCACAUGAAAAGUCAAGCAGAAGUAAGCAAAAGAGCAACUGUACUUCCCUGAAAUCACGGGGGGCAUGGCGGGGCCACAGCAGUGGGUGAGGCCGGAAAUGGUUGAUUUGGGUUGGGGUAGGCUAAGGUCGAGAGGUUCCGGACCUAGAAGAGGACUUUGAUCUCACCAUCGUCGCUAACAGGUAACCCAAUCAACAGAAACAAAAUUGCCAACAGAUAGAGGAACAAGUAAAUCUAGAUCAAUAGAAAUCAAUAUCCUCAAGUGAAGUCAACAAUCAACCCAAUAAGCACAGGUAUCUUCCAAUUUAAAAGGGUAGUGCACAAUAAAUGGCCCACCAAAUUUGCAAUGUAAAGCCCUGAGCAAUUCAAUCAAUACCAGAAAAUCGCCCCAAACAAUGUAACAGUUAAACUCCAUGGGCCAUGGACGUCCAACCAAUUUCACUCGAACAAACUAUGAGCAGUGCGAGUGACGAAACAAAGCAACAAAUUUCAGCAAUUAGACACAAUUCCACUCAAAAUCUCAACAAAUAUCUCCAAUGGACAGUCUUACACAACUUAACCAACUGGAAUUAGCAAAUAUCCCCAAGAAACUGACAAAACAAGCAAUAGUAGUUCAAAAUUUGGACUACAACUAAAUCAAAAUGUUGUUUCAGUUUUCAAUCAGGUAGCCAACCAAGUAGAAUCAAUAAAUGUAGACAAAAUACCCCAACCAGUACCACUGGUGUAUUCCACAGAAAAGAAUUAAUUCAAAUGCCAAUCCAAACGACUGAGAAACCCUAACCAAGACCAAACCGUACCAGAAAUUAGAAGAAAUGAAAAUGGGAAUCAAUUGGCAAGCAACUCCCAAAUCAACCCCAAAGAACUCCCAAAUAAAUGAAUUAUCAGAGGUGCCUUCAAAAACCAAAUACCAAAAAUGCAUAAAAACUCCCAACCAAUUCAACGGGAAAAACAAAAUUAAGCAAAUCACCUCCUGUGUUUAUCCAUCAAGGAACCCAAAAGCACAAAUUCCAGUAACUGAGGAUUCAGGAAAAAUGCCAAAACAAGGGUAGAAAGUUAAUACCUCCACCUGUCAAUUUUGACAGGUAGUGAUGCGCGGCAAGGAGGUGGCGCACGAGGUGGUGGCCGCGAGCUUUGGAAGAUGAGUUGGCGAUAGAGGCUGUCAGCUACGCGUGCGACUGUGCGCACAAUGGGAGGAGAGAGGCGCGGCGAGCUGGUGGACAGCAGCAGCGGCACGGGCUGGUGGCAGUGGCUGUGGAGCGUGGGCAGGCGGCGGUGCGCAGCUGGUCAACGAAGGAGGAGAUGGGCGGCGCUCGGGCUAAGGAGAGAGUGAUUUGGGGGCUGUGGCGGCGUGGGGUGGAGUUGCGGCGGCGGUCAAAGGCACUGGUGAGUGGAGGUGGCGGGGAUGGAGCUUGGAACGGAGGAGCUCAGCGAGCUGUGGGUGGACGGCCGUGGGCAGGGGAGCAGCGGCGGCCUUUGGAGCUGCUGAAGGUGGUCCGUGAGGUGGAGCUUGGAGCUCGGAGGCGGCGGCGAUGGAAGCUAGUCAGCGGCGUGCGGCAAUGGAUGAGAAAGGGAGACUGGUGGCGUCGGGCUAAGGAGAGAGUAAGGGAGAUGAUGGCGGAUGAGCGAAAGAAAAGAAGGAAAGGGAUACAGGGCAGCGAGGAAGAAGAGGAAGAAAAGGGAAAGAAAGGAAAGAAAAAAGAGAAGAAAAAGGAAAAAGAAAAGAGAGAAAGAAAAAAAGAAAAUAAAAUGGUUUUGGGGUUUUUUUUUCAAUAUUUUUUUUUCAAUUUUUUCCCUAAUUUAAAUUUUCAAAAUUUGAAUUUUUGAAGAAAAAGAAAGAAAGAAAAAUGCUCUUUGAAUUUUUGAAUUUUCUCAAUGUGAAAUUUUAAAUUUUUUUUUGGUUUUGGAUCGUCAAACACCGCGUGAGCACGCCAAGAUUACACUUCCUGGUCACAGUAGAGGAAAAUAUUAAGACCGACUACCACCCAAAUGAGAAAUGACAAAAUGAAAGUAAUGAACAAUGAAAAACGAUAAAACUAAUAUUUGGGUUGCCUCCCAAAAAGCGCCUUUCUUUUAUGUCUUUGGCCAGACAUUGCCAUAUUUGUUUAGGGAGGAUAAAAUCUUGUACCUCGGUUUAAUGUUUCAUCCUCUAUAUAGUCCUGAUAACCCUCGUAAAUAGAGUAAUUCUUGAACACAUGAGCUACGGUCUUCCCUGGACUAGUAAAUGGUGCCAAACAAGUCAACAAUAAGUUGAAUUUUCCAUUCACUCCUCCAUCACUUGCAUUUAUUGGUUUAAGAUAUCUUGCCAUCGCCACUCUUAAUUUAUUUCUGUCAUGAAAUUCGAAAUUUUCUGAUAUAAUAAAAUCAAUUUCAUUAACAGGAAUUGAAGAAUAAGAGUUAGAAGAAUAUUGAUGAAGGAAUGGAUGCGAUGUCACCGCAUUUGAAGAUUGUUCACUGGUUUCAUUCACUUGAACGAGUUGAUACUGGGGCAUUAUUUCUUGCACUUCACCUUUUUUUUCAACUGCAUCUUUAGAUCCGUUUUCUUGAAACUCUUGCAGUUCCAUGUCAUUUGACGGGAUAACUGCACUCUCAUCCUCUUCAAGGUUGAUAUUGGUUUGUGAGGGCAAUUCUUCAAGGUGAGAAGCUAAUCGCUCUAUCCUGGAUGUCAAUUGAUUCAUUUGAUCCGCCGGAUCCCUAAUGCUCGCUUGUGUCUCCUGAUGAAAUCGAUAUGUAUUAGUAGCAAAUAAUUCAAUCAAUUCCUGAAGAGACAUACCUGACAUGGAUGAUGGCUGUUGAGAUUCUUGCUGUUGAAAAUCCAUUGGCCCGGUCGCAUAAUUAAAAUUGGAAUCAUCCCACCAUCCUUGAUCAUACCCGUUUGAAUAAGGAUCGUACCACGUUUGAAAUCGAGGUGAAAAAUCUCCAAAAGUAUCAAUUGGAGCACUUAGAUUAUCUUGAAAUGCGGGGCAUGUGUCGGUUGAGUAACCUGAGUCAAAAUAAGUUCCACAAUUUGCAACAGUCCAUUGACCAUUAGGAAAAACUCGAGUCUCAUAACCUCAUUCGGGAAUAAAGUCCAGUCUAUCAUCAAAAUAUGGAAUGUUAGCUACCAUAAACUAUAUAUAACAAAAAAGAGAAAAAAAAAAAACAAGAUGAACUAAAAAAAAACAAAUUAAUUAGGCACCAGUCCCCGGCAAUGGCGCCAAAAAUUGACAGGGUGUCGAGCCUGUGCAAUAAUAAUUACCUACUCAAGAAAAACAUAAAUUCUGUAUAUAGCGGUGAGCAGGGUCGAAUCCACAGGGAUUGGAGAUAAUUCGUUUCUUUUAGAGUCCAAAGUAUGGGGGGGGAGUUUUUUGGAGAAUAUAAAAUAACUAAUUAACUAACUAAUAAAACAACUAAUAGAAAUAAAUAGAAAUUAAUCAAUUACCAAUAUGACUCUAGUCAAAAGUGCAACUUUUCAGAUACGGUCCAUUCAACUGAUCAUCGAUGCAAAGAUAAUUCAAUUACUCAUUACUAGAUUGGUUAUAGUUGUCAUACACGUGAUGAACAACCAGCCUUUUCUUAAUUUCUCGAUAGUUAAGGUACGACCGUUAACUAUUUUUCUAACCAAGUAAUAACCCUAGGUACGACCAUAGGAUUUAAUUACUCGAUUGCGUUAAUAAUUAGAAAAGCCCAACUCUAACCAACAAACACGCUACGAGGGUUUGUUUAAGUUAGAUCAUACGUUUCCCUAACAUGAAACCAAUCACGCUAGUCGCCACUGGUAUUAAUCAAUUGAACAAUUACGGAUUCAAUCAAUUAAUUUAGAAUUAGAUCAUUAAGUUAAUUCGAAUAUCGGGCCCUUGACAUUCAAAUAACAUAACAAACAUAAGCAAUUAAAUCAGGAAACGUACAAAUACCAAUGAAUAAAAGAAAUAAAUAAAAUUAAUUCGAUCUCACAGAUAUUUGGAACCGCGUCUUCAAAUUGACUUUCGACUAGAUAAAAGGCUUAGUUCAUCUACAUGGAGGAAACUCCAUGCGAAAUUGUAUAAGUAAUUAUUCUAAACAAAGCUAUGUUUUCGUCCUCCAUAGAAGAAAACGGCAAAGCUAUAUAUAAAGUAAUGAAUACGAAGGAACUACCUAGAAGCAAAAACAAAACGAAGCUCUCCUAUUCUAAAACAAAAACUACUUGUCUAGUGGUCCCCGCCGAAUUUAGAUAAAAAGGUGCAAUCUGUCAGAUCAAGCUCUGCCGACUUUUUCUCCUCUUAGUUGCCUAUUGCUAGGCAAAGACUUCAGUGCCCAGACCAUUCCUAAUCAGUGGAAAGAAAAUGCACUCCCUCUGCUGCACUCUGUGGGCUAGGUUGUUGAAGCUCUUUGGAGUCUCCCAUGUGUGGAGCUGUUUUAUCCUUCAGAUGGUCUCCCUCUUUUUUUUCUUUUUAUUUUCUUUUGUAUACUUUUCUGCUCCAUUCCUGAAAUGAGAUUCAAAUACUAAAUAUAAAUAUAUAUUAACAAUUAAACAAUAUUUAGUAAGGAUAGAGAGAAAAUUAAUAAUAAAAUAAUCAAUAAUUAACACCCUAUCAAUAUACAUUUAAGCUCAAUUUUUACUAAGUGUUAAGAUGAUAAAUUUGAAUUUCCUAUGACUCUAAUAACAAUAAAAUAUCAUUUUUCUUGUCAAACAACAUGCAAAAAACAAAAAAAGGUAGAAUUUCAAAUUAAUCAUAAAUGGGUAAUUGAGUAUUCUCAUGUCUAUUUGUUAAAUUGAUAUAAAUGAAUUGAUUCAAUUAUAACUAUUACUCAACUAGAAUCCGCUCAAACCCGUUUAAGUUAAUCAUUUUGACACCCCUAAUGUUAAUAUAUAUUGACAAGUGAAAAGUGCAGCAUUUAUCACGAAGAUAUACUUAUUUAUUUUAAUAUUAAAGUCAUUUUUUCAUUACAAAAAUAUUGAUAAUUUCAUAAUUUCAUGGAAGUAUGUAACCAGUGACAUAACAUAGUCGCCAGUGGCGAAUCUUGUCACGAGCCUUCUUUUCAACGCUUUGAUUAUGGCAUACACCUUUAACAAUAUGCCCCCACGUUGUCUUUCGAUCACUUUUUUUUUUUUUUUUAACCUCACAUUCGUUCGUUAUGUAUGUAUAAUUUCUUUACAAAAAAGUGAAAAACUCCAAAAACGUGGCAGCUCAAACGGGGCCAACAAUCUACUAUGUUCGCCUGUUCUCCCGCCGGACCCACCAGCCGCCGGCGGCCAUGGGUCAUCUAUAAAAGCAUAGAUCAAGACUACACUAAUCCCUCAUCAGUCCAAUCCAUCCAUACUUCUUCUUCAGGCCUCAGCUACUAAACAAUAAACUCUGCUCCACUCAAUUCUUUCCUCUGUUUCUUGUGGUUUUUGUCUGAAAAUGGCGGCAUCAGAAGAAGUGAAAGUGCCAAGAAUCAAGCUGGGGUCGCAAGGUUUUGAAGUUUCAGCUCAAGGGCUGGGCUGCAUGGGCAUGUCAGCCUUCUACGGGCCGCCAAAGCCCGAGCCUGAUAUGAUCAAACUCAUUCACCAUGCUAUUAGCAGAGGCAUCACCCAUCUUGACACCUCCGAUAUGUAUGGACCUCACACCAACGAAAUACUCAUUGGCAAGGUACCGUAUUUGCAAAUUUUCUGCUGUUGUGUGCUAUGCAUAAACUCUUGUACUUCUAAUUUCUAAAAGAGCAUAUUUGUAAGUAUUUUAUUUGGGUAUAUUAUAUUUAACCCCCUGCACUUGAAAUCUUGUCUCCCUUUGUGCCCCCUUAAUUUUGUUUGUCAGCACUUAAACUCCAUCUGUUUAAAUUAUAAGUAUUAUUAGUCAAAUAAGACAAUAAUAUUCUUCAUUUCUUCUUCUUCUUCUUCUUCUUCUUCAUUUUUUCAGAUGUUUGUCCUCAAUUGUAAGAGAAGGUCGUAGGUCUAGCACAUACGUUGAGUAGCUGUAUCCGAUUAGAAGGAUUUAGAUCAUAAUGGAGUUGGUAAAAUAGUACUAUUUUCGUCUUUGAAGUUAAAAUUGUCAUCAAUUUAUGGAAAGUUUACUAUUUCUCUGAUAAGAGAUGGUAAAAUUUACUUUUUACGAGUACUAAAGUUUUAAAGAUUAUGAAAAGAGAAUUGUACGAAUGAAUAUAAGGGAAAAGAAAGGUAAGAACAUAAAUAGAUUGUGUUUGGAUUGAUUUUGGGAGGGGCAAGGAGAGGAAAGGGAAAGAAAAGGAAAUGGAUGGAUUGUGUUUUGCUCAGACAUCAUUUCCAUACAAAAGUAGACGGAAACAGAGGGAAAGAAAAUCUAGUUGAUGAUUUUCUUAUAAAAUGCCUCAAGCACCCAAAUUUUACAUAAACUUGAGUAACCAUGUGUUUCAUAUCUGUAGAACUUGCCAUUUGUGAAACCUGCUUUAGAUAUGAAUUGUGGGAUGCAACAGCAGGCUAGGAAUGUUUGACUAAGCAACUUAUGUAAAUAUUUUAUCGUUAAGUGAAGUUCCUCUUUUGCUGUUUAAAAAAAAAAAAAAAAAAGAGAGAGAAAAACCAUUCCUUUAAUGUCUGUCAUUCUACCAAACAGCAGAUUUAGGAUUUCUUUUUUUCCCAUCCAUAUCUAAUCCAAAUAAGGCAAAUGAGAACUAUUUUCCACUACUCUCCUUUCCUUUCUUUUUCACUAGGAUGUUUUAUUUAUUCUUUCCUUUGAUCCUAAUGGUUCCUAAAAGGGCACUAAUUAUUCUACAUUGAUCGUUCCCCAUAUUUGUAUUAAUGUGCAUGUUCACGAUUCUGUGUACGUUCAUGUUGUGCAUCAAAUCUUGUGAAUGUCAAAGCUAAGAUUGUAAAUUUAAGUUGAAGAAACAUAAAAGAAAAAAGAAAAUGGAUUGGCUCCUUUAAGAGUAUCAGACUUCUAAACCCCAAGGAUUACAUAAUUUUCAUAUCCUUUGCUAUACAAAGAAGUGGCAUAGCCUUAACAAUGAAGUGCUGGAAAAACUCCAGAAGGACUGUGCCAUCCAUGAAAUCACAAUUCCGCUUGCUAUACCAUGCAUUAAUGUGUAUGCCCUUGAUGAUUAAUAUAAUGAAAUCAUGGUUCUAGGCCUUGAAGGAAGGAAUAAGAGCGAAAGUGGAGCUAGCAACAAAAUUUGCAAUCAGUUAUCAGGAUGGGAAAUUUGAUGUACGUGGUGAUCCAGCCUAUGUGAGGGCUUGUUGUGAAGCGAGUUUGAAGCGGCUUGAUGUGGACUGCAUUGAUCUCUAUUAUCAACAUCGCAUUGAUACACGUGUGCCCAUUGAAGUCACGGUUUGCUCGUCUUGCCUUUCUUGUAUUUUAGCUCCACCUCAUUCUUGAUGAAACAAAAGUUUGAUCAACUCCAAAUUUCGAAUAAUUCAGUUUCAUGUGCGUUUCAAUUCUUCAAAAAUUGCACAGAAAAGUUAGUCAACCUUAUGGUCUAGGCUAAUCUGCAGUAUGCUAAAUCUUAUUUAGCACCAGGCACCCUGAAAAGUGAAAACAAUGAAAAUGUCUUAUAUUAGCUUGGCAGUCCUGCUGAGGGAUAUACAGGUGGAUAUCAUGCUAUACAUUGUACAGCUUUCCUUUAGAAGCAAGAGACCUGAGCAUUCUCUUUCAUUUGAGAUAGGCUAUCCAGUUGAGUAAUGAUAUGCUAUUUACUUACCUUGUCAUUCGUUUUCAGUCGGUGCCAAAAGCACUGCAGAUAGAAGUUUUUUAGUCAAUAUCUAAAAAACGUGGUACUCAUUUUGUUCAGAGUAUAGCUUUUUGUCUAAUUGUGAAAGCCAGCUGCGACUACCCCGUUGACCUCUCUAAGCAAUUCAAAGAUUGCAGCUGCUUGCUUACAUUCAGCUUUUAUGAAAACAAUUUCUGUCUUCUUUUUCUAAUAUAGUCAGCAAAGAAUUGUCUUGUUUUUCCUGAGUAUUAGGAAGAAACUUUCUUGCAGUUUAAUCACUCAAAAUACAGGCAAGUAUAAAGGAAAUCAAGGAAAUCGACAACUGAUAAUUGAUAUGUGCAGCCAUUAUUAUAUCUAGACGAAGUCAACAAUGUCGUGUAAUCAUAUUGGAGGAGCAUUAUGUUGGCAUGGUCCAAUAGAGCUAAGUCAUCCGGUGGGCUGUACAUAGAGAAGUAUCACUGGAUGCUUAUUGCCAUUUUUGUCAAUUAUUGAUUUCAGUUUGACGUAUAAUUUGUCCACGACUUCAUUGAACUAGUCCAACUUUUACUUUUUUGCACGUAAUAUUUCGAUUAUCUGCCUAAGUAUUGAAUGUAAUAAAUCAGCUUUGCAUUUUCUUGUCCAUUGAAAUUCUCUAGAUAGGAGAGCUCAAGAAACUGGUUGAAGAGGGUAAAAUAAAGUAUAUAGGUCUGUCUGAGGCCUCAGCUUCAACAAUUCGAAGAGCACAUGCUGUUCAUCCAAUAACAGCGGUACAGUUGGAGUGGUCAUUGUGGGCCAGAGAUGUCGAGGAAGAGAUUAUUCCCACUUGCAGGUAGUGCAUAUAUUCUGCUGCAUUUUCUACGUGGUCUAGAAGAAAUAUGAAGUUCUUAAUUCAGUUUUUGGUAUAAUCUUUCAGAGAGCUUGGAAUAGGGAUUGUUGCAUACAGUCCACUUGGAAGAGGAUUCUUCUCUUCAGGUCCAAAGCUGGUCGAGAAUUUGGCUGAAGGUGACUGCCGAAAGGUUUGUGCAUAUCCAAAACUAUGAAGUUUUUGAGUAUAGAUUGUUUAUAGUUCGAAUAAGUUUCUCACUCAUCUACUUUUACCACUUCAGUGACAAUCUUGCUUGAUAUCCCUAUUCUUGUCUAUCUGUCAUAUGUUGCUGCACUUUUUGAUGUCCAAUAAUUUGAUUAAGCCUUAUAAUAUGAUCACAUUUAAUCAAAUUUCUAUUAAGCAGAGCAAAUCAACAGGCUUUUUUUUUUCCUGUCGAACAAGUCUUGAGGUCUUUAGUUGAUUAAAUGAAUGCAGAUUUUGGUGUCCUCUGUAUUUAGUUCAAAUUAAAAGAUAUAGCGCUAGCUUUGUCAAAUUUUAGAUCUUAUAUUAAUUGAAGGUUGUUAUUGCAUGCUGGAGAUUUAUAUAGUGGACAACAAUCACAAGCAAUCGAUAGUAUCGAAUUUUAAAGUGCAAAGAUGUCGCAAGACAUCAAAACAGGAAGAAACUAUGUCACUUUUUAUGUAAAAGUCUCUUUUCAGUUUUGAGGGGAAAUGGACCUUGGACUUCAAUUUCAUCAUUUAGUCUCAGGCACAGAAUUUCAUCAUUUUGUCCUGUGAAACUAUCAUUUUUCCUUUACCAUUAAUCCUAAAACUGAGUUUCAUUGGUCAGAAGUGUACUUCUUAGUACAAACAUUAGUUGAUAUGCAUUUUAAGGUUCCCCUUUGAUGGGAAAUGUAUCUCAGAACUUAACUCCAACAGUUGAUGUUUCCUACUUGGAUUAUUCAGUCCACCUUGAUGCAUUGUUCUUUGCCCUGAACUUGUGUCCUUCAAACAAUAUUGCUGAUCAUCUUGAAGUAAUGUACCGUUUGUUCAUUUCUCCCUUCUGAUUUCUUGCAUUAUAGUUUCCUCUUUAAUGGGAAAUGUAUCUCAUGAUCUACCUUCUACAAUUAAUGUUUCUUAAGAGUACUCAGUCCACCUUACUGGAUUGUUCCUUCCCCUGAACUUUUUACACCUUAAACAAUACUAUCAAUCAUCUUGAAGUUAUUCAUAUUGUCUUCAUACCUAUCACCCUUUACAGUUGCUUGAAUUUUUGAAAUUCAUACAAUGUAGGAUAUGCCAAGGUUUCAAGCAGAGAAUUUGGAGCACAACAAGAAGUUGUAUGAGCGGGCCAAUGCCAUUGCUUCAAGGAAGGGUUGUACUCCAUCACAGCUAGCAUUGGCCUGGGUCCAUCACCAAGGCAAUGAUGUUUGCCCCAUACCUGGCACUACCAAGAUUGAGAACCUCAAUCAGAAUAUAGGAGCUUUGUCUGUAAAACUGUCAGCCGAGGAAAUGGCGGAACUUGAAUCUAUUGCUUCUGCGGGAGUCAAGGGUGAUAGGUAUGCGCCUGGCCUUGGUACUUGGCAAACUUCUGAAACUCCGCCUUUGUCAACCUGGAAGCGGACAUGAAGACAUACCUUUGUUAUGGCAAUAAUUCCUUCUAGCUAUGUGCCUGAUGGUGGAUUUCACUAUAUUGAGAGUUGAGUGAUAUGUAAUUGUUCCAAUAAAUUUUGACAUACUAUUGUCUCUAGGGCUAUGGCACGUAAAGUUAUAAGUAGAAUGGAUGGAGUUUCUUCAGAGAGGUUGUAAUAAAUAAAGAUCUGGUCAUGUAAAAGCUGAAUAUAAUUUUCCUUGCAGUUGAAUGCAUUAAGAGUUAUAUAUUGUACUUUUGAAUGCUAAAGUGGUCCAUUUUUUAUGUGCUACUGCUACGAGAGUUAUAGAUUGUUGAACAGCAUUCAAUUCUGGACUUAUUAAACAUAAGCAUAUAAACAUUUUAUUCUCGGAAUAUUUACAUCAAAAGAAACUCCAAGGUCACAUCAUUGUAAAGUGUAAACUAUAUCAUAUUAAUAAAAAGCAAAAAAAAUGUCUAAAUGAGGAAAAAAAAUGUACUAUAGAAGAAGUCAACAAUGUCAUGUAAUCAUUUUAUCCUAAAAUUGAGAUUCAAAUUUAGUUGAUUUGUAUUUUGAGUUUCCUCUUUGAUGGGAAAUGUAUCUCAGAACUUUAACUCCAACAGUUGAUGUUUCCUACUUGGAGUACUCAGUCCACCUUGAUGCAUUGAUCUUUCCCCUGAACUUGUGCCCGUCAAACAAUAUUUCUGAUCAUCUUGAAGUAAUUAGUACCAUCUGUUCAUUACUCCCUUCUGAUUUCUUGCAUUAUAGUUUCCUCUUUAAUGGGAAAUGUAUAUCAAGAUCUACCUUCUACAAUUGAGAUUUCUUAGAGUACUCAGUCCACCUUACCAGAUUGUUCUUUUUCCUGAACUUUGUUCACUUCAAACAAUACUAUGAUCAUCUUGAAGUUAUUCGUAUUGUUGUCUUUUGUGGACGACACAUGCUUUACUGCCUUUUUGAAUUUCUGCAUUGCAGUUGCUUAAAUUUUGAAAUUCAUACAAUUUAGAAUAUGCCAAGGUUUCAAGUAGAGAAUUUGGAGCACAACAAGAAGUUGUAUGAGCGGGUCAAUGCCAUUGCUUCAAGGAAGAGUUGUACUCCAUCACAGCAAGCGUUGGCCUGGGUCCAUGCCAAGGCAAUGAUGUUUGUCCCAUAACUAGCACUACCAAGAUUGGAAACCUCAAUCAGAAUAUAGGAGCUUUGUCUGUAAAACUGUCAGCAGAAGAUAUGGCUGAACUUGAAUCUAUUGUAUCAGCUGGAGUCAAGGGUGAUAGAUAUGAUCCUGGCCGUGGUACUUGGCGAACUCCUGAAACUCAACCUUUGUCAACUUAGAAGACUACAUGAAAACAUACCUUUGUUGAGGUAUUAAUUCCUUCUAGCAUUCUACCUGUUGGUGAUUUCACUGUAUUGAGAGUUGAGCGAGUUGUAUUUGAUCCAAAAACUUUGUCAUACUAUUGUCUCGAGGGUUAAGACAUGUAAAGUUUUAAGAAGAAUGGUGUUUCUUUAGAGUGCUUGUAAUGAAUAAAGAUCUGGUCAUGUAAAAGUAGAACACAACAUACCAACAAUGUCAUUGUAAACUACAUCAUACCAACAAAAAAGUAGAAAAUGGUCUAAAGUGAAUCAGAAAUCAACAAAAACUAUGUAAGCACCAAUGGAAAGCAGAAAAGUUCUUGAUACCAUAGUAAACACCAAUGGAAAGCUAAAAAGUUCUCGACGCCAUAGAAAUUAGGGAUUCGUUGGGCAAAAAAGUUCUUAACACCAUACUCUAUAGACGUAGGGGAUCCAGGUUUGGGCAUCUAGCUAAGUGGAACAGGUAAAGGAAAGCUGCAUCACAGAUGUAGCAAGUAGUUCCAAUGCCCUUGCCAAUGGUAUAGGCUUUCUUGCUUCCAACAUGGUCUUGAAAGUGCAGAUUAGAGAAGGAUAUCAAAGCCGGCCAGCUGCGAAUCCUGUGGGGUGAAAACCAUACAUUUGAGAACAUAAACAAAACAGAGCUGCCUGGUCCUCAAUUUAAGCAUUAUACUUGAGAAGGACAAUACAAGCAUUCAGGGAUAUUUGCAGCCCCAUCCUCAAUGUGUGAGAAAAUAAACUUUACAUGCAGAAAGGAAAUAAAUGGUUGAAAUUACACAAUGGAUGGAUGUUGAAAAGAAUCACUAACAAAUAUGUCUAGAAGAUCGAUCUGUUAAGCAUGGGAAGUUCAAAGAGUAGCAUUUUUUUUGAAUCUCAGAAAAAUGAAGAGUAAGGUACAGUCCAACAAUUUAGGGAAUUCAAACUCUAUUUGUGAAUAAACUGCUUGUAUUUUUCCUUUUUCUAGUGUAAGAUUUAAGGAAAAGUUAAAAUCACUUGACCCCUGAUCAGUUCUUUACCAAUACAUUGAUUUUGACUUCAAUCAUGAACAAAUAAUUCAGAUUAAGACUGAAUAGUUAAUAAAUUGAAAAAAAAGGGAAAGACAUCAGAACUUAGAUGUAACACACUAAUCCAUAACAUCCAGUCCUUCUUACUUUUCGUGCCUUUGGCCCAGUGUUGCAAAAGGCCUUGCCUGAGGUAAGGCAUUUGUCUCUACUGCAGCAGCACGAAAGCCUUGGAGCAUGGGUUGUAAUUCUCAUGAAUUUUAAAAUUUUUGAAUAUUUUAAAAAUAUUGUAAUAUUUAUGCAAAAUAUUAUUAAAACACAUAUAACUAUAAUAAAAUAUGUAAAAUUUUAAAAUUAUAGAAAAAUAUAUUAUCAUGAUAUGCGGUAGUAAUGACAGUAUAGAAAAAAAAAAAUAUGACAAAAAUUCAACGAAUACUAGUCGUGGGCAUCUGAAAAUGGUUAUAGAUGACAAGGGACGAUGAUUUUACUUGGAAACUUGGGUUUUUACAUUCUUGUGGUAUGUAUUACUAUACAAAAAUGGUAAAAUUAAAAUAUAACCAAGUUUUGGGGUUAAAUAAGAAAUUUGAGAUAACAGGUUAGCUAAAUUUUUAAAGUGAGCCAAAGCACAAGGACUUAAUACUACAUGUUUUACUAAAAUGGGACCCACAUCUCUAAAUUCAGGCCCGUCAGGUUCAUCGAGGUGCUUCGUUCGCAAGCCCAUUUGUCAGCCCAAAUCAUCAAACGCUUCCUUCCUCCCCUUUUUAUUUAAUAAACCCGAUACGACUUCCUGAUUAUUCCAGGAUCCAACAAUUAAAACUUUACUGGCUCUAAAAAAAAAAAAAACAAUUAAAACUUUACAUACAAAUAAAUGGUCAAAUUCACUUAAAAAUUGUGGGGUCAUCUUCCACAUUAAACUUUUGUACUAUCCAAGUUUGUUUUAAUUCCUUUGGGAAAAUCAAACAUCGAAUGCAUUCCCCAAAAAAAACAAAAAAGGGAAAAGGAAAUGGCUUACCUUUGCCCUUACGUAUCCAAUCCCAAUUUGAACAUUACAUCAUCCAUCCAAUUGAAACAAACUCCUAUGGAGAUUUUUUUUUUGCUCUAUUUUGUUGUUAGAUCUGAAAGUUUUUUCAAAAUUUGAAUCUAUUUGAACAUAUCUCAUUAUCAUUAUUGAAACUUAAAACCAUUUAUUGACAAAUCUGGCAAUUGCCAUAUGCACAAAAGGGAGACGCUUUAAAAUUCUUUAUAUUUUAUUAGAUGUGUUUGUAAUUUUCAAAUCUAUUGUAUUAGUUAAAUUAUAAUCUGUAAUUUUUAAUGCAUGCGUGACCUGCCAUUAGAGGAGUUAUGUAAAUCAAAUCAUGUUGGACGAUUUUCAAAAAAAAAAAAAAAAAACUUAACCGUCAAUUACUCUUUCCCAUUUUAUUUGUCCACUUUUCAAUUGUCAAUAACUCUUUUAAAAUAUUUUGCAAUACAAAAAUCAACUGAAACCAGUAGACAUUGUAAUUAAUAGCAGUAUUCAAUUCUUGUUUUUGUAUAUUACUCGUACAUCUAAUUAGUCCAAUUUGGAGGGAAAAAAAGGUGAAAACAAAAAAAUAUAAUAGUCACAAAAAACACAGAUCUAGCUCAAAAUAUGGCAGUGACCAAUUGUUCUGCAAAAUUAGUAGGAUAAGCAGUUGACAAAUUCUAUAAUCCCUUUUGGUCAAAUAUUAUUUUUAAUAUUUAGGUCGUUACAAUUUCAAUAAUUUAAAUUACCAGUUACUAUCAUCAUUGGAAGAAGCACAUUGAAGGAAUGAUACUCUAAGAUGACUGAUAGAGCGAUUUUUGAGCACAUUUUGUACUAUUAUUCUGUCCUAAUUUUGGCUACUCAUGGUGCUAAGAAUUAAGAUUUUGCUCAUAUUUGAUAUUUGUAUGAAUUAUAGGUGGUUGGCGUUAAAAAUGAUCUUGCGAGGCGAAUUUCUAGAAGACCCUUCAGGUCAAGACGUGCCCAUGCCAGAAGUAGUGGAAGGUUACCCAUAAAGUCGGACCCGCGGGCUUGGUAGCAAAAUAAGUCAACUAGGGAACCAGGUCCACGUGGAUCAAAGGCGGGGGAUUAGAACCCUUAGGCAAAGCUUGUUCCUUUUUUUGGAUUACUACUGGCGGCGCACAUGAAAAAUAUAAGAGACGAAGCCAGGUUCACGUGAAAGGAAGGAGAUAGCUUAGUUUUCUUUUCCCAAAUUUGUCAGACGUUUGUCUUGCUUUUCUCGGUAGAAAACAGAAGACAAGCCAGAAUCACGUGGGCUUAGUAGAUUAGUUUUCGUUUUCUUCACUGGCAACAAUUUCUUUCUCUGUUUUGACUUUUGAUAAAUUUCAUGAGAUUGCUCCAGUACGGACACGAAAUAAGAAAAGGAAUUAAGAGACUUUCUCUUCAUUAUUCCUCCGUUAGUUCACUUUUCUCAAUUCUUCGGCAAUUAAUUGAAUGUUUUCAAUUAAAUCACACGGGAUUGACAGGAUGAGGAGAGGCUAGUUCUCUCCUCUACCCAGAGGUCGACGCGAGGGCGCGGUCCAUAAUAUCAGUAAGAUCUGAUCAAACUUUCAUUAUUUCUUCCAAUUUGUUACUAUUCGUGCGUUUCUUGGAUUAAUUAUUCAUGGGUAUUUUAUUAAUUGAAUAUCAACGGCCGGGUAUUUAAUUUAAUUUAAUAGCCUACUGUCACAUUAACUAAAUUCAAUCCGUAAUUGUUUGUUUAGUUGAUAACUAGUGACAACCAGCAUAAUUAGCUUUAUGUUGGAGGAAUGCAAGAUCUAAUUUAAAUAAACUCUCUUAGCGUGUUUAUUGAUUAGGGUUGAGUUCUUCUAGUUGUAAUGCAGUUGGAUAAUUAAAUUCCUAUAGUUGUACAUAGAGUUGUUAACUGGUUAGAGAAGCAGUCAACGGUCGUACCUUGGCUGUCGAAAAGGUAAGGAAGAAUUGGUUAUCAGAACUUGUUGUUAGCUAUAACCAAUCAAGUAAUGAAUGAGUGAAAUAUCUUUGCAUCGAUGAUCGUUUAAUUGGACCAUGCCUGAAAAGUUGAUCCUUUGGGUAAAAUUUUAUUAAUUGCUAUUUUUACUAAAUUGCACUUGUUGAGUUAGCUCUUGAGUUUUACUUAUUUUAUUUUUACUUUCACCCCAUUAAUUAUCCCUCUCUUUUAUUCUAUUGACUUAGAAAGAAAUCACUUCCUAUCCGUUCCCUGUGGAAUCGACCCUACUUGCCAUUGUACGCAAAUUUAAUAUUUUUAUAGACAAAUCUGGUAUAUCGGAUCAAACAAAUUUUUUGAAAAUAGGGUGAAUCAAGUAACCCAUUGCACACCUAGAGUCCCUGCUCCAGUACUUGGAUUUGUUCUAUAAUGAAUUGUGGUGGUAAUUAGGACUUUUUAGUAAUUAUUAUUGCACAGGUUCGGCACCUGUCAAUUUUUGGCGCCGUUGCCGGGGAGCGGUGUUUUGGUUAAAUUUGUUUCUUUCUAAGUUAUUCUCUUUGAAUCUGUCUAGCAUUUUUCUAGUUUAUGCCUCGCUCUUCUCGUACAGGCGAAUUGAUUUUCGAUUCAGAAGUAGAGAAGGCUGCGCGCCAAACUAGGAAACAGACCAGACAACUCAGGGAGGAGCAAUCCAGUAUUGCAUCUCAGGGACUGGAUCUUGAGGUUGAAUCAACAGAUUCAAGUAGUGAAAAUUUAAAUGAUCCAGGCCAAGAGGGCAUCCUUAUGGCAAAUGCAAGAAUACUAUAGGAGUUGGCUGCUCCAGAAUUACCCCAGCAGCCUUUGUGCAUUACAUUCCUAACGUUGGCUAAAAAUAUCUCAUUUGAAUUGAAGUCAGAAUUAAUCCACCUCCUACCUACGUUCCAUGGCCUCUCAGGUAAGGAACCCUACAAACACAUCCAAGAGUUUGAUGUGGUAUGCUCCAGUAUGAAGUCUCCAGGAAUUACUGAGGAGCAGAUUAAACUCAGAGCCUUCCCCUUCUCCCUCAAGGAUGCAGCAAAUGAUUGGUUGUACUACCUACCUGCAGGUAGUAUCAUCAAAUGAGCCCAACUUAAGAAGAAAUUUUUGGAAAAAUUCUUCCCUGCGUCCCGGGCUGCAAGUCUGAGAAAAGAGAUAUGCAGCAUUAAGCAAUAUCCUGGAGAAUUCUUAUAAGACUAUUGGGAGAGAUUCAAUAAGUUGUGCACUAGAUGCCCACAGUAUCAAAUUAGUAAAUAACUGUUGAUCCAAUAUUUCUAUGAGGGACUCCAGUCGUCUGAUAGAAGCAUCAUCGAUGCUGCGAGUGGGGGAGCCCUGGCGAACAAGACACCACGAGAAGCAUGGAUAUUCAUUGAAUCAAUGGCGAAAAAUUCUCAACAGUUUGGUUUCCUAAAAAGUAACCCUACCCGGAGGGCUAACGAGGUAGAGACGUCAUCCAUUCAGCAGCAGAUAUCAGAGCUAACAUUUUUUGUUACAAUUAGCUGUGGGAAACAUGCAUCAAGCUAAGGCCUGUGGAAUCUGCACAAAUGUGGGUCACUCCACUGACUCAUACCCUAUGUUGCAAGAGGAUGGGGGUGAACAAGUGAACAUAGUCGGAGGCGUGCCCGUGCCUCAUAGACAGUACGAUCCAUACUCCAACACAUACAAUCUGGGUUGGCAAGACCACCCCAAAUUCAGUUAUGGUAAUAAGCCACAGAAUUCAUUUCCCAAUCGCCUACAAGGAUUCCAACAACCGUAGCAACAAAAGUCUCAACCCUCGUCCUCCAGCUCAGGAAGUCAUUUGGAGAAAAUUGUCAAGAGUUCAGCUACGACUAUAACUCAGCUCCAGCAAGAGACUAGGUUCUUGGUCGCGAGCAUUACUCAGUUCCAACAGGACACCAAAGCAGGCAUGAAAGACAUGGAAAUUCGAAUGAGUUAAAUGACAACUGCCAUUAAUCGCCUAGAGUCCCAUGUUUAUGAAAAAUUGUCAUUUCAAUCCGAGCCAAAUCCCAGAAAUGUAAGUGCCAUAACAUUAAGGAGUGGCAAAAAGGUGGAGGGACCUAAGUUGGUAAAUUCGAAAAGCAAAAGUGAGGAAGAGAUAAAAAAGGAGAUUGAAGAAGAAGGACGCAUUCGUAAAGACCCUAAGGUAAAAUUUACUCUUUCAGCUCCUAUUAAAUCUAACUUACCUCAUUUUCCUUGCAGGUUAGAAAAAACAAAGAAGCAAAAUAAGGAAAAGGAGAUUUUAGAGGUGUUUCGAAAGGUGGCAAUCAAUAUCCCUUUGUUGGACGCGAUCAAACAAGUGCCAAAAUACGCUCAAUUCUUGAAAAACUUGUGCGUUAACAAGAAGAAGUUGAGGGGGGAUGAACAAAUUGUGGUAGGUGAGAACGUUUCAGCGAUUUUGCAAAGGAAACUACCACCUAAAUGCGGAGAUUCAGGUAUGUUUAUUAUCCCUUGUAAGAUUGGAUGUUCUAAUAUCAAAAAUGCCAUGCUAGAUUUAGGGGCCUCUAUUAAUGUGAUGCCUAAAUUAAUUUAUGAUUCCCUAAAUUUAAAACCUUUAAAAGAAAUAGGGAUAAUAAUUCAAUUGGCUGAUCGUACAUUUGCUUAUCCGGAUGGAAUAGUUGAGGAUGUUUUGGUGCAAGUAGAUGGAUUAAUUUUUUCUGCUGAUUUUUACGUACUUUACAUGGAUGAUAGAAGUGCCCCAAAUCCAUCACUCAUUAUAUUAGGAAGACCAUUCUUGAGUACUGUCCAAACUAAGAUUGAUAUUAGUAAGGGUACUCUCACGAUGAAAUUUGAUGGAGAAAUAGUCCAUUUUAAUAUUUUUGAUACAAUUAAAAAUCAUGUUAACUCUCAUUCUGUAUUUGCUAUUCAGGCUACUAAUCCCUCUGUGCAAGAAUUCUCUGAGUUUGUUUGUAGGGGUAAAUUCAAAAUUGUUGCGAACAAGUAUCCUGGAAUGAAAGCAAUUCAUGAGGUGAAAAUGAGUAGAAAAUUCAGGAAAAUAUUGCAUUCAAUGGCUAUUUGGAUCCCGGAGGAGGGCCACAAAUUAGAAGAAAAAUUGAAUUACAUCCAAACUGAAGAGCGGUGUAUAGUGUCUAGCCAAAAACAUUAAAGAAAGGCGCUACUUGGAAGGAAAUCCAAGGCUUUCAAUUGUGUUUUUUCAUAUUUGUGUGUUCAAGAUCAGUGGGUUUAGGUUCCUAUUGACAAGCAAUCUUUAUUGUAGGUCAUGGGUGUUUCUGUGUAGUUUUAUUCUAUGUUGGGAGCAAAAAUUUGCGGGCAGAAGACUUCAUGUUACAAGGCUUGCCCGCGCCUUGUACUCACCGCGCAUGAACAUUUGUAAAAUUUGGCGGACAGAAGAUCUCGACCUUCAAGGCGUCCCCACGCCUUCCAACCUUUGCAACAAUGAAAGUUAAAAAAAUUGAUCAGGACCUUCUCUAACCCCCCUUUUCUACUUUUCUCUUUUCUUGUCUUAUCUGGUCUUUUUAAUUUCCUCUAUCUUAGUUUCUACUUUUCAAUUUCCUUUGUUUUGUCUUAGUUUCAGUUUCUUUGUUUCCUCUUUUCUUGUUUGUCCGCUGCGCACAGCGCGUCGCUGUGGCGUGCUCCUCUUACCAUGCUCCUCCUGCUGGGGAUUCCCAAUACCGUGCCCUCCAAGAUUCUAUCCGUGAACUAGGUGAGCGGGUUAAGGGACUAGAUGGCCAUCUUGCAGGGCUACAGGUUUUUGCUCGCAUUCAGGCGAAGAACCAAGCAGCUUUCUUUGCUCAUAUUGGAUUCACUCCAGCUCAUCCUUCCCCCCCUUAGUGUCUAGCUGCACCCUCUCGGUGGUCAAGGAAGUUUAUCUCCUUUUCUUCUAAUACUUCAUUUGUCUUUUCUAUAUUGAGAGCAAUGUAGGUUUUAGGUGUGGGGGAGUGGUUUCCAUUAUUUCUUUUGGCUUUGGUACAAAAAAAAAUGAAAAAAAAUGAAAAAUGAAAAAAAUGAUGAAAACAAUGCAGUUAGUCGGCUUUCUGUUCAUUUCUAUGUUUGUUAGUGCUGGAGUGUGUUGCUAUGAUGGAUUAUACAAUCCUGGGGCACAGGUACAUGGUCAAAUAUGCUAGCUGGACAUUUUGUUUUUCCUUGGCAAUAUCGUUGAAUGUAGAGUGUGUUGAACUUGACCCAUUCUUGUAACUUUUGGAAGCUUUUGAGCCAUGCAUGGGCACAUUAUUCUUGUUUGCUCUAGUUUUGUUUGAUUGAGUGGGUAUCACACAUGGUAUUGGUAUUCUAGAACUUGCUAUUUUAUACAUGUCGAGACUAUAUUUUGUUGAACUGGAUGCAUUUGAAAUGAUAAGGGCAUUUGGGAUUAAACCUUCUUUAACUUCCUAAAACCCAUGCCUUCAUCUUGUCUCCCAAUAGUGAACCAAUUUGAACUUUUAUCCGUCAAAUUUGUUUGUUAGCCAUGUUGAUAACCCAAGACCUUUUUAGACUUUCUUGUUCACCCCGGUGUUGUUAAGGGAUGUCUGAAUUUCAUCAUUUGUGCAAGACAAAUAAAUCUGGAGUCGCAAGUGUUGUUAGAGUAGAAUCUGUAUGAUGCUAUCUUUGUGCAUUUAGAACAAAAAGGGGAGAAAUCGACAAUAAGCUGCUGAUCAGAAGACUCUGUCUUACAGGGUGUGCCCACGCCUUGCAACACGUUUUUCAAAAAAAAUGAAAAAAAAGGAGAAGAGAAGCUAGUGAACAUAAGGCUCUGGCCUCCAGGACGUGCCCAUGCCUUGCAAGACAUCUUUGUAAAAAAAAAAAAAAAUUGCGACAUUUGCACAGUAGGUACAGCAGGUGAAACUGUCUUGUUCGCGGAGUUCAUGUGGUGAAGCAUUGUGGUUAUAUGGUGGGUUUUGGACAUCCUCUUGACACAUUACAUCUUACCUUCACCUUCUUAUCCCGCAUUUUACCUAAACCCCAUUACAACCCUAUUAAAAUCUCUUUGAUUAGUGUAUUUAAUUCACUUUUAAGUGGUGGAGAUUUAAUAAAUGUGCAAGCCUAUGGUAAUGUCAUUCCGUGUGUUGAUUUGACCGUUCCCAGUAUUCAUACAUUCUCUUGAAGGUGACGAGUAUUACUGAGCAUAUUCUUUGGUUAAUUGCCUAUCCGGCAUAUUCUAAUUUCGGCGACAUUGUCGGGGGGGCGAGAUGCUUGUGCUAGUAUAGAUUACUAUAUGACCUCUGUUGUCUUGAUUGUAUUUCUGAGUUUCGGAAUGCUUGAGGACAACCAUUGUUUAGGUGUGGGGGGAUUUGAUAGAGUGAUUUUUUAGCACAUUUUGUACCAUUAUUCUAUCCUAAUUUUGGCUACUCAUGAUGCUGAAAAUUGAGAUUUUACUCAUAUUUGAUAUUUAUAUGAAUUGUAGGUGGUUGGCGUUAAAAGUGAUCUUGCGAGGUGAAUUUCCAGAAGACCCUUCAGCUCAAGACGUGUCCACGCCAGAAAUAGUGGAAGGUUACCCAUAAAGCCGGACUCGCGGGCUUGGUAGCAGAAAAAGUCAACUAGGGAACCAGGUCCACGUGGACCAGAGGCGGGGGAUUAGAACCCUUAGGCAAAGCUUGUUCCUUUUUUUGGAUUACUAUUGGCGGCGCACAUGAAAAAUAUAAGAGACGAAGCCAGAUUCAUGCGAAAGGAAUGAGAUAGCUUAGUUUUCUUUUCCCAAAUUUGUCAGACGUUUGUCUUGCUUUUCUCGGUAGAAAACAGAAGACAAGCCAGAAUCACGUGGGCUUAGUAGUUUAGUUUUCGUUUUCUUCACUGGAGACAAUUUCUUUCUCUGUUUUGACUUUUGAUAAAUUUCGUGAGAUUGCUCCAGUACGGACACGAAAUAAGUAAAGGAAUUAAGAGACUUUCUCUUCAUUAUUCCUCCGUUAGUUCACUUUUCCCAAUUCUUCGGCAAUUAAUUGAAUGUUUUCAAUUAAAUCAUACGGGAUUGACAGGAUGAGGAGCGGCUAGUUCUCCCCUCUACCCAGAGAUCGACGCGAGGGCGCGGUCCAUAAUAUCUGUGAGAUUUGAUCAAACUUUCAUUAUUUCUUCCAAUUUGUUACUAUUCGUGUGUUUCCUGAAUUAAUUGUUCGUGAGUAUUUUAUUAAUUGAAUAUCAACGGCAGGGUAUUUAAUUUAAUUUAAUAGCCUACUAUCACAUUAACUAAAUUCAAUUCGUAAUUGUUCGUUUAGUUGAUAACUAGUGACAACCACUAUAAUUGGCUUUAUGUUGGAGGAAUGCAAGAUCUAAUUUAAAUAAACCCUCUUAGCUGUUUAUUGGUUAGGGUUGGAUUGUUCUAGUUGUAAUGCAGCUGGAUAAUUAAAUUUCUAUGGUCGUACUUAGGAUUGUUAUCUGGUUAGAGAAACAGUCAACGGUCGUACCUUAGCUGUCGAAAAGGUAAGGAAGAAUUGAUUAUCAGAGCUUGUUAUUAGCUAUAACUAGGGGUGGCAAUCCGGUCGGGUUCGAGUUGGUGGGGCGGGUUGAGACCCAAAUAUAACAAAAAAAAUCAUUGACCCGAACCUGACCCGUCAACCCGAAACGGGUCAGGAUGCCUGACGCCAACCCGAAAAUUUCGGGUUGGCGGGUCGACCCGAAAUGACUCGAAACUUAAUUUUAAAUUAUUAAUUUGUCAUUGUAAUUUCUAAUAAAAUCAAUUUCUCACAAAAUUAAUUACAUCAUCAAGUAAUAAAAAUUUAAAUAAAAAUUUCAAACCAAAUCUAAAAUAAAUUAAAUACCGUAAAAGUGUUUUAUCCCAAACCAAAUAUAAAAUAAAUUAAAACAGCAUAAAAGUGAAAAAUAACAUAAUAUAUUAUUUGUUCAAAUAUAAUAAUUUUAACUUCACACAAGUUAAAUAAAUUCAUUUAGGAUUAAGUAAUUAAUACCUUUGAAAAAAAAAGAAUGAUUUAGUUUAGUUAGAUAAAAUAAUUUUAUGCUUAUGAAAUUAUUUUUAAUUCGUAAACGGGUCAUAUCGGGUCAUAUCAGGUCACCAUGGGUUGACCCGAAAUCGACCUGUUUUGUUUUCGGGUCAAUCGGGUUCGACCCGAUUCUGACCCGAAUUCCUGAAACCUCAAUCCAAACCCGUUAAUUUCGUGUUACGUUCAUGUCGUGUUUUCGGAUCGUGUCAGAAAUUGCCACCCCUAACUAUAACCAACCAAGUAACGAAUGAGUGAAAUAUCUUUGCAUCGAUGAUCGUUUAAUUGGACCAUGCCUGAAAAGUUGAUCCUUUGGGUAGAAUUUUAUUAAUUGCUAUUUUUACUAAACUGCACUUGUUGAGUUAGCUCUUGAAUUUUACUUAUUUUAUUUUUACUUUCACCCCAUUAAUUAUCCCUCUCUUUUAUUCUAUUGACUUAGAAAGAAACCACUUCCUAUUUGUUCCCUGUAGAAUUGACCCUACUUGCCAUUGUACGCAAAUUUAAUAUUUUUAUAGACAAAUCUGGUAUAUCGGAUCAAGCAAACUUUUCGGGAACAUGAUGAAUCAAGUAAUCCAUUGCACAUCUAGGGUCCCUACUCCAGUACUUGGAUUUGUUCUAUAAUGAAUUGUGGUGGUAAUUAGGACUUUUUAGUAAUUAUUAUUGCAUAAGUUCGGUACCUGUCAAUGACUAUAGAAUUUUUCUAGUCGGUGAUACAAAAUAUUAAUAUUUGAAAAAAAUUCUAAUCACACAAUUGUAUUUGAUCUCAACCAACCGUCACUACUUUAAAUUAAUUUGGAUUGCAAGUAACGUCAUUACUUUAUGUGAAUAUCAAACAUGAAAAGCGCAUGAUAUAUACGAGCAAAAAAAUUAUAAUGUACUAAUUUUCAAUUUCUUUAUGUAGAAUAUUUUCGUGAAUAUUAAUUUUUGACAUAUCUUAGUCAAGGUCAUUAAUCAACCCGGACCUAAUCAGCUCCAAACCCAGGGCAAAUUUCUGGCAAAUUUCUUUGAAAUACUGCCAAAAAGAAGUUUGAAAAAUAUUGUUGAAAAGUUGAGCAUUUUUCUAUCUAGGCUCUUCGUGUCUCCUACACGCAAUGGAUAGUUUAUUUGUUCAAUUUUCUUUUUAUAAAAGGAGCUUGUCGUAUGUCAGGCACAUGGCGAGCCACAUUUAAAAUUUGGUUCCUAUCAUAGAGUCUAUUAUGUCCCUAACACUGAUGGACUGUUUUUUAAUUUUUUUUUUUUUUAAAAAGCAAGUGAAAAGUGUUGCAACUCAAGAGUUGGAUAGUAAUUUUAAAAUUUAAUAGUGCACCUACCUUUUAAUUUUUUCGUGUGCUUUUAAGGUAUCAAACGGGGAAAAAAAAACCAACACCAUAUAACUUCAAAUGCAAGAUGGUACGGAAUUUGUCAAUAUGUAGAUGUUAAUAGACAUUAAUGACAUGUAAAAAGUGCACCAUUCAUCACAGAGAUAUUUAUCCUAAUAUUACACUCUUUUUUUUUUUUUUCAAAAAUUCCAUAUUUCAUGCAAACAUGUAAUCAAUAUGCCUAAUCAACAUUAGAUGAAUUUAAACAAGUAGCCUACAAAUUUAAAAAUAUUUGAUUUCAUAAAUGUGCAUUCGCAAUUUAGAAAAGGUACUCUUCAAAUGGCAAAUCUAGAGAGCAACAAAUACUCCUACUCUAUUUUGAUUUCAGAUCUUCUUUUGACUUGCCAAAAACGUGAAAACAUGAAACUAAUACUGUGUCAGAUGGAGAGAAGUAAUAGAAAUUUGUUUUCUAGAUUCUUUGGCCUCCCAAUUUUUUCAGCGGGUCAACUCCGACCAUUAUCAUGGUCAUGUGAUUGUAGGUGUACCUGGCUUUGUAGACCACAACGUGGAUUGGAUAUGUCGAUUAGCUCCCAUCCUAUUAUAAUAUUUUUUCUUUUAUAAAUCAAUAUCUAUUCUAUUCCUAUUUCAACUUCUAUUCUAGGGAAAGGGGAGAUUCAACUGAAAAAUUGAUAGUGAUUGAAUCACGAUCGGACCAAACAGAUGUACUAUGCACAUAUACGAAUCUUGGAGAAGCCGGUGCAAUGAUGAGAGGUAAUGUUUGAGUCUUGACCUUCCAUUCCACUAAAAUUUAUAGUCUUUGAUAGUGGCCAACCACCCAAAGAGUUGUUGGUUAACUCCCACCCUGUUAGGAAGUAAAGGUUUUCGACACUCUAAAACAAAUGUUUUUUUUUUGUUUUUUCAAUUAUUUUCAUCUAUCACCAACAGCUGGCGGUCAUGGGUCAUUCAUCAAAGCAUAAAUCCGAACGACACUAAUCCCUCACUAGUCAUCCCCUCAUUCCUUCACGUAUGUUUUUAAUAAAUUGGAUUCAUCUAUUUGGUGUUCUAAAAUCACAUUUAAAAAGUUUUUUUUUUUUUGCAAUGUGUUAUUAUUCAGGACAUGAAUGAUAAUUUUAAAAUUUGAAUAGUGGACCUAAAAAUAAAACUUGUAAAUUUUACAUCUUAGCCUACUUACUUUUAAAACAGAGGGAAAAAACAGCACAUAAUUUCAAGUCAAAGAUUGUAUGCAGUUUGUCCAAUAAAUAAAUAUUCAUAAUUCAUAAUUUCAAACGACCGUGCCUAGUUGCGUGCGACCAUGCCCCGUCGGCCUGCGUUCCGCACACUAGGAUUCUAGAACUGUGUGGAACUCUUUAGAGUCCUUAAAGGAUAAGGAUGCAUGAAUCUUGAAGAUAAGCAUGAACCUUGUAAAUAAGGUUGUGUAGAAAAUUCUAAGCACUUGUAGUGUUUUGGCUUGCCUAUAAAUAGGCCAAGCCCUUUGUAUUGGAAAUGGUUGGCGACCUUGUGUAAAGAAACUUUAUGUAUAAUAUAAGCUUUUCUUUGCCACACUUACAUAUCUUUGCAUACUACUUUGGCGCUUCCGCACUUUAACCGCGCAUUGAGUGUUAAUGCUGAACUAGUUAGGCGUUCAUAGCUUAAGACAUGAGCGUAUGUUAGUGCCGCACGAGGUGUUGGUUUGUAGGAAAACAAGCAGCCCGUGACAAUAGGAAUGUGCUUAGAAAUUGACAUGUGCACUGAUGAUUAAUGCGGUGGACCCGUAAGGGAAAGUGGACAUCGGAAGCCACACGCGCAUGAAUUAAGUGUAAGGAGGAAAUGAUUUCGGGAAUAGCUAAUAUUACCAUUUAUCACUGAUUUUUAAAUUCAAAUUAUUUUUUUAAUUUUUCGUAUGUUGUUUGACAAGAAAAAUAAUAUUUUAUUAUUAUUAGAUUCGCAAGAAAUUCAAAUUUAUCUUCUUAACACUUAGUAAAAAUUGAGUUUAAAUACAUAUUUAUUUUUAAAUGAAUAUAAAUGGAUGAGUCGAAUCAAUCAAUUAUCCUGAGUAUUUUGAAUAACUCAGUUUCAUGUCCGUUUCAAUUCUUCAAAAAUUGCACAGAAAAGUGAAAACAAUGAAAAUGUCUUGGACUCGGGGCACGGACGGUUGCAGGUGCAACCGUCCCUGCCAAUUUUAGUCAUUAUCAACUGUGCGUAACUUUCUUUGUACAUCGUAUAACUUUUUUUUUACAGGAUAUAUUUUCACAACAGAUAGUGGUGAGUCCCACACUUGGCGCGAAAAUCGAGUUACAUGGUGUUAUCUUAGCCGCACAAAAUUUUGAGGACAAAUUUUGAUCCUUAACCGUGCAGGGACGGUCAUACUGCCCCAAAUCCAAAUGUCUUAUAUUAGCUUGGCAGUCCUGCUGAGGUAUAUACAGGUGGAAAUCAUGCUACACAUUGUACAGCUUUCCUUUAGAACCAAGAAACCUGAGCAUUCUCUUUCAAUUGAGAUAGGCUAUCCAGUUGAUUAAUGAUAUGCUAUUUACUUACCUUGUCAAUCGUUUUCAGUCGGUGCCAAAAGCACUGCAGUAGCCGUUUUUUAGUCAAUAUCUAAACACGGUACUCAUUUUGUUCAGAGUACAGCUUUUUGUCUAUUUGUGAAAGCCAACUGCAACUGCCUCAUUGACUUCUCCAAGUAAUUCAAAGAUUUCAGCAGCUUGCUUACAUUAAGCUUUUAUGAAACAAUUUCUGUCUUCUUUUUCUCAUGUAGUCAGCAAAGAAUUGUCUAAUUUACCCUGAGUAUUAGGAAGAAACUUUCUUGCAGUUUAAUCACUCAAAAAACAGGCAAGUAUAAAGGAAAUCAAGGAAAAUUGACAACUGAUAAUUGAUAUGUACAGCCAUUAUUAUAUAUAGACGAAGUCAGCAAUUGAUUUAAGCACGUCUCGGUAAGUUAAAAGGUUAAAACUUUACAUACAAAUAAAUGGUCAAAUUCACUUUAAAUUUGUGGUGUCAUCUUCCACCUUAAACUUUUGUACUACCCAAGUUUGUUUUAAUUCCUUUGGGAAAAUCAAACAUCAAAUGCUUACCAUUUAUUGAAACAUUACAUCAUCCAUAUUUUUUUUUGACAAAAAAAGUAGAUAUAUAAUUAAUAGCAGUAUUCAUAUUAUUUUUUGUAUAUUACUUGUACAUCUAAUUAGUCCCAUUUGGAAAAAAAAAGGAUGAAAACAAAAACACAUAAUAGUCACAAAAAACACAGAUCUAGCUCAAAAUAUGGCAGUGACCAAUUGUUCUGCAAAAUUAGUAGGAUAAGCAGUUGACAGAUUCUAUAAUCGCUUUUGGUCAAAUAUUAUUUAAAUUAGCUGGAUGGUCAAAUAUUACUUUUAAUUUUAAUCAUUUAAAUUACCAGUUGAAUGUUGACUUCCCAUUUCACUAAAAUUUAUAGUCUUUGGUAGUGGCCAAUCAUCCAAAGAGCUAUUGGUUUGUUCCCACCCUGUUAGGAACUAAAGGUUUUCGACCUUCUAAAAAAAAUGUUUUUGUUUUCAAAAAUUAUUUUCGUCUAUCACCAACAGCUGGCGGUCAUGGGUUAUUCAUCAAAGCAUAGAUCCGAGCAACACUAAUCCCUCACCAGCCAUCCCUCAUUCAUUGUCGCAUCCUUUUUAUGAAUUGGAUUCAUCUAUUUGGCGUUCUAAAAUCACAUUUAAAAGUUUUUUUUUUUUUUUUUUUUGCGAAAGUGUUAUUAUUCAGGAUGUGUAUGAUAAUUUAAAAUUUUAAUAGUGGACCUAAAAAUAAAACUUGUAAAUUUUACAUAUGAGCCUACCUACUUUUAAAAUAGAGGGAAAAAAACACCACAUAACUUCAAGUCCAAGAUUGUAUGCAGUUUGUCCAAUAAAUAGAUAUUCAUAAUUCAUAAUUUCAUAUACACAUGUUAACUAGAGAUGUCAAUCACAACCCAAUUAUAUUGAUCCGUUCAAAACCGUUCACUAAUAACCCAUCCAAAUUCACUCAUUAAAAUUUAAAUGGGUCUAAGGUUGUGUUUGGAUUGCAUUUUCCGUCAUUUUUCAUGGAAAAAUUACUGUAGCGAUUUGAUAUAUGUGAGGGAAAAAGGUGAUAGGGAAAUGUGAUCACGGAAAACGACAAUAUUUUUCGACAGAAACAAGCAAUCCAAGCAUGACCUAAGUGAGUACCUAAUUAAAUUCAUUUAAUUGGUGGAUAGUUGAUUGAUUCGAUUCACCUAUUUAUAACCAUUUAAAAAAAUAUAUUUUUAAACUCAAUUUUUACUAAGUGUUAAGAAGAUAAAUUUGAAUUUCCUACGAAUCUAAUAACAAUAAAGUAUCAUUUUUCUUGUUAAACGACAUGCAAAAAAUUAAAAAAAAUAGAAUUUCAAAUCAGUGUAAAUGGGUAAUUAAGUAUAUUCAUAUCCAUUUAUUAAAUAGAUAUAAAUGGAUUGAUUCAAUUAUAUCUAUUACCCAAUUAAAAUUUGCUCAAAUCCGUACAAGUCACUCAUUUUGAUGCUUUUAAUGUUAAUAUAUAUUCACAAGUGAAGAGUGCAGCAUUGGUUGGGAAGAUAUACUUAUUUAUCUCAAUAUUAUAAUCGUUUUUUACGUUGCAAAAGUAUUGAUAAUUUCAUAAUUUCAUCGAAGUAUGUAAUCAGUGACAUAACAUUACAUGAAUUUCAACGAAGUAUGUAAUCAGUGACAUAACAUUUCAUCAUUAGUCUUCAGCGGUGAAUCUAUGCUCUUUUCACGAGGCUUCUUUUCAAAGCUUUGAUUAUGGCAUACACUUCUGACAAUAUGCCCCUUUUAGAAUAGGGAUAAGUUUCUGGGUGAAUCUUUUCACGAGGCUUCUUUUCAAAGCUUUGAUUAUGGGGAUAAUUUCAGAUACCUCCCCUGAGGUUUCUGAGAGUUUCACUCCCCUCCCCUGUGGUUUCAAUAAUACCACAAACCUCCCUUAAAACUAGAUAGGCAAUGCCAAAAUAGACCCAUUUUAAAAAUACAAACAAUAAAAAAUUAGUAGCUGGUGAGAGAAACAAGUGUAUACCACAAAUGCCCUCAUUAUCUUGCAUUAAUGAACUAAUCUCAUGUGAAGAAAAAACAGGGAAUUUAAGAAGAAAGAAACUUGAGGGGGUGGAAGUGAGACCAAUGCAUUCAUUAAGGUCUGAACGUCAGUAGUGAACAAAAUGGAAGGCAACGGCUCUUUCUGGUAGGGCAUGUUGUUUUGUCAAGCGAGCAUAUAACUGAAGAACGGCCUGCAUAACCAAAGCUAGUACAUGUUGUUUUAUCAAGUCACAAGCAAUAAUCAAUACAUUACCACAAUCUUCCAUCGUCAAAAAGCCUGUAGGUUUUCCAAAUGUUUUCUCAAAGAUUUAUCGACUUUCUUUAUCCUGCAAAAGAGGAGUGGAUUUUUUCUCAGCAACAUCUUCCAGAACUGGAGAUGCAACAUGUUUCUCUGAUGAGUCAGGUAUUAGUCCUGCUGCAGUCUCUUCUGUACUUUCACGAGAGAUUCUGGGCCUGGAUUGCAACAAAUUAUCCAGGAUUAGAAGUAAGGCACUAAUACAUUUCGGGCUCAAAAUCUCAUUUCCUGCAAUAGUCCUUGCUUUGAAGUUCAUCAAGAUAUCAAUUGCCAAUGGGACAAUGCCACUCUGCACAGCAAUUUGUCGAGCAUUUUCAUCUUCAGAUAAAAUCAAUGCUAAAGUAUGUGAAACCAUGCACAAUGCACUAUUAUCUUUUGAGAAUUCCAUGGGGCACUGCUUUAGCUACUUUACAAGAUAAGGAAUCACCCGAUCACGGUCUUCUCCUUUGUUCCUAUUGCAAAGAGUCACAAGCAAAUCUGUCAACUGGAAAGCCAUUGAAUCACUACUGUGAAACAACUUCAUUGUUGCAGCAAGGAUGUCAUCAACAUAAGGGGUCUUAAUUCGUUCCUCUUCUGCCAAAACAUCCACUGAUUUUUCAGUGUUAUCGACUUUAGAUGCUUCUGAGGAAUUUCCUAGAGAUAAAGCAAGUGCACGAGCCAAUUCAUCAUCCUCCAGCACAGGAUCUUCAGCAUGACUAAAUAACCAUUCCAUAGCCAUUUCGACACUAUUAGUUUCCACUCUUUUUAAUGCCUUCUCAGCUCUUGCUCUUGAGAACCCCAUCUCAACAAUGGUAGCAAUGGUAGCUUCAUUAGGUGGUGGAGCCACCAAACGUUGGUUUGUAUUCCCUAACAACCCACUACGAUUUGUUUAACAUCACCAACACCAGAAUAUACAUGAGUGAUUAGUGAAAUAAUAGAAGUUAUAAAAACUGGAUUACAAUUUGGAAACAAAGGGUGAUUCCAGAUGGGAACUAUAGCAUCCAGAACCUGAGACUGCAGCAUACGAACAAACACUUAAGGGUCCUUAGGAACAGGAAGCAACCCAAUAGACAGACCAACUGCAACAGGUUGCACAAGCAGCUGUGCCUGGGAUGCUAAGGUUGGAGACAACAGCAAAGAAGAAUUGAUAAAAUAUUCAAGAAGGCGACAAUAACUCUGCAAUGUAUCAAGCAGCCAUGAACUGUGAGACAAUUUGCCCUCCUCCGGUAAGACAAUCAUAAAAAGUUACAAGUAACUCUUGGGGUCUACCUUAGCCACUCUUACUUUUCUUCCCAUAAAAUGGAGCACAAUAUCAUGAAAAUCAGUGAUAACCAUCCUACAAUAGACAAUCAUAGGCUACUGAAGUUACAAUAUUAGUUAUUGAAGUUACAGAAAAUAUUAGCUACAAUAUUAACCAUCUUGCAACAUUGGUUGCUGAAGUUACAGAGCAAGUAUAAGCUUUCUAAGUACUGAGGUUUGGCAUCUAACUAUAUCAAACAAUCCAAGUCAGACGAGAAAUUUAGAAUCAAGUAAGCAUAGUCUGGUAGAGGCUUAGCAAACCAAGUCACAUGACAAACCAGAAAAUCAUAAGCAAACAUGUAUCAAGCUUACACAAACAACAACCAAAUCAUCAUAAGCUGCCAAUAUCAUAUUGAAACAGAGUAUGAAAUCUUAAACACUUACCUGGUAAAUUUUUCUUAAUGAGCUAAGAGACUCUUCAGUUUGUUUGCCAAGACCUUUGUUUGCUAAGAACUUUCUUAACGAGAAUCAAGAGCUUUGUUUGCCAACCAUCAACCUCAGUUGCUAUAUCUCAACAAUGGCGGGAACAAAGUAAGUUUCUUGCUUCUAUAGGUACCGUGCCUAUCAAGCUGUUGUGUCAAUCAGACCAUGGCGCCUAAGUUUGGCGCCAUUUUGCUGAAGGCUCCUUUCUAUAUUGGUUGUUAGGACUCUAAUUUUUCGUUAAUUAAUUACAUUAAUUGUGUUUAUAACUAAUUCAACUAAAGUUUUCCAGAUAAUCAUGAAAUAUUAGCAAACUAGUGAGGGUAUUUAAGUCUUUUUGGCACCAAUGACGUAAGAAAUGGGACCUCACAAUCUGACAAGGGAGGUUUGUGAUAUUAUUGAAAUCACAGGGGAGGGAAGUGAAACUGUCAGAAACCUCAGGGGAGGUAUCUGAAAUUAUGGGAUACACUUCUGACAAUAUGCCCCUUUUAGAAUAGCGAUAAGGUUCUGUGUGGGAUAAUUUCAGAAACCUCCCUAGGGUUUGUAACAAUUUCAUCAAGCUUUCUUGAGAUUUUCAAUAUUACACUUACCUCCCUUGAUGAUAGUGACUAUAAUAAUCUUCAUAAUUUUUUCAGAGACAAGCCAUUGAUAAAAAAGGAUUAAAAAAAAACGAAAACAAUUCUUCUUGGCUAAGCCACAUAUUGUGACUAAAUUGUUUCAUCCAUGACCACUAAAUUGUAAUUUUCUAUUACUGAGAAAAGGAAGUAUUUUGGUAAUUGAGGGGCUUGGUUGUUUGAGUAGGAAAAGGGUAAGAAUUAUGAAUUUUAUGAUUGACAGUUUGGUAGACAACAUAUGGAAAAAACUUAUAGAGAGGUAAAAAUUAUAAAGGUAAGAAUUAUGAUGGUGGAUUUUGACAUCUAAAAUAACGAGCUUGUUCGAAAGAGGAAGAAAUGAUAAGACUUUGAAAACUUGGGUAGAUGUAGAAAAUUAUGAGAUGAAAAAUAUUAGGACAUUGGCUAAGUAAUAAAACUCAUAGGUUUAUAGUAUACAAGUGUAUUCUUGAUUUUUGAAAAAUUUUAAUGACUAUUCAUAUUUUGAAAAUUAGAUAAGGACAAUUUUGGGCAUUCGUAUAUUUUUUUGGUCUUACAUCGUCAAGGUGAAACUCAAACCUAUGUUUGAGUAAAUAUAUGUGUAAUUUUCAAAACGUGAGAAAAGCUGUCUGAAAUUAUCAGAAACCCCAGGGGUGGUUUAUGAAAUUAUACAAAAAACUCCAAUAAAGUGGCAGUUCAAACUGGGCCAACCAUCUCCUAUCUUCGCAUGUCCUCCCGCCGGCGGCCCUGAGUCAUCUAUAAAAGUAUAGACCAAGACAGCACUAAUCCCUCAUCAGGCCUCCAUACUUCUUCUUCAGGCCUCAGCAACGAAACAAUAAACUCUGCUCCACUCAACUCUUUCCUCUGUGUCUUGUACUCUUGUCUGAAAAUGGCGGCGUCAGAAGAAGUGAAAGUGCCAAGAAUCAAGCUGGGGUCGCAAGGUUUUGAAGUUUCAGCUCAAGGGCUGGGCUGCAUGGGCAUGUCAGCCGUCUACGGGCCGCCAAAGCCCAAGCCUGAUAUGAUCAAACUCAUCCACCAUGCUAUUUGCAGAGGAAUCACCCAUCUUGACACCUCCGAUAUCUAUGGACCUCACACCAACGAAAUACUCAUUGGCAAGGUACCAUAUUUGCAAAUUUUCUGCUGUUGUCUGCUAUGCAUAAACUCUUGUAAUUUUAAUUUCUAAAAGAGCAUAUUUUUAAAUAUUUUAUUUAGGUAAAUUAUGCUUAAUCCCAUGCACUUCAAAAUUUGUCUCCCUUUGUGCCCCCUUAAUUUUGUUUGUCAGCACUUAAACUCCAUUUGUUUAAAUUGUAAGUAUUAUUAGUCAAAUAUGACAUUGUUCUUCUUCAACUUUUCAUGUUACUGCCUUUUCAGUUUGUCCUCCUUUAUAAAUAUGGGAUGAAUUACUUUGAUUUUGAUUUUGGUGCAAUUUUGUAUAAAAUGAUUUUUGCUAUGAAGUUAUUGAUUUAUUAUGAGCUAUGUGUUGUAUAUUUACAAAAUUCUGCUAGUUAAACAUUCACUUGAGCAAGCCUUCCAAACAUGAGCAAUAUAAUUCUCUAUGGGUGCAUUUGGUAAAUUUGAAGUCUAGAAAUUGAAAUCUAAUCUAAAGUCUGAAUCUAUAAAGUUAUUAAAUUGUUAAGUACUAAAUUUGAUACGUUUGAGUGUAUGUCACAUCAAGUGAAAUGAAUAACUCAUAACUUAUUUUUUGAAGCAAGUUUUGCUUAAGAAAUUUAAUGUCAUUUAAUUAAUUCAGAUAUUCAAUUUUUGGUUAUCAAACGUGUCUAAAUAUGUUAAGAUCUGAAUUUAUUAAUUUUAAGUGUUAAAUUAGGUUAUCAAACAUGACCUAUAAUUAUUAAGUAACCAAGCAGACAACAUGUUUAGUGUAUAAUAGUAAUUAGCUUUCAAUUUGUCUUGUUAUUCUUUGGUAAAGAACUCUUUGAAUUAAUAAUAAUAAUUUUCUCAUACACGGGAAUCAAAAUAAUUGAAGUGUUAUCUCUACAAUUGAGAUAUGUCACCUUCUAAAAGAAAGGAAAGGGAAGGAAACAUGGGGGGAAAAUAGGGAAAGGGCAAAGUGAUGAUAAAGAAAAUUGGAAGUAGCAAAAUGACACAAGUGAAUUAUUGCAAGGGGUUAAGUGUAAAUUAUGUUUAUUUUAUUAGUCUAUUUAACCAGAAAGAUUGGGCUCUUGUAAGGCACCAAUCAAAAGUUCCAAUUGCUGGAAAUAACAUAAAAACUUAGACUUUGUUUGGUUUGGCAUUUUUGGAGGUGGUUCAUGAAAAUUUUAUUGUAGUUUUUUUUUUCUUGUUGAAAAAAUAUACUUGUAAGAGGAAAAAAAAUGGUUGAAAAAAAAUUGAGAGUUUUUUUUAAUAAAUUGUUUUCUAAAUAGCUCAGUCACCCAAAAUUUUCAGUAUUCUGACAAUGGCAUCCAUGUGGUGUCAAUUGUCAAACUUGCAACAAAGUUGAGAAAAGAAGGUCGUAGGUCUAGCUCUUUUUUAAUACGUUGAAUAGCUCUAUCCCAUUAGAAGGAUUUAGAACUCUUCUACCAUCUCUUUAUUUUCUUUUUUUUUUUCCCUUCAAAAUUCUACAUCAUAAUGGAGUUGGUAAAAUAGUACUAUUUUCGUCUUUGAUGUUAAAAUUUUCAUCAAUUUAUGGAAAGUUUACUAUUUCUCUAACAAGAGUUAGUAAAAUUUACUUUUUAUGAGCAGUAAAGUUUUAAAGAUUAUGAAAAAAGAAUUGUAUGAAGGAACAAAGGGGAAAAGAAAGGUAAGAAAAUGGAUGGAUUGUAUUUGGAUUGAUUUUGAGAGGGGAAAGGAGAGGAAAACGGAAAGAAAAGGAAAUGGAUGGAUUGUGUUUUGCUCAGACAUCAUUUCCCUACAAAAGUAGACGGAAACAGAGGGAAAGAAAAUCUUGUUGAUGAUUUUCUAGUAAAAUGCCUCAAGCGCCCAAAUUUUACAUAAACUGGCCAUUUGUGAAACCUGCUUUAGAUAUGAAUUGUGGGAUGCAACAGCAGGCUAGGAAUGUUUGACGAAGCAACUUAUGUAAAUAUUUUAUCGUUAAGUAAAGUUCCUCUUUUGCUGUUAAAAAAAAAGAGAGAGAGAAAAACCAUUCCUUUCAUGUCUGUCAUUCUACCAAACAGCAUAUUUAGGUUUUCUUUCUUUCCCAUCCAUAUCUUAUCCAAAUAAAACAAAUGAGAACUAUUUUCCUCUACUUUCCUUUCCUUUCUUUUUCACUAGGAUGUUUUAUUUAUUUAUCUUUCCUUUCCUUUGAUCCAAAUGGUUCCUAAAAGGGCACUAAUUCAUCUACAUUGAUCAGUUCCCUAUUUUUGUAUUAAUGUGCAUGUGCAUGUGCACGAUUCUGUGUACGUUCAUGUUGUGCAUCAAAUCUUAAGAAUGAAAAAGCUAGAUUGUAAAUUUAAGUUGAAGAAAUAUAAAACAAAAAGAGAAAAUGGAUUGGGUCCUUAAGAGUAUCAGACUUCUAAACUCCAAGGAUUACAUAAUUUUCAUAUCCUUUGCUAUAUAAAGAAGUGGGAUAGCCUAAACAAUGAAGUGUUGGAAAAACUCCAGAGGAACUGUGCCAUCCAUGAAAUCACAAAUCCACUUGCUAUACCAUGCAAUAAUGUUCAUGUCCUUGAUGAUUAAUAUAAUGAAACCAUGGUUCUAGGCCUUGAAGGAAGGAAUAAGAGUGAAAGUGGAGCUAGCAACAAAAUUUGCAGUCAGUUUUCAGGAUGGGAAGUUUGAUGUACGUGGUGAUCCAGCCUAUGUGAGGGCUUCUUGUGAAGCGAGUUUGAAGCGGCUUGAUGUGGACUGCAUUGAUCUCUAUUAUCAACAUCGCAUCGAUACACGUGUGCCCAUUGAAGUCACGGUUUGCUUGUCUUGCCUUUCUUGUUUUUUAGCUCCACCUCAUUCUUGAUGAAACAAAAAUUUGAUCAACUCCAAAUUUUGAAUAAUUCAGUUUCAUUUCCGUUUCAAUUCUUCAAAAGUUGCACAGAAAAGUUAGUCAACCUUAUGGUCUCGGCUAAUCUGCAGUAUGGUAUAGCUGAUUUUGCACAAGGCAUCCUGAAAAGUGAAAACAAUGAAAAUGUCUUGUAUUAGCUUGACGGUCCUGCUGAGGGAUAUACAGGUGGAUAUCAUCCUAUACAUUGUACAGCUUUCUUUAGAACCAAGAGACCUGAGCAUUCUCUUUCAUUUGAGAUAGGCUAUCUGGUUGAGUAAUGAUCUGCUAUUUACUUACCUUGUCAACCAUUUUCAGUUGGUGCCUAAAGCGCUGCAGAUAGACAUUUAUUAUUGAUAUCUAAAAAACAUGGUACUCAUUUUGUUCAGAGCACAGCUUUUUGUCUAAUUGUCAAAGCCAGCUGCAACUGCCCCAUUGACCUCUCCAAACAAUUCAAAGAUUUCAGCAGCUUGCUUACAUUCAGCUUUUAUGAAAUAAUUUCUGUCUUCUCUUUCUCAUGUAAUCAGCAAAGAAUUGUCUUGGUUUCCCUGAGUAUUGGGUAGAAACUUUCUUGCAGUUUAAUCAGUAUAAAGGAAAUCAAGCAAAAUUGGCAACUGAUAAUUGGUAUGUACGGCCAUUAUUAUAUAUAGAAGUCAACAAUGCCAUGUAAUCAUAUUGGAGGAGCAUUAUGUUGGCAUGGUCCAGUAGAACUAAGUCCUCUGGUGGGCUGUACAUAGAGAAGUAUCACCGGAUGCUUAUUGCCAUUUUCAUCAAUUAGUGAUUUCAGUUUGACGUGUACUUUGUCCAUGACUUCGAUGAACUAGUGCAACUUUUACUUUUUGCACGUAAUAUUUUGAUUAUCUGCCUAAGUGCUGAAUGUAAUAAGUCAGCUUAGCAUCUUCUUGUCCAUUGAAAUUCUCUAGAUAGGAGAGCUUAAGAAACUGGUUGAAGAGGGUAAAAUAAAGUAUAUAGGUAUGUCUGAGGCCUCAGCUUCAACAAUUCGAAGAGCACAUGCUGUUCAUCCAAUAACAGCUGUACAGUUGGAGUGGUCAUUGUGGACCAGAGAUGUCGAGGAAGAGAUUAUUCCCACAUGCAGGUAGUGCAUAUAUUCUGCUGCAUUUUCUACAUGGUCUAGAAGAAAUAUUAAGUUCUCAAUUCAGUUUUUGGUAUAAUCUUUCAGAGAGCUUGGCAUAGGGAUUGUUGCAUACAGUCCACUUGGACGAGGUUUCUUCUCAUUAGGUCCAAAGCUGAUCGAGAAUUUGGCUGAAGGUGACUACCGAAAGGUUUGUGCAUAUCGAAAAAGAUGGAGUUUUUUAGUAUACAUUGUUUAUAGUUCGAAUAAGUUUCUCACUCAUCUAUUUUUACCACAUUCAGUGGCAAUCAUGCUUGAUAUCCCUAUUGUUGUCUAUCACAAGCAAUGGGUAGUAUCAAUUUUUAAAGUGCAAAGAUGUCAAAAGAGGAAGAAACUAUGUCACUUUUUAAGUAAAAGUCUCUUUACGGUUUUGAGGGGAAAUGGACCUUGGACUUCAAUUUCAUCAUUUAAUCUCAGGCACAGAACUUAUGCUGUCCUGUGAAACUAUCAUUUUUCCUUUACCAUUAAUCCUAAAACUGAGUUUCAUUGGUCAGAAAUAUACUUCAUAGUAGUACCUCCUCUAUCGUUCAUAGUAGUACCUCCAUCGUUCAAACAAACAAAAAUUAGUUGAUUUGUAUUUUAAGUUUCCUCUUUGAUGGGAAAUGUAUCUCAGAACUUAACUCCAACGGUUGAUGCUUCCUCCGUGGAGUAUUCAGUCGAACUUGAUGUAUUGUUCUUUCCCCUGAACUUGUGCCCUUCAAACAGUAUUUCUGAUCAUCUUGAAGUAAUUAGUACCGUCUGUUCAUUACUCCCUCCCGAUUUCUUGCAUUAUAGUUUCCUCUUUAAUGGGAAAUGUAUCUCAGGAUCUACCUUCUACAAUUGAGGUUUCUUAGAGUACUCAGUCCACCUUACUGGAUUGUUCCUUCCCCUGAACUUUGUACACCUUAAACAAUACUAUCAAUCAUCUUGAAGUUAUUCAUAUUGUCUUCAUUUGUAGACGACACAUGCUUUGCUCCCUUUUGAAUUUCUGGCAUUACAGUUGCUUAAAUUUUGAAAUUCAUACAAUGUAGGGUAUGCCAAGGUUUCAAGCAGAGAAUUUGGAGCACAACAAGAACUUGUACGAGCAGGUCAAUGCCAUUGCUUCAAGGAAGGGUUGUACUCCAUCACAGCUAGCAUUGGCCUGGGUCCAUCACCAAGGCAAUGAUGUUUGCCCCAUACCUGGCACUACCAAGAUUGAGAACCUCAAUCAGAAUAUAGGAGCUUUGUCUGUAAAACUGUCAGCAGAGGAAAUGGCGGAACUUGAAUCUUUGGCUUCUGCGGGAGUCAAGGGUGAUAGGUAUGGGCCUGGCCUUGGUACUUGGCAAACUUCUGAAACUCCACCUUUGUCAACCUGGAAGAGAACAUGAAGACAUACUUUGUUAUGGCAAUAAUUCCUUCUAGCUAUGUGCCUGAUGGUGGAUUCCACUAUAUUAAGAGUUGAGUGAUAUGUAUUUGUUCCAAU